AACAAAAUAUGACUCUAUAUGAAUGCCUCCGGCGGUGUAUCGGGAUAUGCAAUAAAUCAAGAGUGACACGUAUGAGAGAAUUAUGAAUGGUGGCUUUGCCACAACUACGAUGUCAACUACAUGAUCAUGCUAAGCAAUAUGACAAUGAUGGAGUGUGACAUAAUAAACGGAACGGUGGAAAGUUGCAUGGCAAUAUAUCUCGGAGUGGAUAUGGAAAUGCCAUAAUAGGUAGGUAUGGUGGCUGUUUUGAGGAAGGUAUAUGGUGGGUGUAUUAUACUGGCGAAAGGUGUGUGGUAUUAGAGAGGCUAGCAAAGGUGGAAGGGUGAGAGUGCGUAUAAUCCAUGGACUCAAGAUUAGUCAUAAAGAACUCAUAUACUUAUUGCAAAAAUCUACAAGUUAUCAAAGCAAAGUAUUACGUGCAUGCUCCUAGGGGGAUAGAUUGGUAGGAAAAGACCAUCGCUCGUCCCCGACCUCCACUCAUAAGGAAGACAAUCAAAAAAAUCAUGCUCCGACUUCAUCACAUAACGGUUCACCAUACGUGCCUGCUACGGGAAUCACAAACUUUAACACAAGUAUUCUUCAAAUUCACAAUUACUCUACUAGCACAACUUUAAUAUCACCAUCUUCAUAUCUCAAAACAAUUAUCAAGCAUCGAACUUCUCAUAGUAUUCAACACACUCAUAAAAAAGUUUUAUUAUUAAUCUUGUAUACCAAGCAUAUUAGGAUUUUAAGAAAAUUACCAUGAUAUUUAAGACUCUCAAAAUAAUCUAACUGAAUCAUGAGAGAUCAAUAGUUUCUAUAAAACAAAUCCACCACCGUGCUCUAAAAGAUAUAAGUGAAGCACUAGAGCAAAACUAUAUAACUCAAAAGAUAUAAGCGAAGCACAUAGAGUAUUCUAACAAAUUUCAAAUCAUGUAUGACUCUCUCAAAAGGUGUGUACAGCAAGGAUUAUUGUGGUAAACUAACAAAUAAAUACUUAAAUCAUACAAGACGCUCCAAGCAAAACACAUAUCAUGUGGCGAAUAAAAAUAUAGCUCCAAGUAAAGUUACCGAUAGAAGUAGACGAAAGAGGGGAUGCCUUUCGGGGCAUCGCCAAGCUUUGGCUUUUAGAUGUCCUUAGAUUAUCUUGGGGGUGCCAUGGGAAUCCCCAAGCCUAUGCUCUUGCCACUCCUUGUUCCAUAAUCCAUCAAAUCUUUACCCAAAACUUGAAAACUUCACAACACAAAACUCAAAGUAGAAAAUCUCGUGAGCUCCGUUAGCGAAAGAAAAUAAAAGACCACUUCAAGGUACUAUAAUGAACUCAUUCUUUAUCUAUAUUGGUGUUAUACCUACUGUAUUCCAACUUCUCUAUGGUUUAUAAACUAUUUUACUAGCCAUAGAUUCAUCAAAAUAAGCAAACAACACACGAAAAACAGAAUCUAUCAAAAACAGAACAGUCUGUAGUAAUCUGUAGCUAGCGCAAGAUCUGGAACCCCAAAAAUUCUAAAAUAAAUUUCUGUACGUGAGGAAUUUAUCUAUUAAUCAUCUACAAAAAUAAUUAACUAAAUAUCACUUUCCAAAUAAAAAUGGCAGUAGUUCUCGUGAGCGCUAAAGUUUCUGUUUUUUACAGCAAGUGUAACAAGACUUUCCACAAGUCUUCCCAACGGUUCUACUUGGCACAAACACUAACUAAACACACAAAAACACAACCAAAACAGAUGAUAGAUAAAUUAUUUAUUACUAAACAGGAUCAAAAAGCAAGGAAUAAAAAUAAAAUUGGGUUGCCUCCCAACAAGCGCUAUCGUUUAACGCCCCUAGCUAGGCAUAACAAGCAAGCAUAGAUCUAGGUAUUGCCAUAUUUGGUAGGCAAUCCAUAAGUGGAUCUCAUAAUAGAUUCAUAAGGUAAUUUAAUUUUCUUUAUAAGAAAGUGUUCCAUGUUUCCUUAAUGGAAAUUGUAAUCUAAUAUUUCCUUCCUUCAUAUCAAUAAUUGCACCAAUCAUUCUAAGGAAAGGUCUACCAAGAAUAAUAGGACAUGAAGGAUUGCAAUCUAUGUCAAGAACAAUAAAAUCUACGGGCACAUAAUUCCUAUUUGCAACAAUAAGAACAUCAUUAAUUCUUCCCAUAGGUUUCUUAAUAGUGGAAUCCGCAAGGUGCAAAUUUAAAGGGCAAUCAUCAAAAUGACGGAAACCUAACAAAUCACACAAAGUCUUUGGAAUCGUGGAAACACUAGCACCCAAAUCACAUAAAGCAUAGCAUUCAUGAUAUUUAAUUUUAAUUUUAAUAGUUGGUUCCCACUCAUCAUAAAGCUUUCUAGGGAUAGAAACUUCCAAUUCAAGUUUUUCUUCAUAAGAUUGCAUCAAGGCAUCAACGAUAUGUUUAGUAAACGCUUUAUUUUGACUAUAAGCAUGAGGAGAAUUUAACACGGAUUGUAACAAGGAAAUACAAUCAAUCAAAGAGCAAUUUUCAUAGUUAAAUUCCUUGAAAUCCAUAAUAGUGGGUUUAGCAACAUCUAGGGUUUUAAUUUCUUCAAUCCCACUUUUAUCAAUUUUAGCAUCAAGAUCAAAAAAUUCCGAAUUCUUGGAACGCCUUCUAGGUAAAGGUGGAUCAUAUUCAGUCCCAUCAUUAUCAAGAUUCAUAUUGCAAAACAAAGAUUUAAUAGGAGACACAUCAAUAACUUUUAGAUCUUCAUCUUUAUUUUCAUAGGAACUAGAAGAACACGCUCUUAUAAAGGCAUCUUUCUUAGCACGCAUCCUAGUGGUUCUUUCUUUGCACUCAUCAUGGAAAUUAUCAUGGCUUUGAGAGACUCAUUGACAUCAUGCUUAGGUGGAAUAGAUCUAAGUUUCAAAGAAUCAACAUCAAGAGUAAUUCUAUCAACGUUCCCAGCCAAAUCAUCAAUCUUAAGCAAUUUUUCUUCAAUCAAAGCAUUGAAAUUCUUUUGUGAAGUAAUAAAUUCUUUAAUAUUAGAUUCAAAAUCAGAGGGCAUCUUAUUAUAAUUUCCAUAAGAAUUGUUGUAGAAAUUACCAUAGUUAUUAGAGGGAUUACUAGGAUAAGGCCUAGGGUUGAAAUUUCCUCUAUACGCGUUGUUAUCAAAAUUGUUCCUACCAAAAAAAUUCACAUCCAUAGAUUCAUUAUUAUUCUCAAUCAAAGUAGACAAGGUCAUAUCAUUAGGAUCAGAAGAAACACUCUUAUUAGCAAAUAAUUUCAUAAGUUCAUCCAUCUUUCCACUCAAAACAUUAAUUUCUUCUAUCGCGUGCACCUUUUUAUUAGUAGAUCUUUCAGUAUGCCAUUGAGAAUAAUUAACUAUAAUAUUAUCUAAGAGUUUAGUAGCUUCUCCUAAAGUGAUUUCCAUAAAAGUGCCUCCCGCGGCCGAAUCUAAAAGAUUUCUAGAAGCAAAAUUUAAUCCGGCAUAAAAAAUUUGUAUAAUCAUCCACAAAUUUAAACCAUGAGUAGGGCAAUUACGUAUCAUUAGUUUCAUUCUCUCCCAAGCUUGUGCAACAUGUUCAUGAUCAAGUUGCUUAAAAUUCAUAAUAUCGUUUCUAAGAGAGAUGAUCUUAGCGGGAUGAAAAUACUAAGCAUCUUUGCACUUUUUCCAUGAAUCAAUACUAUUUUUAGGCAAAGACGAAAACCAAGCUUUAGCACGAUCUCUAAGAGAAAAAGGAAAUAGCUUCAAUUUAACAAUAUCAUUAUCCACAUCUUUCUUCUUUUGCAUAUCACACAAAUCAACGAAGCUAUUUAGAUGGGUAGCGGCAUCUUCACUAGGAAGGCCGGAAAACGAAUCUUUCAUGACAAGAUUCAGCAAAGCAGUAUUAAUUUCACAAGAUUCAGCAUCGGUAAGAGGAGCAAUCGGAGUGCUAAUAAAAUCAUUGUUGUUGGUAUUGGUGAAGUCACAUAAUUUAGUAUUAUGUUGAGCCAUCGUGACAAGCAAGCAAACUAACACACAAGCAAACAAAAAGCAAGCGGGCAAAAAGAGGCAAAUAGAGAAGGAGAGGGAGGAUGAAGAGAGAGAGGGCGAAUAAAACAGCAAGGGUGAAGUGGGGGAGAGGAAAACGAGAGGCAAAUGGCAAAUAAUGUAAUGCGGGAGAUAAGGGUAUGUGAUGGGUACUUGGUAUGUUGACUUUUGCGUAGAACUCCCCGGCAACGGCACCAGAAAUCCUUCUUGCUACCUCUUGAGCACUGCGUUGGUUUUCCCCGAAGAGGAAUGGAUGAUGCAGCAAAGUAGCGUAAGUAUUUCCCUUAGUUUUUGAGAACCAAGGUAUCAAUCCAGUAGGAGGCUACGCGCGAGUCCCUCUUACCUGCACAAAACAAAUAAAUCCUCGCAACCAAUGCGAAUAGGGGUUGUCAAUCCCUACACGGCCACUUACGAGAGUGGGAUCUGAUAGAUAUGAUAAGAUAAUAUUUUUGGUAUUUUUUGUGAUAAAGAUGCAAAGUAAAAUAAAGGCAAAGUAAAAAAGCAAAGGAAAUAACUAAGUAGUAGGAGAUUAAUAUGAUAAAGAUAGACCCAGGGGCCAUAGGUUUAACUAGUGGCUUCUCUCGAGAGCAUAAGUAUUCUACGGUGGGUGAACAAAUUACUGUUGAGCAAUUGACAGAGUUGAGCAUAGUUAUGAGAAUAUCUAGGUAUGAUCAUGUAUAUAGGCAUCACGUCCGAGACAAGUAGACCAACUCUUGCCUGCAUCUACUACUAUUACUCCACUCAUCGACCGCUAUCCAGCAUGCAUCUAGAGUAUUAAGUUAAAAAUAGAGUAAUGCCUUCAGCAAGAUGACAUGAUGUAGAGGGAUAGACUCAUGCAAUAUGAUGAAAACCCCAUCUUGUUAUCCUCGAUGGCAACAAUACAAUACGUGCCUUGUUGCCCCUACUGUCACUGGGAAAGGACACCGCAAGAUUGAACCCAAAGCUAAGCAUUUCUCCCAUUGCAAGAAAGAUCAAUCUAGUAGGCGAAACCAAAUUGAUAAUUCGAAGAGACUUGCAAAGAUAACCAAUCAUACAUAAAAGAAUUCAGAGAAGAUUCAAAUAUUAUUCACAGAUAGACUUGAUCAUAAACCCACAAUUCAUCGAUCUCAACAAACACACCGCAAAAAGAAGAUUACAUCGAAUAGUUCUCCACAAGAGAGGGGGAGAACAUUGUAUUGAGAUCCAAAAGGAGAGAAGAAGCCAUCUAGCUAAUAACUAUGGACCCAUAGGUCUGAGGUAAACUACUCACACUUCAUCGGAGAGGCUAUGGUGUUGAUGUAGAAGCCCUCCGUGAUCGAUGCCCCCUCCGGCGGAGCUCCGGAACAGGCCCCAAGAUGGGAUCUCGUGGAUACAGAAAGUUGCGGCGGUGGAAUUAGGUUUUUGGCUUCGUAUCUAAUCGUUUGGGGGUAUGUAGGUAUAUAUAGGAGGAAGGAGUACGUCGGUGGAGCAACAAGGGGCCCACGAGGGUGGAGAGCGCGCCUGGGGGGGUAGGCGCGCCCCCUACCUCGUUGCCUCCUCUUUUGUGUCCCGACGUAGGGUCCAAGUCUCCCGGGUCUUGUUUGUGAGAAAAUCACGUUCCUGAAGGUUUCAUUCUGUUUGGACUCCGUUUGAUAUUCCUUUUCUUCGAAACCCUAAAACAGGCAAAAAAAUAGCAAUUCUGGGCUGGGCCUCCGGUUAAUAGGUUAGUCCCAAAAAUAAUAUAAAAGUGGAUAAUAAAUCCCAAUAAUGUCUAAAACAGUAGAUAAUAUAGCAUGGAGCAAUCAAAAAUUAUAGAUACGUUGGAGACGUAUCAUGAACUUCAACUCAACCACUCGUCGGUGUUGGAAACACUUGCUUUGAACCAGAAGUGAUUCUUUGGGAAAGGCCAGCUACUGUCAAUCUCGAGACCAACGCAGGAAUGAUCAUCCAGGCUGAAGCGGCCUAUGUCAGGAUGCAUAUUGUGGUAGCCACGGUAGGGAACCAUAGCAAUGUCCGAGGUAUGGAUAUAGUUUCUUCUCAUAAAUGGUAGUAAUGUUGUGUCAAUAGCAGCUGGAUCGCCUUUCACCAUCGUUGGAUAAUUUUGUCCAAGGAAGAGCGAGUUUCCUCCAAUAGUAUCAAUACUAAACUAGGGAGAAGGUGUUGACGCUAGCACGGUAGUAUCCAUCCCGAAUACCCUGCAGCGGAUGUUGGAAUAGGUUCGGAGAGUGCGACCAUGGGAGACAACACCUGCUUCCUUAGUAACAUCAGCAGUGCCCUAUAUACAAACAAGAAGAGGUGAUCCAUCGGAAUAAGUUGCCAGGCGCCACUGAGUAUAUGGGUCCUCAUGCUCGUGAUCAUCAUCAUCGUCAUCUCGCCCUUGGUUAUAAAAAUUUUCAAGUAUAGGUGGUGGAAUGUUCACAGGACCUUGGAAACACAAGAAGGUUAAUUAGUAAAGGGAAACUAGCUAACCCACAUGCGUGUGGAUGAAACAAUUAUAAUUAUGGUGGAAGACAAACGUAUCGAAAGCAUCAGGAUUCCAUGCAAAAGUAGUGCCACGAGUGGUGGCAGCAAACACAAGACCCUCAUAUUGAAUCGCAUCACAGUACUCAUCCGUGUACAAAAAUUGAUUUUUGAGCAAUAUCCAUUGAUAACCAAAAAGUAUAGGGAUCGCAACAGUUCUCGAGGGUAGAGUAUUCAGCCCGAAUUUAUUGAUUCGCCACAAGGGGAGCCAAAGAAUAUUCUCAAGUAUUAGGAGCUGAGUUGUCAAUUCAACCACACCUGGAAACUUAAUAUCUGCAACAAAGUAUUUAGUAGCAAAGUAAUAUGAUAGUAGUGGUAACGGUAGCAAAAGUAAUGUUUUUGGUAUUUUGUAGUGAUGAUAGCAAUAGCAACGGAAAAGUAAAUAAGCGAAGACAAAUAUAUGGAAAGCUCGUAGGCAAUGGAUUGGUGAUAGAGAAUUAUGCCGGAUGCGGUUCAUCAUGUAACAGUCAUAACCUAGGGUGACACAGAACUAGCUCCAAUUCAUCAAUGUAAUGUAGGCAUGUAUUCCGAAUAUAGUCAUACGUGCUUAUGGAAAAGAAGUUGCAUGACAUCUUUUGUCCUACCCUCCCGUGGCAGCGGGGUCCUAGCAGAAACUAAGGGAUAUUAAGGCCUCCUUUUAAUAGAGUACCGGACCAAAGCAUUAACACAUAGUGAAUACAUGAACUCCUCAAACUACGGUCAUCACCGGUAAGUAUCCCGAUUAUUCUCACUUUGGGGUUAACGGAUCAUAACGCAUAAUAGGUGACUAUAGAAUUGCAAUAUAGGAUGAAGAACUCUCAUAUAUUGAUGAAAACAUAAUAGGUUCAGAUCUAAAAUCAUGGCACUCGGGCCCUAGUGACAAGCAUUAAGCAUAGCAAAGUCAUAGCAACAUCAAUCUCAGAACAUAGUGGAUACUAGGGAUCAAACCCUAACAAAACUGACUCAAUUACAUGAUAAAUCUCAUCCAACCCAUCACCGUCCAGCAAGCCUACGAUGGAAUUACUCACGCAUGGCGGUGAGCAUCAUGAAAUUGGUGAUGGAGGAAGGUUGACGAUGACGAUGGCGAGGGAUUCCCCUCUCCGGAGCCCCGAACAGACUCCAGAUCAGCCCUCCCGAGAGGUUUUAGGGCUUGGCGGCGGCUCCGUAUCGUAAAACGCGAUGAAUCCUUCUUCCUUAUUUUUCUCCCUGAAAGCAAAUAUAUAGAGUUGGAGUUGAGGUUGGACGAGCUCCAGGGGGGCCACGAGGUAGGGGGCGCGCCCCCCACCCUCGUGGCUAGGGUGUGGGCCCCCUAGUCUUCAUCUUUUGCAAGGAUUUUUUAUUAUUUCCGAAAAGAUGUUCCAUGAAGUUUCAGGUCAUUCCAAGAACUUUUGUUUUUGCACAUAAAUAACACCAUGGCAAUUCUGCUGAAAACAGCGUCAGUCCGGGUUAGUUCCAUUCAAAUCAUGCAAGUUAGAGUCCAAAACAAGGGCAAAAGUGUUUGGAAAAGUAGAUACGAUGGAGACGUAUCAACUCCCCCAAGCUUAAACCUUUGCUUGUCCUGAAGCAAUUCAGUUGAUAAACUGAAAGUGAUAAAGAAAAACUUUUACAAACUCUGUUUGCUCUUGUUGUUGUGAAUAUGUAAAGCCAGCAUUCAGGUUUUCAUCAAAGAUUAUGAACUAACCAUAUUCAUGAUAACACAUAGGUCUCAUGUUUACUCAUAUCAAUGGCAUAAUCAACUAGCGAGCAAUAAUAAUAAAUCUCGGAUGACAACACUUUCUCAAAACAAUCAUAAUAUGAUAUAACAAGAUGGUAUCUCGCUAGCCCUUUCUGAGACCGCAAAACAUAAAUGCGGAGCACCUUUAAAGAUCAAGGACUGACUAGACAUUGUAAUUCAUGGUAAAAGAGAUCCAGUCAAGUCAUACUCAAUGUAAACUAACAGUAAUGAAUGCAAAUGACAGUGGUGCUCUCCAACUGGUGCUUUUUAAUAAGAGGAUCAUGACUCGACAUAAAAGUAAAUAGAUAGGCCCUUCGCAGAGGGAAGCGGGGAUUUGUAGAGGUGCCAGAGCUCGCUUUUGAAAUAGAGGUAAAUAAUAUUUUGAGCGGUAUACUUUCAUUGUCAACAUAAAAACCAAGAGAUGGCGAUAUCUUUCAUGCUACACACAUUAUAGGCGAUUCCCAAACAGAAUGGUAAAGUUUAUACUCCCCCUCCACCAACAAGCAUCAAUCCAUGGCUUGCUCGAAACAACGAGUGCCUCCAACUAACAAGAGUCCCAGGGGGAGUUUUGUUUGCAAUUAUUUUGAUUUAGUUUGCAUAAAGCAUGGAACUGGGCAUCCCGGUGACCAGCCAUUUUCUCGUGAGUGAGGAGCGGAGUCCACUCCUCUUGAGAAUAACCCGCCUAACAUGGAAUAUACGGACAACCCUAGUUGAUACAUGAGCUAUUCGAGCAUACAAAACAAGAUAUUUAUUUGAAGGUUUAGAGUUUGGCACAUACAAAUUUACUUGGAACGACAGGUAGAUACCGUAUAUAGGUAGGUAUGGUGGACUCAUAUGGAACAACUUUGGGGUUUAUGGUGUUGGAUGCACAAGCAGUAUUCCCGCUUAGUACAGGUGAAGGCUAGCAAAAGACUGGGAAGCGACCAGCUAGAGAGCGACAACAGUCAUGAACAUGCAUUAAAAUUAAUCAACACCGAAUGCAAGCAUGAGUAGGAUAUAAUCCACCAUGAACAUAAAUAUCAUGAAGGCUAUGUUGAUUUUGUUUCAACUACAUGCGUGAACAUGCGCCAAGUCAAGUCACUUAAAUCAUUCAGAGGAGGAUACCACCCUAUCAUACCACAUCACAACCAUUUUAAUAGCAUGUUGGCACGCAAGGUAAACCAUUAUAAGCUCCUAGCUAAUCAAGCAAGGCACAAGAAACUAUGAUCUCUAGUUGUCAUUGCAAACAUGUUUAUUCAUAAUAGGCUGAAUCAGGAACAAUGAACUAAUCAUAUUUACAAAAACAAGAGAGGUCGAGUUCAUACCAGCUUUUCUCAUCUCAGUCAGUCCAUCAUAUAUCGUCACAAUUGCCUUUCACUUGCACGACCGAAUGGUGUGAAUAAUAUUAAGAGUGCACGUGCAUUGGACUAAGCUAGAAUCUGCAAGCAUUCAAUAAAUAGGAGAAGACAAGGCGAUAUGGGCUCUUUGUCAAAUCAACAAUAAUGCAUAUAAGAGCCACUUCAACAAUUUAAUUAUGGUCUUCUCCUAUUGACCCCCAAAGAAAAAAAAAGAAAAAAAAAACUAUUUACACGGGAAAGCUCUGUGACGCCCUCGAUUCAAUCGUACACUAAUCAUACACGCAAAUGUGUACGAUCAAGAUCAAGGACUCACAGGAAGAUAUCACAACACAACUCUAGACACAAAUUAAAAUAAUACAAGCUUUAUAUUACAAGCCAGGGGCCUCGAGGGCUCGAAUAUACAAGAGUCAGCGGAAGCAACAAUAUCUGAGUACAAACAUAAUUUAGACAAGUGUGCCUUAAGAAGGCUAGCACAAAAGCAACAAUGAUCGAAAAGGCAAGGCCUCCUGCCUGGGAGCCUCCUAACUACUCCUAGUCAUCUGCGGUCUUCACGUAGUAGUAGGCAUCCUCCGGGUAGUACUAGUCUUCACUGGCGUCGUCUGGCUCCUAGGAUCCGUCAUCUGGUCGCAACAACCGGGUAUAGGGGAAAAAGAGGUAGCAAAGCAACCGUGAGUACUCAUCCAAAGUACUCGCAAGACUUACAUCAGAUCUAAACCAAGUAUGCAUCUGUAUCGAAGGAGAUGGGUUGUAUCUGUGGACUAAACUGCAGAAUGCCAGAAGGGAAGGGGAAAGCCUAGCCUAUCGAAGACUAGCAUCUUCUGGAAACCACCAUCUUGCAGCAACAGGAGGGAGUAGAGUAGCAUAAAGUAAGUAGUAGUAGUGUUAUCAACCUCGGCCAGAGAUCCUUUCUCGACUCCCUACGAGAAAGCAAUCCCAGAGCCAUACUAUCCAGUUAUCAUCUCAUAUCCAAGUCUCAUCUCCAUGUCUCAUCACAAGUAUCUAGUUCUAGUUGUAUCGAUCGAAAUACAACUCCAAGUGUCCGUUACCGUAGGACAGGCUAUCGAUAGAUGUUUUCUUCCCUGGAGGAGUGCACCAACUUACCCACCACGCUCAAUUAACUCCGGCCGGACACACUUUCCUGGGUCAUGCCCAGCCUCAGCCAAAAAAUACACCGCAACCCGACCUAGGCUUAAUAGAGAGGUCAGCACGCCGGACUAAACCUAUGCCCCCAAGGGUCAUGGGCCAUCUCCCCGGGAACUCCUGCAUGUUGCGUGGGCGGCCGGUGAGCAGAUCUAGCUACCUCCUUCAAAAAGGUAGGUGCUUACCAGUCCAACCCGGCGUGCGCCGCUCAGUCGCUGACGUCUAUUAAGCUUCAGCUGAUGUAUACGACGCAGAACGCCCAUACUAUGCCCACGUGAUGGUUAGUGCUAUCAGGCCAGAGGCCCCUCGGAUGAAAUAUCCAAAUCGUAGUGGAUUAGGAACGCGCGGUAACGAGUAGAGACUCAUGAUCGAUGUGACCCCGUCACCCCGUCUCAAGUACUUGCGACAAGGGCUAAGAAUGCCCGGCCACGCCUCGUAAGUAUCUCGCGGGCACCUUCCAGGUCAACCCGACUCCACAUCACUCGCUAUUAAGCUUGCACGGGUACCCCUCAGGGCCUACCCAUCUUUAGUAACAUGGUUCAGUUGUAAAGCCAUAGUAACCAUAGUAACUGUGUGUCUAACACCAAGGGGGAAAACCGAGGAAUCACCCCCGGUGAAUUCCACUCGAUGUUAUCAUCAAGGUGAACGUAAGAGGAUCCACCCUCGAGGUUCACACUUGAGAAGUUGCACGACAGAGCCGUAACGGAAGUGGUUAAGGAGGAAAUCACCCUCGAUGACCAUGAUCGAAUAGCUACACUACAGGGUAACAUCAGAAGUGCUGAUGAGGUCUCACCCCCGGCACUCGAUAGCAACCCAGUAGUGUCGAGCAAACAAGGGGAAAGUGAUGUGCGGUGUCGGGGCCAGGUCUUCUAUCCCGUUGAUCGGGUCUUCAAUGAUGAAGCAGGGGCAACAAGGACAAGGUGGGGGGGUCACUGAUGGAUCACUAACCAACCUAUACUAAGCAGUUUAGGAUAAGCAGGUAAGGUAUGAAAGGAGGUAACAACAACAGGCUAUGCAUUAGAGUAGGAUCAUACAGAAAGUAGUAGCAGUUCUAAUGCAAGCAUGAGAGGGAAAGAAAUGGGCGAUAUCGGAAUGCUCAAGGGGGGUUUGCUUGCCUGGUUGCUCUAGCAAGGGGGGGGUCGUCGUCGACGUAGUCGAUCACAAGGGCAGCAUUGGUCUCGGGGUCUACCGGAGAGAAGAGGGGGAAGAAACAGUAAAUACAAAGCAAACAAUGCAUCACAAAAAUAUAACAAGGCAAAACACGGUGCAAGGGGUGACCUAACGCAGUACUAGGCGAUACUGGUGAAGGGGAGAAACAUCCGGGGAAAAAAGCCCCGGUGUUCCGCGUUUUCGGACAGAUGAAACGGAGGAGGAAAGUUGCGUGUUCGCUAUGCUAGGGAUGCGUGGCGGACGAACGAGUUGCGUAUCUGGAUUUGUCUCGUCGUUCUGAGCAACUUUCAUGUACCAAGUUUUUCGAUCCGAGCUACGGUUUAUUUAUAUGAUUUUUCAAAGUUUUACUCAUUUUUUGAAAUUAUUAUUAAUUCAAAAUUAAUAUGAGAAAAUGCUAUGGGUACCCAGCCUUGUGUACACAGAGGUUGACAUGUGAGCCAAGGGACCCAGUUGACCAGUCAAAGUUUGACUGGUCAACAAAGGGUGGGGGUCCCCUGUCAUUGACUGACUAGUAAACUAACAACUUUAGUUAGACUAAUUAUGUAGUUAAUAGGUUAAUUAACAUGAUUAAUUAGAUUAAUUAAUUAAUUGACUUUAUUUUUAUUAUUUUUAAAUCUUUUUUUAUUAAAAUGUUCCAGGGCAGGGCCCCACAUGUCAUAGGCCCAAAGGGUUCUAUCGGGCGCCGGGUGCAGCGGCAAACGGGCGCCUGGAGCGGCGCAACCCGGCUGGGCUCCCGCCCAAGUCGACAGGGGAGGGAAGGGCGCCAGGGCGCCGGCAGCUGCGGCGAGCUGCGCCGGGCAGGAGGCAGCAGAGGAGGUGGCGCGGCCCGAGUAGAGGAGGGGGACGCUCGCGGGGAAGCAGGGGGAGACGGAGGCAAGGGGCGCCGGUGGCCAUGGCCAGAGCGGGGAGGCGGCGGACGCCGGCGAAGGCAGCCGCGCGGGGAUGGGGAGCAGGGCCGGCCGUAGCCAAAGUCAGGUGCGGACGGGGCGCGGCCUGGGAGCGUGGUGAGCACAACCGCAGAGGGAGGAGGAGGCCAGUGGGGUUCCUCACCCGCGUUGCAGGGGAGGCCCGAUGCAGGGCGAACGCGACGGCAGGGAGCGGUGGAGUCGAGGAGGUGUUCCGGCGGGGUCCGACGAGGCGCGAGGCGGCGGCGACCUCGACGGCGUCGAGCAGGCGUCUGGCCACGAGGGAGAGGGGACGGGGCCGCGAGGAGGACGGCGACGUCGGGGCGAUGGAGGACUAGGCGGCGACGGGCGGCGACGCGGCGGUCCGGCGAGGUGGCGAUGGUCGGCACCGAGGCGAGGUCGCCAGGCGAUGGCGCGUCCAGAUCGGGGGAGAGGGGGCGCCGCGGCGAGGUCUGGCGCAGUGGUGAUGGUUGGCGGGGCGCGGGCGAUGGUGAGCUGCGAUGUGGCNNNNNNNNNNNNNNNNNNNNNNNNNNNNNNNNNNNNNNNNNNNNNNNNNNNNNNNNNNNNNNNNNNNNNNNNNNNNNNNNNNNNNNNNNNNNNNNNNNNNNNNNNNNNNNNNNNNNNNNNNNNNNNNNNNNNNNNNNNNNNNNNNNNNNNNNNNNNNNNNNNNNNNNNNNNNNNNNNNNNNNNNNNNNNNNNNNNNNNNNNNNNNNNNNNNNNNNNNNNNNNNNNNNNNNNNNNNNNNNNNNNNNNNNNNNNNNNNNNNNNNNNNNNNNNNNNNNNNNNNNNNNNNNNNNNNNNNNNNNNNNNNNNNNNNNNNNNNNNNNNNNNNNNNNNNNNNNNNNNNNNNNNNNNNNNNNNNNNNNNNNNNNNNNGCAGGUGGUGGGCUAGGGUUCCGGUUGCGUGGGGGUUAGUAGUGGGGGGAGGCCAUCUAGGCCAGGGACGCGCGGGAUGGGCUGGCUGGUUGCGACCAGCUGGGCCAAGAGGCCCACUGGGGAGGGGGGGGUUCUGUUUUUUUUGCAGCAGGCUUUUGCAAUUAAACUAGCCACCAAAUGACUUAGCAAAAUUGUGUGCCUGGCCAAAACAAUUACUAGGGAAUAAUGUGCUCUGCCAUAACAAGUUUGGACAAGUUUUGAUUCCAUUUGGGAUUUUCAAUAAUGGAAAAGGCAUUAAUAGUGCUAUUUUGGCACUGUUUAAAAUGCUUAGGACCAUUUUGUAGUAUAUGGUGAUGUUGUUUUCCUUAACAAUCAUUUGUUAUGGAAUUUUUGACAAAUGAUGAACAUUUUUGCAGCAAUAUUUGAGCAACUUCAAAUUCCACUUGCAUUUGAAUCUGAACUCAGAUAAGGAUUUUGAAAUAAGAUGUUUCACCACUGUGAUCAAGCAUUGCAAUGAUGAUGACUUAUCAUGAUUGAGAGGAGAUCACUUUAGGGUGAUGUUGGGGAUGUUACAAAUCUCCUCCACUACAAGAAAUCUCGUCCCGAGAUUUAAGUGGUGGAGUAAGGGGAAGACUUGGGAAGGACGGAGCUUAACACAAGAUAGGUAUGUGGGGACUAUGUUAGUGAACAUGGCAUAGAGGCAUCUCUCGAGUUGAAAUUCAAGAAAGUCAUCGAGAGCAAGGUGAGGUGCAAUAAGAAGCUUCAACCUGGUAGACAAUUGCUUGUUGCCUAAAACAAGGGGGUGAACGGGGUUCAGAGCAAUGGGAAUAAGUAUUGCGUCUGAUACCAGAAUAGAUCGCCUCUCGGAAGGCGGCUCGUGAUUUUCAUAAGAAGCCAAGCGUGAGAAAUUACCUUAGAACAAGGGUGUACAGGAGAGUCAGGUUUCGAUCCUGUGGAACUGUGGGUUAUGGGCCCACCAUGUGGGUUAAAAGCAGGAAGGCGCUAACAUUUUGCACGGUCAUGAUGGGAAGGUAGGUCAGAGGAUAGUCAGUCAAUUAUGUCGACGACAACAUCGGUACCAAGGGCGAGGGACGAAGAGAACCAUUUUCCUGCUCGUUGAAACGAGGCGGACCAAUAUGCAAAGUCCUCGUCCAUCGGUGGUUACCGGAAUGCCAACAACAAUAAUAGCAAGGUCUUACUGACAAAGUUGUACACCGAGGUGCUUACUUAAGCAGGGAUUUAUCUCUGCUCAGACAAGUUAGAUUACAAGAAAGGUGAAACAAAACAAUGGAAGGAAAAUGUGUUUACACACCAGAAUUGGGAGUAUAUCCUUCCCAAGGGGAAGCGGAGCGGGAUAAACAUGAUAUGACAGCAAGUUCAAAAGCAUUUAGUUAAAGGGGGCGAGGUAAGAAUCAUGAUAUUACACAUACCACGGUGUUUGGAUAAUAGAUCAAGAAACAUUCGGCAUUGCGCUUCCAAUGUCCUUGUUGAUGAACGAAGUACUACAGUCGUGCUUCGAGAUAGCAUUGUCAUGGCCAUCAGGUAAAGGUCGGGCCUUGGGAAUACGAAGGAUCCAUCAAGAAUUUCUAGAACACCUCAUGCAAUUUUAUUAGGAAAAAGAUGAGGAUGUGGCCGAUGGGUUCGGCAGCAAUCCUUCGACAGGUCAAAAGGAUGUAAUGCCAAAAUGAUAUGAACAAAAUUGUGUUGGGGGGAAGGCAAGAAUGUUGUCGAGCCCAAUCAUGGAGGGGCACGGAUGGUAUUCCUCAUCAUGAAUUCAAUUUAUAUCCUAGAGGAGCAUCAGAAUGUUGAUGAUGAUCACAUUUGUCGAGAGAUUUCAUGAAGAUGUAAUCGAUCAGCAAUGACAUCAAGUCAAAGGAAUGAUUAAGUGAAAGGUUAUUGGAACCAUGGGUACAAUACAAACUCGAAAUCAAGCUUGUUGUUCAAGGUGAAAUGAUAUGACAAGGAAGAUCAACGUAAGCUUAGCUCAUUGUUGGAAGUUGUGCUCCGGGAAGAAGGACCAGGUAGCACAGUUAAAGUUUAGCACGACAAGGAUAUAGCCGAUCAGGCUAGGAAUGACUGGAAGGAUUAUUACACUCGUAAGCAACGAAAAUUACUUAGAGUUAUCGAAUCGGAGUGCGGAAUCGAUACACUUACCGGUGUUCUUGAGUGACCAACCACUCAGAACCCGGGGAUAUUGGAAUUGGUGAUCAAUAGUAGUUCGAUGAAGAACUCAUAAGAAGUUAUGUAGUUCCUGUGAUAUUCUCGAGAUACCAAGGGGUAACACUCGAGGGUAAAUCAGAAUAGAGGUUGGGCAGAUGAAAUGAUCUGCAGAAGACAAGUAGUUUAACUUGUCCGGGAAAUGGAAUCAAGGAGAAAAUAUGGUCGGAACCAUGAUUGCAAAGAAUCAAUUUACAGAUGCAAGAUGAGAUUAUACCAAGGGAACAUUUGAUUAUAAGAGAAGCUUCCAUGAUAAGAUCUACAUCAUGUCUAUGGGCAUGAACACAAAGUUCAAGGUCGACUCCCACUUCUUCAAUGCAUAACAUCUCAUUUACUUCUCGCUUUUGACGAAGUUGUAGCGUUUUUUUUUUUAUCCGGCGUAACCCCAGUAUAGUAUGACCCAUAGAAAAGUCCGGGUUCACACAAAUUAGGGAAAGCAUUAGUUCAACCCGUCGUGGCAUCUUAGGAACUUAUGCAAAAACUUCAGAGGUAAUUAACUCAAGCUCGGAAGCAAAGCAUGGUUGACAAAGCAGAGAAUACCAUUUACCAAGGGCAAUAUGUAUCAGGGGAAGAGCGCGCAAAUUUUGAAUAUGAAUGACACUGCCGGAUAAUAAUCCAACAAAGGAUUCGGCGGUCCAUAAUGGAUCUGGUGUGAGUAUCAGUACUCAAUCAGAAGAAGGAAAGAAUGCACAGGCAUUCGAUUAUAGAAACAUCUGAAUAAUUCGAUGCUAAAGUACAAAGGAGUCAUGGUUUCAAGACGAAGGACCAGAAGCAGAGGCUCUGAUCAAAAGAUGAGUAAGUUGAAUAGACUUAGAGGUGCACCCGAUCAAAUCUGGAUUGGGCAAGAACCAGCUCAUAUCAGGAAGGAUGUCUGAGCUGGAAAGAAAAUUUCCAAGGAUUAAUUGAUGAUUGCGAGUAUUCGCACACAUUGCUAGACAUAUGGAAUUAAUCCUAAUGCAAGCAGGCAAGGAGAAUCAAGAGCAAUAGGCUGCAGAGGAUUUUGAAAGAUCAGAUAACAUUUUCAGGUAUUUUGGAAAGCAUAUAAACAACUGGGGAUGAACGAACCUCGGUUAAGUGAAUUAUCCGCAGUGCAAAAAAAGAAGCUGCAAAGCAGAAGGCACAAGGAUUCUCGGAACAAUGGAGAGUGCUAGGGGUAUCUUGUAACAACAUGAGCAACUGGGGAUGAAGGUACAAGCGGCAAGGAGGUUAUUCACGAGGAUUAUUGGUGGUCAGGAACUGUAAGGCAGUGGGCACAGAGUCUCGAGAAACAUCAAGGAGUAUCCGCAGAAUCUUCUGGCGAAGCAGGCGAUCAUCGGUAAUGUCGGGGCUCUCCGGGAGGAAGUGGGUACGAGAACUGUCGGUGUACUAGAGUAGGGGUACCCUAGUAUCCCGAACUUGUGCACGGGCAGUCGCAGCAUCCCGCGGCAAGGCUUGCCGGGUGACCGCCAAGGUCCUCCGUGGUUCCUUUGAAGCCAUUCAAGGACAAAGUAUCCAAGCCAAGGAGACAAGAGGAGCUUGCCAGGAAGGCCAACCAAGGCAUCUCAAGGAACUUGCCGCGACGCGCCACGCGUCUCGGCAAGGCCCGGUGAGCGACAAGCUCCCGGACGCGACAAGACAACGACCGCGGCAAGGCGCUUGCCGCGGCAAGCCACCACUCUGUGCCCGCGCUCCAGCACACCCACCAACGUGUCGCUCUGGGACCCUUCCAGGCGUACGUGGCGGGAGGCUGUACAGCCAGCGGUGCGUGGUGGCAAGCGGCACUGACAAGAUUGCCAUCGUGGCGAGCGGUGGCGUCCCUGGCGGUCCCUUUUGCACUAUUUAGGCGACACAGACGGGCAUUUAAUGCCCUUGUCCCCUGCCGUCAGGGUUAGGUAUGAUACACUGUAGCAGGUAGUUGUACCAACCGCAACACCUUUCCAUUUUUACCCUUGUCUACGUUGCCACCUGUUGGUGACCCCUUGAGCAUAUAAAAGGAGGCCCAUGCGCAACGUAGAGAGGGGGGAGGAGAACACUCACGCUCGGUCUCGUUAGCUGCUGGGGUGUACUGUAGCACUCCGCGCUCCCGAGCAAGAACUCAAUACAAACCGCAAAGCGGGAGUAGGGUUUUACACAUCCGUGCGGCCCGAACCUGGGUAAACUGCUCAUGUGCUUCACCUCGAUCCGCUCUUCGUGCGACCCUCGCCCCCGCCGAACCGAAAGGGACUCGGUCCGCCGGUCCCAUAGGUGCUCGUGGAUUAGCCCCCCAACAUCUUUGGCGCACCAGGUAGGGGCUUCGAGGUUGUGUGAACCAGAUCCGGCGUUCACACGAGCUAGAUCUUCAUCAUCUUCAUCGACAUGCCGCCGAAGAAGCAAGCGUCGGAGGCGGCUGCUCCGUCCGCGCCGAACCCACCACCGCCGGAGCAAACGGCUGAUGGGGCAGACGCCGGCGGAAGAACGGGCGUCGACGAGGGAGCUCACGGUGCUGCCAGGUCCAAGGACAAGGCUGCGCUGCCCAUCGGCGGCGUAGCCGGCUCCCACAACGACCGGGCGCACUCCAAGACCUCGGCGUCCGUACAUGCACCGCGCCCAUCUCAGGAGGCGCGGGGCCGGCAGCGUCAUGAUACUCACAGUACCAUGCGUUUGCUGGACCAAGAUCGAGCUGGUGGAUCUCAGAGUGCUCAAGACCAGCAUGCACGCCAACAUGCUGGCACGAGCGAGGCACGGUCGCCUGGACGGGAUACUGCUCCUUCUAACAUAGUUAGAAGUCCGAGCAUAUCCCGCUCCUCGCACCGUUCGCCACCGCCACCCACCACUCCAGCAGAAGCUUUGGCAUGAGCUCAACUGCUCCUGGACUACCCUCCGACGGCAGACAAGAUCGACGGCUGGAGGGCCACCAUUCAGAGUCUCAUCGGCUUCGCCAACGGCGACACUCAACGGCAGCCGAGCACGUCGCAGCCGCGGCAAGUCAGCCAGGCACGAGCCGGUGGCGACAAGACCGGUGGGGGUGCAACCACUGUGCACUCUCCGCCCCGAAGGCCAAGAUCGCCGACUCGCCGGAUCCACCUCGACAGCGACUCCACCGCGUCAUCAGAUCCACGAGCUCGUCGCGAUCAGCGCCAAGUUCUUCACGAACGACAGCAAGAAGACGCUCGUACUCGCAUCGAGCGCCAAAGAGAAGUGCGACGUCAAUCGGACCAGCGCGCUGGGCCCUCUGUCGACAUGCAUGCGCCGGGGGAACCAGGUGACUUGCCGUACGCGGUAGGUUGCCCUGCGUUUACUCGUGAGCUGCGGCAAGUCCAGUGGCCCAGCACGAAGAAUUUCAAGCCAGACGUACCAGAGAAGUACGACGGCAAGUCGCAUCCGUCGGAGUUCCUCAGCAUCUACACCAUCGCGGUGCAGGCUGCCAGGGGGCGGGACGACAAGAUCCUUGCCAACUACUUCCCGCUGGUGCUCAAGCCCAACGUCAGGUCCUGGCUCAUGCACUUGCCGGACGACUCCAUAUCCUCCUGGGCAGACCUAUGCCAUCAGUUUGUCGGCGCCUUUACAGGCGGCCACAAACCCCAUGGCCAAGAGAGUGACCUUCAUCUGCUCGCCCAGAAGGAAGGAGAGCCCCUGUGCAAGUACAUUCAGAGAUUCAGCCGUGUACAGCACAACAUCCCAGAUGUCCACCCUGCCGCGGUCAUCAGCGCGUUCCAUCAGAACGUGCGUAACCGCAGGAUGCGGAAGGAGAUGGCGAUGUGCAAGAUCAGAGACGUCAGUGAGCUGUAUGCCCUGGCCGACAAGUGUGCACGUGCUGAGGAAGGGAGGAAACUCCCCGGAGAGAAUACAGGAGCAGGAGGAUCUGACAGCGAGGAUGCUGCCCCUGCAAAGAAAAACCGGCGGCGGAACAACAGGAAGAAGAAAGGCAAAAAUGUGCUAGUCAUUGAGCAGUCCGGCAACGAAGGUGGCGCCAAGAAAGCCAAAACUGGUAGCUCCGGCAAGGAGAUUGCUGCAAGCACCAACUGCCAGACUGUGGCGGUCGCCGACAAGCAGGACGGCACCGACAAGCAGUACUGCAAGAUCCACCGCACCAAGGGCCAUGACCUCCAGAGCUGCAAGAAGGUCGAACAGCUUGUCCAGCAGCAAAAGGCUGAAUACGAGCGACGCGACAAGGAGAGGGCCCAAGGAGGCGCUGGAGAAUCCGGCAAGAAGCGCGCCGGCCGGGGAGGACGCCUCGGCAAGGCCAAGCAGCGGCAAGGAGAAAGACCUCCCCGCGGCCGCGACAAGGAUGAAGACGACGACAACGACGAAGACAUGGAUGAUGUCGAGACCAGUGAGCAGGAGUUCCAGAAAGCCACAGAGGUCUUGUGCGUUGACGGCGGUGCUUCUCUGCAUACUUCGCACCGCCAACUCAAGCAGUGGGUGCGGGAAGUCAAUGCGGCAGAACCGCCUGUCGAGUCACGCAAGCUUCUGAAAUGGUCCAGCAUGCCUAUCAUCUUUGAUAUUGAGGACCACCCUGAUCGCACAACUGCGGUCGGGUGCUUGCCGAUGUUGGUUUCACCAACUAUCCGCAACCUCAAGGUCACUAAGAUACUAGUUGACGGCGGGGCCGGCUUGAACCUGAUCUCCUCCGCGGUACUCCAGAAACUCGAGAUCCCUGACAGCGAGCUUGAAGAGACUGGCACAUUCCAAGGAAUCAACCCGGGAAGGAGCAAGCCGAAGGGGAAGGUCACGUUGCCAGUAACAUUUGGCAGCGAGGUGAACUUCAGGACUGAGAGGGUCACUUUUGACGUUGCCGAUUUUCCAUUGCCUUACAAUGGGAUACUCGGCCGUCCAGCACUCGCCAAGUUCAUGGCAGUCUCUCACUACGCAUACAACAUGCUGAAGAUGCCACGCCCGAUAAGCGUCAUCUCUGUCCCUGGCGACAAGAAGGAUGCUCUUAUCUGCGCCGACAAGAUCUACCGGGAAGCGGUAGCCGCAACAGAUCGGAAGUCACCUGCCGUUGAAGCUCCCGGGGGGAAGAAGAAGACCAAGUCCGGCAAGAGUUCUGAUGCCCACUCCGGCAAGCGCACCUCUUCGGAGUGCUGCGCUGCCGUCGAGGACGCACCAUCGAGCUCCACCGGCAAGUGUAAGAAGACAAUGGCAGCUCCGCCAGAGACCAAGAAGGUGUCCGCCAAGGAGGACGGCACUGGUGGUACCUUCACCAUCGGUGCCACUCUCGACCCUAAAUAGGAAAGCGUGCUCAUUGCUUUCAUGCGGGCAAACGUCGACGUGUUUGCGUGGCAACCGUCUGACAUCCCCGGUGUUCCCAGGAAAGUAAUUGAGCACCAUCUUGCCGUUUGUCCUCAUGCGCGGCCCGUCAAGCAGAAGGUCAGGAAGCAAGCAGUGGAGCGCCAAGAAUUCAUCGCAGAAGAGAUCAAGAAGUUGGAAGCAGCAGGCCUUGUCAGAGGAGUGCUCCAUCCUACGUGGUUGGCCAAUCCUGUAGUCGUGCGCAAGGCAAACGGGAAAUGGAGACUUUGUAUCGACUUUACCGAUGUUAACAAAGCUUGUCCCAAAGACCCAUUUCCUUUGCCGCGCAUUGACCAGAUUAUUGACUCCACGGCCGGAUGUGAUUUGCUUUCAUUUCUUGACGCAUACUCAGGAUACCAUCAGAUCUUCAUGGCAGAAGAGGAUGAGGAGAAGACCGCAUUCAUCACUCCAUGUGGCACGUACUGUUUCAUACGGAUGCCUUUCGGUUUAAAAAAUGCUGGUUCAACAUUUGCAAGAGUAGUCCAUGUCGCUCUUGAGCCACAAAUACACAGAAAUGUGGAAGCCUACAUGGAUGACAUAGUGGUCAAGAGCAAGGACAAGGCAACUCUGAUUCAAGAUUUAGACGAGACCUUUGCAAAUUUGUGCAAGAUCAGCCUCAAGCUCAACCCCGAGAAGUGCGUGUUUGGAGUCCCCUCGGGCAAGCUUCUCGGGUUCUUCGUGUCUCAGCGGGGAAUUGAAGCCAAUCCCGACAAGAUCAAGGCCAUUGAGCAGAUUGAAGCACCAAAGCGCGUCAAAGAUGUACAAAGACUUGCCGGUUGCGUGGCUGCUCUCAGCAGGUUUAUCUCUAGGUCUGCUGAGCGCGCCCUGCCAUUUUUCAAAAUAUUGAAAAAGGCAGGUCCAAUGAAAUGGACUCCGGAAGCGGAGGCUGCACUGCAAGACUUGAAGAGAUACCUGUCCUCCGCUCCAACACUUGUCGCACCUAAGCCACAAGAGAAGUUGCUGCUGUAUAUAGCGGCAACCAAUCAAGUGGUUAGUGCUGCGUUAGUAGCAGAGAGGGAGGCAGAUGACGAGCCAGCAACCGCGGCAGGCGCAUCCAGCGACAGCUCUGGCCCCGACAAGGAUGGAUCUGCGCAGACGCGCGAGGAGAUACAGAAGAGAAUGGUACAACGCCCAGUUUACUUUGUCAGUUCCCUUCUGCAGGGGGCUAGGUCAAGGUACUCUGGCGUGCAGAAACUGCUUUUCGGCCUUCUCAUGGCCUCGAGAAAGCUGCGCCAUUACUUCCAAGCACAUGAGAUCACAGUUGUCACUCGUUUUCCGCUGAAGAGGAUACUAUAGAAUCCAGAAGCGACAGGCAGGAUUGUUGAGUGGGCACCGGAACUGUCAAGCUUUGGCCUAAAGUUUGAGGGUACUUCAACUAUCCAAAGCAGAGCAUUGGCAGAAUUCAUAGCAGAAUGGACGCCAACACCAGAUGAAGAAAUUCUAGAAACGAGCAUCCCCAUUGAGGAAGCAAGCAAAAAGUGGCUGAUGUACUUUGAUGGUGCCUUUUCGCUGCAAGGCGCCGGCGCUGGUGUGCUGAUUGUCGCACCCACCGGAGAGCACCUCAAGUACGUAGUCCAGAUGCACUUUCCCAAGGAGCAAGCGACAAACAAUACUGCAGAGUAUGAAGGCUUGCUUGCCGGUCUCAGGAUCGCAGCAGACCUUGGGAUCAAGAAGCUCAUUGUCAGGGGUGACUCGCAGCUUGUCGUCCGCCAAGUGAACAAGAGCUAUCAGAGUCCGUUGAUGGAAACCUACGUCGAUGAAGUGAGAAAGCUAGAAGAGCACUUUGACAGCCUAUAGAUGGAGCAUGUUCCAAGAGCUCAGAACGCCAUUGCCGAUGGCCUAUCAAAGUGCACCGCACUUAAGUUACCUGUGGAACCAGGGAUCUUUGUGCUCAAGCUGACUCAACCGUCUGUAACGCCAUCAACUGGACAGAGCAAAAGGAGGAAGUUGAUUUCUGGUGACUAUUUUUCGGCAGAGCUUCCCGAAGCCGCCGCCAAGAAGGUCGCCAAGAUCAACGCCAAGAGCGCUGAGGAGCAGUCUGCUCCGGCAAGCCCUAGGGUUUGUUCCGUUGAAGCAGAAGCUCCCGACAAGUUUUGCUCCGGCAAGCUUGCCGGGGAACGUCAAGCUCCAGCAGAGCCGCAGGUUCUCGUCGUAGAAGCGGACGUUCCCGCAGCAACAGAUUUGCCUUGCGCUGAGGAGCAAUCUGCUCCAGCAAGCCCUAGGGUUUGUUCCGUUGAAGCAGAAGCUCCCGACAAGUUUUGCUCCAGCAAGCUUGCCGGGGAACGUCAAGCUCCGGCAGAGCCGCAGGUUCUCGCCGUAGAAGCAGAUGUUCCCGCAGCAGCAGAUUUGCCUUUAGUCCUUGUUGUCGAGCCACAAGCUCCAGCAUGGGCACAGCAGAUUGUCCGUUUCCUUCAGACAGGAGAACUUCCCGAAGAGCAAGAAGAAGCGGAAAGAGUAGCCCGGCAGUCAAGUAUGUACCAGUUUGUCGACAACACACUGUACAGAAGAAGACUCAACGGUGUGAAAUUGAAGUGUAUUCACCGGGAAGACGGACAAAAGCUGUUGGCAGAGAUACAUGGAGGCAUAUGUGGUCACCACAUUGGCGCAAGAGCACUUGCCGGCAAAGCAUUCCGGCAAGGUUUCUUUUGGCCGACAGCCCUCCAGGAUGCAACUGCACAAGUAACCAAGUGUGAAGCGUGCUAGUUCCAUUCCAAGCAGAUACACCAACCAGCUCAAGCUCUCCAAAUGAUCCCUUUAUCCUGGCCAUUUUCGGUCUAGGGGCUCGACAUCCUCGGCCCCUUUCCCCGAGCAGUCGGGGGCUUUGAGUACUUGUACGUUGCAAUCGACAAGUUCACAAAGUGGCCGGAAGUGGAAGCAGUGAGGAAGGUGACAUCACAGUCAGCAGUCAAGUUCUUCAGGUCGAUUGUUUGCCGCUUCGGGAUCCCUAACAGGAUAAUCACCGACAACGGUACGUAAUUCACGAGCCGCACCUUCAUGCAGUACGUCCAAGAUCUUGGCGCCAAGGUCUGCUUCGCUUCUGUUGCUCACCCGAGAAGCAACGGUCAAGCGGAGAGGGCAAAUGCUGAAGUGUUGCGUGGGCUCAAGACCAGAACUUUCGACAGGCUGCACAAGUGCGGAAGAAACUGGAUCGAGGAGCUGCCGGUGGUUCUUUGGUCGAUCAGGACGACGCCAAAUCGAGCCACUGGCCAGACACCUUUCGCUCUAGUCUAUGGAGCAGAGGCAGUUCUCCCCACGGAACUCGUAUACGGGUCACCUCGAGUGCUCGCUUAUGAUGAGCUUGAGCAAGAGCAGCUGCGACAAGAUGACGCGCUACUCCUUGAGGAAGACCGUCUUUAGGCUGCUGUACGAGCUGCUCGCUACCAACAAGCUUUGCGCCGCUACCAUAGCCGCAAAGUUAACGCCAGAAGUCUCGAGGAAGGCGACCUUGUUCUUCGGCGUGUUCAGUCCGCCAAGAAUUCCAACAAGUUGACACCGAAGUGGGAAGGCCCUUACCGGGUGAAACGAGUCACUAGGCCUGGCGCUGUCCGCCUUGAGACCGAAGAUAGCAUUCCGGUGAGCAAUUCCUGGAACAUUGAGCAUCUUCGUAAGUUUUACCCGUAAGGCGCGGUUGCCGGAACCUGUUCCGGCAACCACCUUUUGUACAAGUCUUGCCUCUGUUGCAUGUAAUCCUUUGUACAAAGCCGGGCGCAGACCCCGUGCAUAAGUAAAGCUCAUAUGCUCUGCACAUCUUGUCAAUUUCAUGCUUUCUAUUUUUUGCAUAUGUGAUCUGACACUUUGUGCAGCACCUACUCCCCGGUAAGCAAUAACGAGCCGUAAGGCUCCAUAUCUUUAUUUUCUCUUCUUUCUUUUUUCUCAAGGAAAGGAAGGUUCCCUCGCCCACAAGUUUGCCGGGGGGAAAGGAGAAGAUAAUGGUAUGGACCAGGCGUCGUUCAAGAAAGUUUCGCCUGACCGAGAGGCAAACAACAGAAAAGCUAAGUUGCCAAAGUUUGAGCAAUCAGAUUUUUAAAAUUUUUAAGUUAUCUCCCUUGAACGACCGCACUUUGUAUGGAAAACCUGUGCGCGGAGGAACCAACUCGUAGCUAGUUGCGCCCUUAUUUUGUUUCUAGUCCGCUCAACAACUUAAGUGAGCUGCGACUAGUUGCGACAAGGUUUCUUGUCGGUAGCGGCACCGCCAGCAGGCUGCUGACGUUCCGCACUCAGCGCUCGUGGCUAAGGUGCCUGCACCGGCAAGUUCCCUAAAAGCGUAGGGCAAAAACAUACAAAGGGAGGAAUCAAGUAAAGGGAAUAACAUUGCAAUCAUUACCGGGAAUAGAGUUAUAGUACAAGGUAGCUUGUCGCGGCUCUAACAGAUUGUUCUCAUAACAUGACCAGCAGCGACAAGAAAAGAAGAAAACAGGCGGCCUAGUCUAUGCGAUCGCCCUCAAUCCUCUUGAUCCCGCUCACCUUGUCCACAAUGGGUGCGACAAGGGUCUUGAGUGCCUCCAGAUCAGCAUCCGGCAGCAGGGUCUUGAGGACGUUGGUGAGGUUGAGGCCCGGGUUGCUGAAGGCCACCUUCACCAACACCUUUUGAAGAGCUCCCGCGCAGAUCUUGCGCGACUCGUCGGCCAGCUACUUUGGGAUCUUCUCCCGGAGCCGCUGGAGGGCCGUCGCCAUGCCUUUGAAGAACAAGGUGAGCUUGGCGCUGGGUUGGAGGUUCUCAUCAGAGGGAUACCCGAGAUCCUCCAACCCCAGCUGCGCCAGCUACCUGACGAUAUCUGCGGCAGCAUUCACGAGACCCUCUGUCCAGUACUCCACAUUCUCCCUAAAAGCAUUCUGGGCGGCGGCAGCACUCGCCAGCAGCGCCUUGUCGCCUUGAUCUCCUCCUUCAAGGCCACCUCCUGCUCCCUGGUGCCGUCCAGCGUCUUGGUCAAAGUGGUCAGCUUCAACUCAAGAUCUGCGUUGGAGUCCUUGGCGGCGCUAAGCUCUUUGCCCUUCUCGGCAAGCUCUUCACCACUCGCCUUGAGAUCGGCCUCCAGCCGCGCCACCUUCGUCUCUAGCUCCUUCUUGGCGGCCUCGGCAGCUGCGGCAGCAUCCUCCGCUUGCUUGAGGGCUCCGCCGAAUGUUCGCUCGCGCGCGGCAAGCUCCUCCUCGUGUGCGUCAAGGCUGACCUUCCGCUGCACCAGCUCGCCCUCCUGCGUAGAAAGCUUCUCAGCGGCAAGCUGUUGUUGCUCUUCAACUUCGGCCUUCUCGAGGAAGAAGGCCUUCUGCUCUCCGGCGAGUUGCUCCCGCUCCUCUACCAGGGACCAGAGAGCUUCCUGGUUGAGACCCCGGAGCUCCUCCGCGCGCUUCUCGAUGUCCGCUCCCGCCUUCGCGACAAGCACCUCGCAGGAUUCCAGCUUGGCUUGCCGCAUGCGGUAGAGCGACAACAUCUUCCGCAGCAGCCGCUCCUCUUCAGGCUCGCCGCUGCUGCUGCUCGGCGCGUCAACCAGCGUCGGCCCAGCGGAGGCGAGCACCUCUCUGUCGAAGCUCUCUCCCUCGAUCGGCGCCCUGGAGCUUGACGCCCAGGGGAGGUUGAUGAAGACGCCAUCGUUGGCCUUCAAGUAGACGCCUGGCUGGGGCUCUUCGGAGCCUGGCGCUGCGGCAGCGGCGGACGGGUCGGCGGUCGACGUAGCGCCUGGCGCUCCUGCGGCCUCAGGGCCGUCAGUGCGAUCGCCAGACCCCCCGCCUGUUUCUGCGGCGACAGCUUUGGCGGCCUCUGUGCCGGCGGGAUCGUCAGCACCGGCUGCUUUUUCGGUGGCAACGGCGUCGUCGGCGGCAACCUCGGUCUCCAUCGGCUCCGCAGCAGAUGGGUCUGACGGCCGGAAAAGGGAGAAGAGUCAAGCAAAUAUCCAAGAAAAGAGAAAAAGAUCAAAAGAAGAAGAACCCAAGGGAAGUUUUGAAGCGAGAGGAGUACCUGUACCGGGUUCUGCAGUCGUGGUCUCCGCCGCCGGAGGGCCGCUGAUGCUGUCCCUUGCCGGAGAACUCUCCCUUGCCGAAGACUUCUCCGUUGCCGGAGAACUCUCCCUUGCCGGAGGAUUCUCCCUUGGCAUUUCGGGGGCAGCCUCCGGGCACUCCUGGUGAGGCUGCUCUGCUCCUACACAAACCAACAGUCAAAUGUCAGCAAAGAAAGAGUAUCCAUGCGCGCCUAACAGCGGAAAGUGAACCAUAUACUUACGCUGGGGGCUGCUCUGGAGAACAGUUGCCGGGUCCGGCAAGGUGGGUUCGUCCUCGAUGACAAUCACCGGGACCUUGGCUCUCUUUGCUGCUCUCUGGGCCAGAGUCCUAAAAAGGAAUAAGUUCACAGUAAAGCAAAUGAGAUACAAGACAAAACAGCAAGAAUUGAAGAAUUACAAGUACAACAAGAGAAUCUUACUCUUCUUCUUCCUCGUCGGAGCUGAACGCGGAGAAGUCGAAGUCUGGCUCACGUCCGGCGCGAGGAGGCGGAGGAGUGGUUUCCCUUGGCCGCUUGGCGGGAAUAGUGGCGGUGGUAUGAGACGACCCCGCUCCGGCUGCCGCCGCAGCGUGAGAAGCGGCAGGAGCAGAAGCGGUGGUCCGGGUGGACCCCGCUCCAGUUACCACAGCAGCAUGAGGUGCUCCCGCGGCAACAGUGCUUGUCGCGGUGGAGCAUGUCGCGCGGCGUGGCGGCUGUUCACUUGCCCGCUACCCCACUACGUCCCCGGCCUUGCGGAGACGCCUUCUUGGUGGAGAUGGAGGUUCUGCUUGCAGCGAGCUGCCUGAAGAUGAGGAGGAAGAGGAGUUGAUCUCCAGCGAGCCGCUCGCAUCCUCGGUGGGCUCGCUCGACUCGACGCCAUGCCCGGCAAGCUCUUUCUUGCCGGCGGGCUCCCCUCACUCGGCAUGGCUUGCCGCCUCUGCUGCAUCUGCCUACUCCACGGUGAAUCCAAAUUCGCCCGCGGCUGCGGCCACCGCCGCCUCUUCCAGCCUAGUGGCGAUGCGUGUCAUCUCUGCAUCGGUGGUGUCGCGGGUGAGGCUAUCCUUUUCGUCGGAGCGGACCGACACUUCUACCAAGCCGUCAAAGAACUCCUGCACGACGUUGUCUGCAGGCUCUUGCCAAGUUGGGACAAUUCCAUGCGAAUCGCACAGCGGCAUCAUUGCACGGAUGCGGUUGAGCGCGGAGUUGUUGCACAGCGGAACGACACCCCCCGGCAACCUGAACACUUCGGGAUGUUGAGGGUCAUACUUGAACAGCUCCUGGAGCAUCGCGUUGAGCUCCAGAACAGUGAAGUUGAAGUUGAGGCCCGGACGCAGCCUCAUGAUAUCCGCCGCAUUCUUGAAUUCCCAGGCGGGUCUCCCCCGUUCCUGCAGGGGGGCGAUGCGGCGACGAAGAAAAUCUGCGCCAACAGCGCCAACAGUGAGCCCGGCAAGCCUGAGGCGUAGGAUCCGGGUGACGGCAAUCUUCAGCUUAUUGUCUUCCGGGGCCACGUCACUCCAAUCGCUGCCGCGUGCUACUGGGGCUUGGCGCCGGGCGGUAAACGGCUGCGGGUUCUCCUCGACAAUCCAGCACCAGUCUGCUCUCCAUUCCUCCCACUUGCCGCGGAACUCUCCUUCCAGAUAAGUGUCCUUCUUGCCAGCCCUCGAGAUCCAGGCGAUUCCGUCGGAUAAAGGCUCUCCUCUCUCUACUCGGGCCAUAAAGAAGUGGCGAAAAGGGCUACAUUGGGAUGGACUCCGACAAAAUUUUUGCAGAGAUGUGCGAAAACUGCCAUGGUCAGAACGGCAUUGGGAGUGAAAUCAAGGAGGUGGAACCCGUAGGUGUUCAUAAUAUCGCAGAAAAACUCAGAGAAAGGCGGGCAGAGCCCGCAGUAGAAGAACAAGGCGAAGAAUGGAUAUCCAUUUGGAGCCGUUUUCCAAGCGGCAGCUGGAAGUACCUUCGUGCGCGGGUGCGCUCGCGUCUCCGUCGACCAGAAGAGGUAGUAAUUCUCCCUCAGCUCCCUCGUGGCGAGCUUGGGGGGGAAGAUUGCCCGCUCCUUUCGUAGCGCCGCAAGCCGCUGCGCCUCGGUGGACUUCACAACCUUCCCCUUGUCGGCUCUUGGAGCCAUGGCGGAAGUGGUGGAGGAGGUCGACGGCGUAGGUGGUGCUGGUGGCGAUGGGGGGCGGGGCGCUGCUCUCUUUCAGCUUUGGGAAGACGAGGGAACGGCGGAGAUUUCCGAGAUUGGAGUAGCAACCGGCGAAUGGGCGAACUACCUCUGUUUCCCAUGCUUAUAAAGAGGGAAGGGGCGGACGUUCCACCUUUCCGAAUAAAGAAACCACCCACGAUCUCUCCCAUGACGCCGCAUUCAACGCGUGUUGUCCGGGGAGGGCGCGGUGGAUACGGGGAUAGAUACGGCGUAACCCAGGCCGCGCGUGCCCGUGCCCUAUUUUGGGCCUGGCCCAAUAGCGCUCGGCACCGUGUAUGGCCCAGGCCCGGGGGCUCCUGUCGGUGUACUAGAGUAGAGGUACCCUAGUAUCCCAAACUUGUGCACGGGCAGUCGCAGCAUCCCGCGGCAAGGCUUGCCGGGUGACCGCCAUGGUCCUCCGUGGUUCCUUUGAAGCCAUUCAAGGACAAAAUAUCCAAGCCAAGGAGACAAGACCCCGGCAAGAGGAGCUUGCCGGGAAGGCCAACCAAGGCAUCUCAAGGAACUUGCCGCGACGCGCCACGCGUCCCAACAAGGCCCGGUGAGCGACAAGCUCCCGGACAUGACAAGACAACGACCGCGGCAAGCCACCACUCUGUGCCCGCGCUCCAGCACACCCACCAACGUGUCGCUCUGGGACCCUUCCAGGCGUACGUGGCGGGAGGCUGUACAGCCAGCGGUGCGCGGUGGCAAGCGGCACUGACAAGAUUGCCAUCGUGGCGAGCGGUGGCGUCCCUGGCGGUCCCUUUUGCACUAUUUAGGCGACGCAGACGGGCAUUUAAUGCCCUUGUCCCCUGCCGUCAGGGUUAGGUAUGAUACACUGUAGCAGGUAGUUGUACCAACCGCAACACCUUUCCAUUUUUACCCUUGUAUACGUUGCCACCUGUCGGUGACCCCUUGAGCAUAUAAAAGGAGGCCCAUGCGCAACGUAGAGAGGGGGAGGAGAACACUCACGUUCGGUCUCGUUAGCUGCUGGGGUGUACUGUAGCACUCCGCGCUCCCGAGCAAGAACUCAAUACAAACCGCAAAGCAGGAGUAGGGUUUUACGCAUCCGUGCGGCCCGAACCUGGGUAAACUGCUCGUGUGCUUCGCCUCGAUCCGCUCUUCGUGCGACCCUCGCCCCCGCCGAACCGAAAGGGACUCGGUCCGUCGGUCCCAUAGGUGCUCGUGGAUUAGCCCCCCGACAAGAACCUAAUGUCAGAGUUAGUAAAAUGUUUAACCUGAAUAGAAGAGAGAUCAGAAUCCCAGAGUAUAGACGAGGAAUAAAAGAUCCUAGUACAACCCAUCGGCAACGUGGGCCCGUAAGCCACACAGCCAAGUUAGUAAAACAGUUUUGGAUGACCAGACUCGACUUUGACCAAGGAGUUGGAAAGGGGGCUACCUACAGGCAGUCAGCUCUGAUACCAACUUGUGACGCCCUCGAUUCAAUCGUACACUAAUCAUACACGCAAAUGUGUACGAUCAAGAUCAAGGACUCACGGGAAGAUAUCACAACACAACUCUAGACACAAAUUAAAAUAAUACAAGCUUUAUAUUGCAAGCCAGGGGCCUCGAGGGAUCGAAUACACAAGAGUCAGCGGAAGCAACAAUAUCUAAGUACAGACAUAAGUUAGACAAGUGUGCCUUAAGAAGGCUAGCACAAAAGCAACAACGAUUGAAAAGGCAAGGCCUCCUGCCUGGGAGCCUCCUAACUACUCCUAGUCGUUUGCGGUCUUCACGUAGUAGUAGGCAUCCUCCGGGUAGUAGUAGUCUUCAGUGGCGUCGUCUGGCUCCUGGGAUCCGUCAUCUGGUCGCAACAACCGGGUAUAGGGGAAAAAGAGGUAGCAAAGAAACUAUGAGUACUCAUCCAAAGUACUCGCAAGACUUACAUCAGAUCUAAACCAAGUAUGCAUCUGUAUCAAAGGAGAUGGGUUGUAUCUGUGGACUAAACUGCAGAAUGCCAGAAGGGAAGGGGAAAGCCUAGCCUAUCGAAGACUAGCAUCUUCUGGAAACCACCAUCUUGCAGCAACAGGAGGGAGUAGAGUAGCAUAAAGUAAGUAGUAGUAGUGUUAUCAACCUCGGCCAGAGAUCCUUUCUCGACUCCCUGCGAGAAAGCAAUCCCAGAGCCAUACUAUCCAGUUAACAUCUCAUAUCUAAGUCUCAUCACAAGUAUCCAGUUCUAGUUGUAUCGAUCGGGAUACAACUCCAAGUGUCCGUUAUCGUAGGACAGGCUAUCGAUAGAUGUUUUCUUCCCUGCAGGGGUGCACCAACUUACCCACCACGCUCGAUUAACUCCGGUUGGACACAUUUUCCUGGGCCAUGCCCGGCCUCGGCCAAACAAUACGCUGCAACCCGACCUAGGCUUAAUAGAGAGGUCAGCACGCCGUACUAAACCUAUGCCCCCAGGGGUCAUGGGCCAUCUCCCCGGGAACUCCUGCACAUUGUGUGGGCGGCUGGUGAGCAGACCUAGCUACCUCCUUCAAAAAGGUAGGUGCUUACCGGUCCAACCUGGCGCGCGCCGCUCAGUUACUGACGUCUAUUAAGCUUCGGCUGAUGUAUACGACGCAGAACACCCAUAAUAUGCCCACGUGAUGGUUAGUGCUAUCAGGCCAGAGGCCCCUCGGAUCAAAUAUCCAAAUCGUAGUGGAUUAGGAACGCACGGAAAUGAGUAGAGACUCACGAUCGAUGUGACCCCAUCGCCCCGUCUCGAGUACUUGCGACAAGGGCUAAGAAUGCCCGGCCACGCCUCGUAAGUAUCUCGCGGGCACCUUCCAGGUCAACCCGACUCCACAUCACUAGUUAUUAAGCUUGCGCGGGUACCCCUCAGGGCCUACCCGUCUUUAGUAACAUGGUUCAGUUGUAAAGUCAUAGUAACCAUAGUAAUUGUAUGUCUAACACCAAGGGGAAAACCCGAGGAAUCACCCCGGUGAAUUCCACUCGAUGUUAUCAUCAAGGUGAACAUAAGAGGAUCCACCCUCGAGGUUCACACUUGAGGGGUUGCACGACAGAGCCGUAACGGAAGUGGUUAAGGAGGAAAUCACCCUCGAUGACCAUGACUGAAUAGCUACACUACAGGGUAACAUCAGAAGUGCUGAUGAGGUCUCACCCCUGGCACUCGAUAGUAACCCAGUAGUGUCGAGCAAAUAAGGGGAAAGUGAUGUGCGGUGUCGGGGCCUGGUCUUCGAUCCCGUUGAGCGGGUCUUCGACGAUGAAGCAGGGGCAACAAGGACAAGGUGGGGGGGUCACUAAUGGAUCACUAACCAACCUAUACUAAGCAGUUUAGGAUAAGCAGGUAACAACAAUAGGCUAUGCAUCAGAGUAGGAACAUACAGAAAGCAGUAACAGUUCUAAUGCAAGCAUGAGAGGGAAAGAAAUGGGCGAUAUCAGAAUGCUCAAGGGGGGUUUGCUUGCUUGGUUGCUCUGGCAAGGAGGGGGGUCGUCGUCGAUGUAGUCGAUCACAAGGGCAGCAUCGGUCUCGGGGUCUACCGGAGAGAAGAUGGGGAAGAAACAGUAAAUACAGAGCAAACAAUGCAUCACAAAAAUAUAACAAGGCAAAACACGGUGCCAGGGGUUACCUAACGCAGUACUAGGCGAUACUGGUGAAGGGGAGAAACAUCCGGGAAAAAAGCCCCGGUGUUCCGCAUUUUCGGACAGAUGAAACGGAGGGGGAAAGUUGCGUGUUCGCUAUGCUAGGGAUGCGUGGCGGACGAACGGGCUGCGUAUCCGGUUUCGUCUCAUCGUUCUGAGCAACUUUCAUGUACCAAGUUUUUUGAUCCGAGCUACGGUUUAUUAUAUAUGAUUUUUCAAAGUUUUACUCAUUUUCUGAAAUUAUUAUUAAUUCAAAAUUAAUAUGAAAAAGUGCUAUGGGUACCCAGCCUUGUGUACAUAGAAUGUACACAGAGGUUGACAUGUGGGCCAGGGGACCCAGUUGACCAGUCAAAGUUUGACUGGUCAACAGAGGGUGGGGGUCCCCUGUCAUUGACUGACUAGUAAACUAACAACUUUAGUUAGACUAAUUAUGUAGUUAACAGGAUAAUUAACAUGAUUAAUUAGAUUAAUUAAUUAAUUGACUUUAUUUUUAUUAUUUUUAAAUCUUUUUUAUUAAAAUGUUCCAGGGCAGGGCCCCACAUGUCAUAGGCCCAAAGGGUUCUAUCGGGCGCCGGGUGCAGCGGCAAACGGGCGCCUGGAGCGGCGCAACCUAGCUGGGCUCCCGCCCAAGUCGACAGGGGAGGGAAGGGCGCCGGGGCACCGGCAGCUGCGGCGAGCUGCGCCGGGCAAGAGGCAGCAGAGGAGGUGGCUCGGCCCGAGUAGAGGAGGGGGGACGCUCACGGGGAAGCAGGGGGAGACGGAGGCAAGGGGCGCCGGUGGCCAUGGCCAGAGCGGGGAGGCGGCGGACGCUGGCGAAGGUAGCCGCGCGGGGAUGGGGAGCAGGGCCGGCCGCAGCCAGAGUCAGGUGCGGGUGGGGCGCGGCCUGGGGGCGUGGUGAGCGCGCGCCGAGGAAGGCGGCAGUGCGCGGGCGCACGCGUUGGGCAUGGUCGAGGCACAAGCGGCGUGAGCAACGGUGAGCACAACCGCAGAGGGAGGAGGAGGCCGGUAGGGUUCCUCACCCGCGUUGCAGGGGAGGCCCGAUGCAGGGCGAACGCGACGGCAUGGAGCGGUGGAGUCGAGGAGGCGUUCCGGCGGGGUCCGAUGAGGCGCAAGGCAGCGGUGACCUCGACGGCAUGGAGCAGGCAUCUGGCCACGAGGGAUAGGGGACGGGGCCGCGAGGAGGACGGCGACGUCGGGGCGGUGGAGGACUAGGCGGCGACGGGCGCGACGUGGUGGUCCGGCGAGGUGGCCACGGUCAGCACCGAGGCGGGGUCGCCAGGCGACGGCGCGUCCAGAUCGAGGGAGAGGGGGCGCCGCGGCGAGGUCUGGCGCGGUGGUGACGGUUGGUGGGGCGCGGGCGAUGGUGAGCUGCGAUGCGGCGACGGGGGCGCUCGAUCCCGAUUUGGAUCGUGAGGAGCGAGGGAGAGAGAGAUCGAGGGGGAGUGGGGGGUUAUGCGGGUGGUGGGCUAGGGUUUCGGUUGCGUGGGGGUUAGUAGUGGGGGAGGCCAUCUAGGCCAGGGACGCGCGGGAUGGGCUGGCUGGUUGCGACCAGCUGGGCCAAGAGGCCCGCUGGGGAGGGGGGUCUGUUUUUUUUUGCAGCAGGCUUUUGCAAUUAAACUAGCCACCAAAUGUCUUAGCAAAAUUGUGUGCCUGGCCAAAACAAUUACUAGGGAAUAAUGUGCUCGGCCAUAACAAGUUUGGACAAGUUUUGAUUCCAUUUGGGAUUUUCAAUAAUGGAAAAGGCAUUAAUAGUGCUAUUUUGGCACUGUUUAAAAUGCUUAGGACCAUUUUGUAGUAUAUGGUGAUGUUGUUUUCCUUAACAAUCAUUUGUUAUGGAAUUUUUGACAAAUGGUGAACAUUUUUGCAGCAAUAUUUGAGCAACUUCAAAUUCCACUUGCAUUUGAAUUUGAACUCAGGUAAGGAUUUUGAAAUAAGAUGUCUCACCACUAUGAUCAAGCAUUGCAAUGAUGAUGACUUAUCAUGAUUGAGAGGAGAUCACUGUAGGGUGAUGUUGGGGAUGUUACAAGCUCCCAGCAAGCAAAAGAAGAACAUGAAAUCUUUUUGGGGGUUCUUUUUAAUUACUACUAAAAGCAUGGAAAGUAAACUAAUUAAAAGCUACAACUAUUUUUUUUGUUUUUCUUAAGGUUUAUUAAACACACAAGAAGAAAGCAUAAAAAGGAAAAUAAACUAGCAUGGAUGAUACAAUGAAAAAGUAUGAGCACCGACACCUAGCAAUGAGUGUGUGAACAUGAAUGUAAUGUCGGUGGGAAAUACGUACUCUCCCAAGCUUAGGCUUUUGGCCUAAGUUGGUCUAUGGCCACGGCUGGCCUGGCGGAUAUCCAUAGUAAUAGUUGGGGUCGUACUGCGAUGAAGAAGACUCUGAUUUCCACUGGUUGGCAAUCAUCUCCGGAUCCCAAUGGUAAUUAGACUGUCGUGGAGGAUCAACUUGUGGUUCCAACUCUGGCUCUAUGGCUGAUGUAGGGUUCCGGUAGGCGUGAAUAGCCUCUAACAGAAUAAGGUACUGGCCUAAAGAUAAAUCAAACAAGGAAGGAGCAGGCAGGGUAAUAGUCUCAGGAUGAUGUUUAUGAAAGAACAAUUUGUAUUUAAGCUCCCCUUCCCUAUUCUUAACAAUAAAAUUGUGUGCCACCAUACUCUUAUAAUCUAAAUAAACACGAGGCAGCAAUUUUCCUUCCUUCUCAUAAUGCCUAAUAGGUAUGUUAAAAUGUGCAGCUAGGCGUGAAGCAUAGAUGCCUCCAAAGAUGCGGCCCUUUGUACGGUUCAGACUUAACCAUUUAGCAAUAAUACCGCCCAUACUAACAGAGUUAUCACUGAAUAAACCGUGGAACAAAAUAAUAAUAUCAGGAACACUAAGAUUUCCACAGUUUCCAUGACCAAUUAAGCAACGACUAGAAAAUAUUGCAAAGUAGCGUAAAACAGGAAAAUGUAUGCUAGUGAUUCGUGCAUCAGAAACCUUCCUCGUUUCCCCUACAGUGAUGGUAUCAAUAAACCCAUCCACAUCGCCGCGAUGUGGUUCCUCAGUCGUGCCCUCGAAAGGGACUAAACAAACCCGACAAAAAUCAUAAAGUGACAUCUCCUACGCUCUUCAUAUAAAUAAAACUCCACCAUAGGUGGUGAGCUCCUAGAAUGGAAAUGAAAGUUUUGCACAAAGAUAUUGGUGAGUAAGAGAUACUGGUCGCAUUGGUCGUGGAGGAAGGCGGUGAGGCCUGCAUUGUCAGCCAAUUCAUAAAAAUCAUCAUAAAUCCUGGCUGCUCUCAAGAAAUCAUCGGAGGGCCAUUCACGCGGCCUAACCUCCAUGGUGCGAGGCAGAUUAUAUUUGGGCUUCUUUGCUUCUUCAUUUUUCUUUUCCUUCGAGCUUCGGCUCGAUGAGCCCCUCAAAAACCUCUUCAUUAUUCUCUAAAAAAUUCUGAAAUUUUUAGUAACUUCAAACAAAAGUGAACCAAGCUCAACAAAAUUGAUAGCAACAACUCCUACAAGUGCCUAGAGCUUAUAUCAAGUCUACGAUAUAAAGAGAGAGGCAUAACACUAACACCGGCUCCAAGAUCACAUAACACUAACACUAACAACGACAAUGAUCAGCAAGAGCAAAGUCUUCGCCCUGUACAUCCUCGCGUUGCCAAUGAAGUGCAGAUUGAAAGAAUAAUUGAUAGCAUCAAUGCACCCGGUCCACUCACUCGUUCAAGGGCAACUCAGCUAGCAAAUUUCUGUGGGCACUUCGCAUUCGUCUCAAUAACAGAACCCAAGAAAGUUGAAGAAGCCUUCAUGGAACCUGAAUGGAUUCAAGCUAUGCAAGAAGAGCUUCAACAGUUUGAGCUGAAUAAUGUAUGGGAACUAGUUAAGCGUCCUGAUCCACGGAAGCACAAUAUAAUAGGCACCAAAUGGAUAUACCACAACAAGCAAGAUGAGCAUGGUCAAGUUGUCAGAAACAAAGCUCGUCUCGUUACUCAAGAAUAUACUCAAGUGGAAGGCAUUGACUUCGAUGAAACAUUUGCUCCUGUGGCUAGACUUGAAGCCAUACGCAUACUGCUGGCCUAUGCAAAUCAUCACAACAUACUUCUAUAUCAAAUGGAUGUGAAGAGUGCUUUUCUCAAUGGCAAGGUUGAAGAAGAAGUGUAUGUUGCACAACCGCCUGGCUUUGAAGAUCCAAAACAUCCUGACAUGGUAUACAAGCUCAACAAGGCACUAUAUGGCCUCAAACAAGCCCCUCGGGCCUGGUAUGACACACUCAAAUACUUCCUGAAGAGCAAAGGCUUCAUACCUGGUUCCCUAGACCCCACUCUCUUCACGAAGACAUAUGAUGGUGAAUUGUUUGUGUGCCAAAUAUAUGUGGAUGACAUUAUCUUCGGCUGCACCAAUCAGAAGUACAGUGAAGAGUUUGGAUAUAUGAUGCAAGAGCAAUAUCAGAUGUCCAUGAUGGGAGAGCUGAAGUUCUUCCUCGGUCUUCAAAUACGACAACAACGCAACGGCAUCUUCAUAUCUCAAGAGAAGUAUCACAAAGAUUGCCUGAAGAAGUUCGGUAUGCAAGACUGCAAAGGCUUCACAACACCAAUGCCAGCCAAACAUCAUUUGGGUCCCGACGACAAUGGUAAAGAGUUCGAUCAAAAGGUAUACCACUCCAUGAUUGGUUCUUUACUUUAUCUAUGUGCAUCUAGGCCAGAUAUUAUGCUUAGUGUUUACAUGUGUGCUCGAUUUCAAGCGGCACCAAAGGAGUCGCAUCACUUAGCUGUGAAGCGAAUUCUUUGAUAUUUGGCUCACACCCCAACUCUAGGAUUAUGGUAUCCAAAGGGCUCAGAGUUUGAUCUAGUUGGAUUCUCGGAUGCUGAUUAUGCUGGUGACAAAGUUGAUCGCAAGUCUACAUCAGGCACAUGUCACUUUCUGGGAUGAUCACUUGUAUGUUGGUCUUCAAAGAAGCAGAACUGUGUAUCUCUCUCCACUGCUGAAUCUAAAUACGUUGCUGGUGGAUCUUGCUGCGCUCAGCUUCUGUGGAUGAAGCAAACACUCAAGGACUAUGGCAUUCAUCUGAAGCAAGUGCAACUUUACUGCGACAACGAAAGCGCCUUCAAGAUCGCCAACAACCCAGUUCAGCACUCGAAGACAAAGCACAUUGAAAUUCGUCAUCACUUUCUCAGAGAUCAUGUUGUGAAGGAAGAUAUUGAUAUCAUACGCGUCAACACUGAAGAGCAAUUGGCAGAUAUCUUCACCAAGCCCUUGGAUGAGAAGAGAUUUUGCAAGUUACGAUGUGAGCUAAAUAUCCUGGAAUCCUCAAAUGUCCUGUGAUCAGGCACACAUCCUAACCCUUAUGCAUAUUGAUGACUUAGAUGUGCAACACACGAAGUAAAGUAUAUCUUCAAUCAAUGAAGACAUACAUUCUAAGUGUGAAUACAUUAAUGUGGAAUUUGACUUCGGAGCGCCACGAUAAUUGUGCGUUGUGUCUGGGUCUAAUACUUCCUAUACGGUGGGUAACGCCACCACCAAAUGUUCUAUUUUGAAGUGUUUCACUCAUGACAUUACCUUGUAAUGUCUUCACAUUUGGUUUGGCUUCGAUCUCAACAUAUCUUCAUGAUUAUCUUCACUAUGUUGAUUAUAUAUAUAUAUAUAUAUAUAUAUAUAUAUAUAUUAGUGUUCUGUCCUCUACAGCAUUCACUUAUAGCUAUGUCUUCAUUGUUGAAUCUUUUGAACUAAGUGAAUGUGAUCGGACCCUAACCUCUCUAUGCUUUCUAUCUCAAAUUCUAUCUCUCCAAAUCAUAUGCAUUCUAUUGAAACUGUCGAAUGUCUUCUCUGCGUCCUUGUCAGCAGAAGAUACAGAGACAACCAUUAAGUCCGUUUUCAAUGCUCAUUCCUCCACAUGAAGUAGGAACGACCACCCGACAAUCAAGGCGUGCGUGGGACGUGAAACAAACCCCAAAAUUCUGCAUAAUGGCCACGUGUUCCUCAGCUGCGAAUCGCCAGGGGCACCUGUGUAAUAGCGCAGUGCCGCCCAUGUACCUAUAAAUACACACUUCACAACGGUCAUUAUCUCUUCUUCCACUCUCGCACGAACCCUAGCACCACCGCUAGCCCUCUACGACGCCGGUGACGAAGCGCUUCGCUGCCGCAACCUCUCCGACGCCAUCUUCACGCCGACCGCGGACAUCGUCCUCUCCGCCGUCGUCAUAGGUGUCCUCCGUCGCCAAGUUAGGGCACGGAAGAUCGAACUGCUCGGCCUCAUCUUCCACUUCGUCUAGCAGUUCUUAGUGUGGUAAAUAAAACUUCCUUUUUACAGCACCGUUGAUCCUAUGGAUUUGUCACUUUCUACCACAAGCAGUUUCUAUUCACACAAGUUAGAUCUCUCUCAUACCGCAUCUCAUAACAUGCCUAGUAUAUUCACUUAUGCUUCACAAAGUAGUUAGAUUCCUCACUUGUACUGAUCUGUGGAUUCGUACAAAUCUGGAACCAACUCCUUAUCUAUGAGUGAAUGUCUUUGCAAAAUGAGGUCAAUGUCUUCUAAACUGAUUUAUCUUCAAAAUCUUCUGAGAAUGCAUAUGACCUCUUCCCCUUCCCUCGCACCUUAAUGCUGUCACAGGUACAUGUCCAUGGGAGAAUCCUUUGGUUCUCAUAGUCUGCAUUCAUUUGCAGAAUUCUUACAGCAUCACAUUAAUUCUCCCGAAGCCAGUUCCUGUUGGUCCAGCAAGCGAAAACCUUUGAAGCCUUUGAACGUGUUGAAGCCUUUCAAGUUAAAGUUUAUGGCUUCAGAGAAAGCAGCAAGGAAGGGUGGCAGAAAGCAUCGUGGAGAAACAUCCAGAGAUCUGCCAGAUGAACUCUCAGAACUGUACAAGACAAAUCCUGAAGAGGAUUACAAUCAGCGCAAGACCCGAAUCCAAUGGAUUCGAAGAUAUUGGGCAGAACAAUGGUUCAAAUACCGAUUUGUAACCCAAGAAUAUGCUGAGAAAAAUGCCAUCAAGAGACCGUGGGGAGACAUCCAAUACAAGAAUCUUCUACCCAGGUCCAGAGAUGAAGCCAUUGCUCAAGGCUUCUAUCCCUGCAUGGUCCGUGGGCCACAACCAGCUGAUGCACACCCAUCGUCACUACUAUGGUGUCGUGACGACAAUCUGUUCAAGCGCAACUUCCAGUUUGCCCAGAACUCAGCGAAGCAGAACAAGAAGACUUUGGGGCUAGACUUCAACCCUGCUCCCUCAGCACCAAGGGCAGAUGGCACACGAGAUGCAUAACCCAAUGUCAUCGGUCCUUUCUCCAACCCUGAAGGCCUCAUCACCCGCAUCUUAGUUCAAGGGACUACAGUGAAUGAGCCUGCAGCUGACGCUGAAUCAGAAGAAGCUCCUGCAGCGCCGAAGACAAAGAAGAUGAAGAAGCCUAAAGCUUCAAAGCCUGCCCCCUCACCAAAAAUCUCAAGGGCGCAGCCACUAGCAACUGCACCUCCUGAAGACAGUGUGCAGUCUGAAGACUUAUCUCGCAUCUCCAAGCCCCAGAAAGUCAAGAUGCCUCUGCCUCACACCAGACAAGAGCUAACUGCUACUGCCAUUCUGCGCAAUGACGACAUUGAUCUAUCCAGUGAUGAAGAUCUAGCAGAUGGCGCUCUUGAUCAACUCAUCAAGAGCAAAGAAGAAGCAGAAAUCUUCAAUGAUCUGCCUCUCUUUGAUGUGACCAUCAUCCACAACUUCAUUGACGAGUGGUUUGACACGCCAAACAUCAGCUUUGAAGAUCUGCAGCUACCAAUUGGCCUCAGUGUCGCCUUCCAAGGCGCCAUUGCUUCAGAACUCGCUAUUGCCCAGUGCAUUGUUGAACUGAAGCAAAAGAUUAACUAUGAAAAGGCUCAGUUCAAGAAGCAUAUGGCCAAGCUCAGCAUGCAGGAAGUGAAGAACUUCAAGAGUAUGAUGCACGAGCUCAAGGAAGCCUUUGUAAAGAAACGUGCAGAAGCUCAGGGUUCGCGUGAGCGCAUGAAGACUCUGGUUGAUAGAUGUGUGCAAGCCUAUAAUGAGGCUGAGAAGCGCAAGGCCCUUGGGCGUCCUGGCAUCGACCCCAGGAUGGCCGCAAAGAAGAAGAAGAAGCCUGCUACGGCUGAACCUGACGCACCAAGGCAGGAAGCAGUUCCUAUUGUGUUCCCAACUAAAAUGACUGGCUCGAAGCCAAAAAGCCGGUCAACAGCUUCAGAUCUCAAGAAGACAAGGACUGCUGAGGCUGAAGCUAGGAAGAGGAAACAUUCUGAAGCCUCUCCAACUACCCCCUCCAAGAAGAAGAGGAAGACCAAGAAAGAUUGGGCUGCUUCCACAGAGCCCUUGAUAGUUGAACCCAUUUCUAUGGUCUAUCCUGAAGCUGAACGCCAACUGACCAUCCAUGAGCCUGCUUCCACAGAGGCUCAUGAAGCUGAAGACUUUCCAGCAGCUGAUCCCAUCGCUGCUGAAGACAUUGGUCAACAUGACAAUGUAGAAGAUGGUGCAGUCCUUCCUCAGAACAGCGAACUCAUCAGCAUUGGUUGUCCACUAACGUCAAUUGCACAGGAUGCUUCAUGGGCAGAUCGCCCACAAGAGGAAGAAGACUAUGAGGCCCAACCCACUCCAACUCCACAGGCGUUGCCCGCGUUGCGCAGGCUUCGCACAGGUCCAAGGCCUCAAGUCUCUGCUGAAGACAAUCCGGCUGCAUCAGCCGCGGAAGAUGAAGUCCCACAAGUUGCCACUCCACUGUCCCACCAAGAAGCAGUUCUCAAGGAGAACGUGCUUGAAAAUCUUGCGGCUGCCACAACCACCAAUGAAGCUAAUGUGGAGCCCUCCCCAACGGAAAAAGAAGACAGUGAAGCCACUGAUCUCGUCACUUCUGUUCCUGAGUCUGCUGUCGGUCCACAGUUCGACUAUCAUGUUGAGCACAGGCCUCAGGUACAGAAGCCAAUCCCAAGAUUGCCAAGGUUCCCAGGUCCUGCAUCAGCACCUGGCUCCUUCAAUAUCAAUGGCUUCAGGGCAGACAACACAUUCUUCGAUAGCUCCAGGAACCCCUACUCAAGGGAAAGGAUAUCAUCUGAUCGGUUCUGGAGCUAUCCUCAGCGAAGCUAUUACUCAUGCAUUCUUUACAACCAAGGUCGCAUCUUCCCACACAAGCGCCUUGACAUUGAAGCCAUAGCUGGUCUGCCCUGUCUGGAAAAAGCUUUGGAUUGCUUCAAGGAAGUUGGACUGCUGCCAUUCGUUACGGACCAAGAGCAUUGGAAUGAAGAGCUGUUGCUCCAAUUCUAUGCCACACUUCACAUCCGCGGGUACAGCAGAGAUCCAAAGACUUGGGUCCUGGAGUGGAUGACCGGAAAUGUUCAUCACGAAGCCAAUGCAUUUGACAUCAUUGAGCUCACUGGUUUGCCCACUCCUGGCGAUCUCUACGAGCAUGGCUGUCAGCUGCAUAGUGAAGCUAUUGAGAGCAUCUUUAAGAGGCCGGAACCUGAUAUGAGUCAGAUGCUCAGCAUGAUGAAGCCAUUGCCCCAAGAUGCUGCUUAUCCAACAGAGUUCUUCAUUGAAGACCUUGAGUAUCUGCCACGAACCAUCUAUCACAUCAUCAGGCAAACUCUCUGGCCCAUCAAAGGGCACUCUCCAAAUGCCAAGCUUGAGGGUGCAAUGAAGACUUUGGUCUUCUAUAUUCUUCAUGGAAAAUGCUUCAAUGCACAGGACUUAUUCAUCCGCCAACUUGCUGCAUCAGGCUCUGACCUGUUUGGCUUGAAGUUCUACGCCCCAUGGGUAAUGCGGCUAAUUAAACUUCACUCUGAUAUCUCAUAUCAGCCAUCUGCUCGCAAUCAUAGGAUUUUUAUGCCUGAUGUGGAUAUCUCUACUGAAGCCAUCUAUCCUGAGCCUGCAAAGGAACCUCUAAGUCUUCAGAAUGCAGAGCAUCGGAGUUUCUCACAGAACAUUGAAGGAGUUGAAGCAGUCACUCGGGUGUAUCCUUUGGCUGGCACUACACGUGCACCACACCCUGCGUCUACUGAAGCCACUGAUAGUACAACUGCUCCAAGACCCAAGAAGUGCACUCGUGUUCUCAACGACCGAGAGCUUCUUGUGGAUCUUCAUCAGAAACAGGAUAGGCAUCAUGCUGGCUGAAGCGUCAGAUGAAAAGCCUCUUGGUGGAAGUUAAUCGCAUUUGCAAUCUUGCCACCAAGAAUGCUUUAGUUGCCCAUGAAACCUGUCGCCGUACAUGGAAAGGGCUAAUGAUAAUGUGUUCUGAAGAUGAUCUCCAAGAGGAUGGCUUCACUGAGCGAUUCAAGUUUGACUCCACACCUCCUCGAAGAGCUGUGCUGCUAGGAACUCCACCCCUUCAAGACUCUGAGUUCUCUUCAUCUGCUGCAACAGUGACUGCCAGAGUUAUCGAGGAUGAAGAUGAUGCUACUUCACCACCACCUCCUUCAGCACGCGUCAACUCUGCUCCAAGCUCUUCAGCACCGCCAAACACCACCAACGACCCUGCUACUUCACCUACUCUGCAUGGGAACGAGUAGAUGCUCUAUGUCUCCAAACGUUUUUGGUCCUUACUGACAAAAGGGGGAGAAGCAUAUGAGGUUGAUAGUCUUCAAGCGGGUCCAUAUGGGCGGGUGCUUUAUAUUUUGCUUCGUGCUUACAACUCUCGUUUUGCUACAUUUGGUUCUUUGAGUUGUAACACUUAAACUCGAUGGUCGUCUGCUACUUAUCUGCCACUUUGUUUUGCAAUGAUAAAUUCCGCAUGUGCGACGAUAAAUUCCGCACUUAGAUCAUUCUGCAGACGUCCAUUUUCCAUUAUGCAUGUCAUUAUCUUCAUAUACUUUCACAUGCAUAGUGGAUUGUCAUCAUAAGUUGAAGUGGAUCUCCACAAGUACAACCUGCCAUGUGCAUUUGCAUUCCAAAAGCAAAUUACCUAUAUGCACAUCUUCAGGGUGAGCCCUUGCAACUUAUGAAGACAAUUCCUUAUCCUUUACAAUUUCACAGAUUAUAUUCCCUGUUGAAAACUUCAACUAGUUUGUCAUCAAUCACCAAAAAGGGGGAGAUUGUAAGUGCAUCUAGUGCCACCCCUAGUUGGUUUUGGAGUAUUAACGACAAACCUAGUUGAGGGACUAAUGUGUUUGUGAGAAUUGCAGGAUAACACAGGUAGAAGUCCCUCAUUGAUUCGGUUUUCCUACCAGAGAUGACCCCUAAAAAUGUAUGAAGACAUUGAAGUCAAAGGUGGUAUAUGAAGAUAUUCACAUUGAAGACUAUGACAAGAGAAGACACCACAUGAAGCCUAUGGAGCUCGAAGACUUAGAUCUUUCGUAGUUCUUUUUUUUUGUGUUGAGUCAUAGAAACCACCGUACUGUUAAGUGGGGUCCAAGAGAAGCAGUCAGACUGACUGAAGUGAUGCCUAACCAAAAACCUAUGUCUUCGAGUGAAGACUAUGAGAGCGAAUCUUGUCCAGAGUUGGACAAGUCAGCUUUGCUUGUAGCCCAAGUAAAGUUGCCGUGUGAGUUUGAAAUCUGACCGUUGGAACACGUGUCAGUUCCUUAGUGACACAGGGUCAUUUCGGACAAAUCAGGUCGGGUUGCCAAGUGGCUAUAAAUAGCCCACCCCUCACAACCAUAAACGGUUAGCUGCUCAGAUUGAGAGUACGGCUUUUGUCGUUUGAGAGCAACCCACCUCGAAGCCUUUGAGAGAGAAUUCCUUGCGAGGAUAAAGCCCUAAUCACCCAGAGCCAGAGAAGAAUUGGGCAUCACUUAAGUCUUCUUGUUUGUGUGAUCUGAAGACUUAUUACACUUGAGGACUAUGCAUCCUCCAGCCGGUUAGGCGUCGCGUUCUGAGCAUCCAAGAGACAUUGUGGAUUGCCGGUGAAUGAAGUCUGUGAAGGUUUGGGAGUCUACCUUGAAGACUUACCAGAGUGAUUGGGCGAGGUCUGUGUGACCUUAGCUCAAGGGGAAUACGGUGAGGACUGGGUGUCCUGAGCUGCGUGUUCAGGACUGGGUGUCCGGGACUGUGUGUCCUAAGGUUUAAAUACCAAGCUGCCCCAACCAGACGUACAGUUGUCACAGCAACUGGAACUGGUCCAACAAAUCAUUGUCUUCAAUGAGUCACUGGUUUCAUCUUCCCUUCCCUUUACUUACUGUUGCUCCUUGUGAAGUCAUUGUAUGUUUGCACUAUCUUUUGUCUUCACUGAGUGACUGCAUGCUCUGUAUGGCUUCAUAAUAUCUUCCUACCUGAUCCUUACUACAUUGCUGCUAUUAAGUCAUUAUGCUUUCACUUCAUUGAACACUUGACUAUGGCUUGCCUAGUGUAGUCUACCUUCCGCUGCAUGGUAAUAGGUUUAUUUCUAUCGUUUGUCUUCAUAACUUCCACGUUUUGAAGACUUUCAUAAAAAUCGCCUAUUCACCCCCCCCCCUCUAGUCGAUAUAACGCACUUUCAGGUAUCUUUCUCUUAUUUGUAACAAUUUCUUUCAUAUACUUAGCAUAAGGAUUCAUUUUAAGCAUAUCGGUUAAUCGCAUACGCAAAAAGAUAGGUCUAAUCAUUUCAGCAAAGCGCUCAAAAUCCUCAUCAUCCUUUUUCUUGGAUGGUUUGGGAGGAAAAGGCAUGGGUUUCUGAACCCAUGGUUCUCUUUCUUUACCAUGUUUCCUAGCAACAAAGUCUUUCUUAUCAUAACAUUGAUUCUUUGAUUGUGGGUUAUCAAGAUCAACAACAGGUUCAGUUUCUAUAUCAUUAUCAUUACUAGGUUGGGCAUCAUCAUGAACAUUAUCAUUAACAUUAUCACUAGUUUCAGGUUCAUUACCAGAUUGUGUUUCAGCAUCAGAAAUAGAAAUAUAAUUUGGAUUCUCAGGUGGUUGAGCAAUAGGUUCACUAGAAGCAUGCAAAGUCCUAUCAUUUUUCUUUUUCUUCCUUUUAGAAGGACUAGGUGCAUCUAUAUUAUUUCUCUGAGAAUCUUGCUCAAUUCUCUUAGGAUGGCCUUCAGGAUACAGAGGUUCCUGAGUCAUUCUACCAGUUCUAGUAGCCACUCUAACAGCAUAAUCAUUAUUCUUACUAUUCAAUUCAUUGAGCAAAUCAUUUUGAGCUUUAAGUACUUGUUCUACUUGAGUGGUAACCAUAGAAGCAUGUUUACUAAUAAGUUUAAGUUCACCUUUAACAUUAGCCAUAUAAUCACCCAAGUGCUCAAGCAUAUUUGAAUUGUAUUUCAAUUGUCUACCAAAAUAAGCAUUGAAGUCUUCUUGCUUAACCAUAAAUUUAUCAAACUCAUCUAUGCAUGGGCUAGCAAACUUAGUAAAUGGGAUUUCAGCUUUAUCAUAUCUAUAGAGAGAAUUUACCUUUACUACCUGUGUCGGGUUAUCAAGACCAUGAGUUUGUUCAAUAGGUAAUGGAUUAAGAUCAUAUGUUUCUUCAACAGGCGGUAAAUUAAGACCGUGUGUUUCUUCAAUAGGAGGUAAAUUCUUAACAUCUUCGGCUUUAAUACCUUUUUCUUUCAUAGAUUUCUUUGCCUCUUGCAUAUCUUCAGGACUGAGAAAAAUAGAACACCUCUUUUAUUCGGAGUUGGUUUAGGAAUAGGCUCAGGAAGUGUCCAAUUAUUUGCAUUUGUCAACAUAUUAUUCAAUAGAAUUUCAGCUUCAUCCGGUGUUCUUUCCCUGAAAACAGAACCAGCACAACUAUCCAGGUAAUCUCUGGAAGCAUUGAUUAGUCCAUUAUAAAAGAUAUCAAGUAUUUCAUUUUUCUUAAGAGGAUGAUCAGGCAAAGCAUUAAGUAACUUGAGAAGCCUCCCCCAAGCUUGUGGGAGACUCUCUUCUUCAAUUUGCACAAAGUUGUAUAUAUCCCUUAAAGCAGCUUGUUUCUUAUGAGAAGAGAAAUAUUUAGCAGAGAAGUAAUAAAUCAUGUCCAGGGGACUAUGCACACAACCAGGAUCAAGAGAAUUAAACCAUAUCUUAGCAUCACCCUUUAAUGAGAACGGAAAUAUUUUAAGGAUAUAAAAGUAACGAGUUCUCUCGUCAUUCGUGAAUAGGGUGGCUAUAUCAUUUAAUUUAGUAAGAUGUGCCACAACAGUUUCAGAUUCAUAGCCUUGAAAAGGAUCAGAUUCAACCAAAGUAAUUAUAUCAGGAUCAACAGAGAAUUCAUAAUCCUUAUCAGUAACAUAGAUAGGUGAAGUAGCAAAAGCAGGGUCAGGUUUCAUCUUAGCAUUAAGAGAUUGCUGCUUCCAUUUAGCUAAUAACCUCUUGAGCUCGUAUCUAUCUUUGCAAGCUAAAAUAGCUAGAGCAGCUUCUUUCUCAAGAACAUAACCCUCAGGAAUAACAUGUGAUUCAUAUUUAUUAGGGGAAGAGUCUUCAUCAUCACUUUCAUCAAUAUUAUCAGAUUAAAUAUUUUCACUCUCUCUAACCCUAGCAAGUUGUUCAUCAAGAAAUUCACCAAGUGGCACAGUAGUAUCAAGCAUAGAAGUAGUUUCAUCAUAAGUAUCAUGCAUAGCAGAAGUGGCAUCAUCAAUAACAUGCGACAUAUCAGAACGAAUAGCAGAAGCAGGUUUAGGUGUCGCAAGCUUACUCAAAACAGAAGGUGAAUCAAGUGCAGAGCUAGAUGGCAGUUCCUUACUUCCCCUCGUAGUUGAGGGAUAAAUCUUGGUUUUUGGAUCUCUCAAGUUCUUCAUAAUGAUAAGCAGAUAUAAAUCCCAAGUGACUCAAAGAAUAGAGCUAUGCUCCCCGGCAACAGCGCCAGAAAAUAGUCUUGAUAACCCACAAGUAUAGGGGAUCACAACAGUUUUCGAGGGUAGAGUAUUCAACCCAAAUUUAUUGAUUCGACACAAGGGGAGCCAAAGAAUAUUCUCAAGUACUAGCAGAUGAGUUGUCAAUUCAACCACACCUGGAAACUUAAUAUCUGCAGCAAAGUAUUUAGUAGCAAAGUAAUAUGAUAGUAGUGGUAACGGUAGCAGAAGGUAACGGUAGCAAAAGUAAUGUUUUCGGUAUUUUGUAGUGAUGAUAGCAAUAGCAACGGAAAAGUAAAUAAGCGAAGAACAAUAUAUGGAAAGCUCAUAGGCAAUGGAUCGGUGAUAGAGAAUUAUGUCGGAUGCGGUUCAUCAUGUAACAGUCAUAACCUCGGGUGACACAGAACUAGCUCCAAUUCAUCAAUGUAAUGUAGGCAUGUAUUCUGAAUAUAGUCAUACGUGCUUAUGGAAAAGAACUUGCAUGACAUCUUUUGUCCUACCCUCCCAUGGCAGCAGGGUCCUAGCAGAAACUAAGGGAUAUUAAGGCCUCCUUUUAAUAGAGUACCGGACCAAAGCAUUAACACAAAGUGAAUACAUGACCUCCUCAAACUAUGAUCAUCACCAGUAAGUAUCCCGAUUAUUGACACUUCGGGGUUAACGGAUCAUAACACAUAAUAGGUGACUAUAGACUUGCAAGAUAGGAUCAAAAACUCUCAUAUAUUGAUGAAAACAUAAUAGGUUAAGAUCUGAAAUCAUGGCACUUGAGCCCUAGUGACAAGCAUUAAGCAUAGCAAAGUCAUAGCAACAUCAAUCUUAGAACAUAGUGGAUACUAGGGAUCAAACCCUAACAAAACUGACUCGAUUACAUGAUAAAUCUCAUCCAACCCAUCACCGUCCAGCAAGCCUAUGAUGGAAUUACUCACGCACGACGGUAAGCAUCAUGAAAUUGGUGAUGGAGGAAGGUUGAUGAUGACGAUGGCGACGGAUUCCCCUCUCCGGAGCCCCGAACGGACUCCAGAUCAGCCCUCUCAAGAGGUUUUAGGGCUUGGCGGCGGCUCCGUAUCGUAAAACGCAAUGAAUCCGUCUUCCUUAUUUUUUCUCCCCGAAAGCAAAUAUAUAGAGUUGGAGUCGAGGUCGGAGGAGCUCCAGGGGGGCCACGAGGUAGGGGGCGCACCCUAGGGGGACAGGCGCGCCCCCACCCUCGUGGCUAGGGUGUGGGCCCCCUAGUCUUAAUCUUUUGCAAGGAUUUUUUAUUAUUUCCGAAAAGAUGUUUCAUGAAGUUUCAGGUCAUUCCGAGAACUUUUGUUUCUACACAUAAAUAACACCAUGGCAAUUCUGCUGAAAACAGCGUCAGUCCGGGUUAGUUCCAUUCAAAUCAUGCAAGUUAGAGUCCAAAAUAAGGGCAAAAGUGUUUGGAAAAGUAGAUACGAUGGGGACGUAUCAUCCAUCGAGGUGUGGAAGUAAGGACGGCAACAAGCUUGUCGAAGAUAGCAACAACUUCAUAGUUCGUGUAAUCCCAAGAGCGGUCGGGAACUCGACAAAUUGCUAUCUUCCAUAGACGACAAUCACCAUGAUCGUAGUUGAACAUACGUAGAAUACCGGUGUGCUCAACCUCUGGGCAGUCUGAGAUUUUUGGAAGUGGAACCCAGUGACGUGUGUACACAUUCACAAGUUCCCACUCGCAGUUGUACCCAAUAUAAACAACCCAAUCUCCAUUUGCGCAUGCCCAAGCCUUACCCUCAAGUGAUGGCAUCUUAACAUCACACAUAUCAUUAUCAAGCAGCAUCAACUUGCACAAGGCAAUUCCUCCAUCAUCCGCAUGCCAGUCAGCAGGGUCACGAAGAAGAAGAUAGGGGAUAUCAGACCGCUCCUGGACCCUUGGGUUCCUUGUAAUGAUGAUAUUAGUUGAGUCGAGAAUGGUCUUGAACGAACCUGCCAUGCUAGCCGAGGUGAUGACGUCGCACCGAUCAAUGAGUUCCUCCACCUUGUCAUCUUUCAGAUCGGGGCAAGAAUAACGGGGUCAUUUUCGGCUGUUACCUCCAUGGAGAAGAAGAUCGAACAAUGGAAGAAGGAAGGGUGAAGGCAAAUGGAGGAGGGAGGACGAGCGUGCGACAAUAGUUCCAAAUAGAGAGGGAAAGGUGAAGAGGCGGUGGACGGUUGCCAAGGUACACGAAGAGGCGCCCCGGCCUACAUAGACGUCCGUUCGGAAAUUGUACAAAAGGACUCGCCGUCGUCUCACUGACAUGUUGGAACGGGACCACAUGUCAAUGAAACAUGGUGUGUAAUUUCUCUUGCAAAAUGCGAUCUGGCCGCAUUGGCCCGAGGUGCCGCAUUAGUUAUCGACCUUUAUUUUUUUAAUGGCGUGAUGUUCAGUUUUGAAGCACGACUAACUGGUACUGUAUGCAGAGAAAAUAUAAACUACUCUACCACUACUCCACCUAUAGUACUAGUAGUAUCAAAAAAGAUAUAUAGGCUGGAGCUUCAGCGCUUUCUUGCUAAGGGCUGCCCACUUGCUUCUCACACUAUCACCCUCUCUCUAGAUGUAAAAAAGACGGCCUCUCUCUCCCUCCUCACCGGUGGUCACAGAUCCGCCGGGGAAGAAAAGGACGUAUAGCGUUGACGCACUCGUCGUCGGCGAGAGAGGUCACACACUGACGACAAGGUCAUCCUCUCAGACCUAGCAUCCGCGCGGGAUGGCCUCUGUCCCCAAGCUCGCUGUCAUAGUGUGUGCGGCGGACAACGACCACGAGCGAAGCCACUUCCCACCGACCCUCAGGUAUGCAACCUCUUUUCGAACCAUACCCUUGUUCUAUUGCACCAUCUGCCACAUCGCUGCAUGUGGAUCUUUUUCCACUCCACCAUCUUCCCAAUUUGCUAUCCUCUGCUCUGCUGGUCACGCAGAUGAAAACCUUAAUUUUCACUAUUAAAGGAAACCCUACUUCAUGCAUACUAAUCCAUGUCUGGGUUGAAUAAGGAAAGGAAGGGAGAAUGUACUAUCCAAGAGACUAGGCAUCGAACCCGCAUCUAGGUUGAAAAGGGGAAAAUUAGUAGCUAAGGAAUGAGUCUCAUGUCUCUUGGUUGAAAAAGGGUAGAAAGGCAUGACAAUGCAAUAGAGAAUGACCAUGUCGAUCGGUUUGUUGUCCUCACAUAGGGAAAACGUGUCUAAAGAGAACAAAAAUGGGACGUAAUCCACAUAUGUUGCCUAGAUAUUUGUUGCUUUGGGCAACCAUACCUCCCUCACCACUCUACGCGUCCGUGGAGGUACAUCGUACUAGUGCGCCCACUGUCUGAAUGGGCCUCCCAUGCUCUUAUUGCCUCUUUUUUGCUGUUAGUAUAACACCAGCGGUCAAGUCAAGCAAUGUUACCGCUAAAGUGAUGCCACAUUUAACUAAUGUUGCACUCAGCCUAAUGCCACCGACAUGUUGCGGAACGUAGUAAUUUCAAAAAAAAUCCUACUUGCACACAGGAUCAUGGUGAUGCAUAGUAACGAGAGGGGAGAGUGUUGUCUACGUACCCUCGUAGACCAUUCGCGGAAGCAUUAUAUCAAUGCGGUUGAUGUAGUCGUAUGUCUUCACGAUCCGACUGGUCCAAGUACCAAAAGCACGGCACCUCCAAGUUCUGCACACGUUCGGCUCGGUGACGUCCUCGCCUUCCCGAUCUAGCAAGAGGUGCGAAGUAGUAGAUGAGUUUCGGCAGCACGACGGCAUGGUGACGGUGUUGGUGAAGAACAAUCUCUGCAGGGCUUCGCCUAAGCACUAUGAAAACUAUGACGGAGGAUAAACUAGAGGGGACGGGGUUGCCGGCACAUGGCUAGGUGUUUCUUGAUGUGUCUUGGGUGCUAGCCCUGCCCCUCUAUUUAUAUGUUGAGCGCUGGGGUCGAAACUUGGAGUAAAAGCCUCCACAAAGUCGGUUUCACCCGAAAGGAAAGAGUCCUUCUCGGACUCCAGGGCCAGACGCCGGGGUUCCCGGCGUCUGGACCCAGACGCCAGGGACCCUGGCGUCUGGCCCCUGGACUCCGCAAAACUUCCUUUUGCGCUUUCCAAAAACCUCGUGGGCUUUCCCCUUUGGCCCAGAUAAAGUGUUCUCGUGCCCAAACAUUUCGAGAAACAUCCGGAAACCCUUCCGGAGAUCAAAAACUACUAUCCACAUAUCAAUCUUUACUUCCGGACCAUUUCGGAGUUCCUCGACAUAUCCGUGAUCUCAUCCGAAACUUCGAACAACAUCCGGUCACCAACAUACAUAACUCAUAGUACUAUAUCGUCAACGAAUGUUAAGCGUGCGGACCCUACGGGUACGAGAACUAUGUAGACAUGACCGAGACACCUCUCUGGUCAAUAACCAAUAGCGGGACCUGGAUGCCCAUAUUGGCUCCUACAUAUUCUACAAAGAUCUUUAUCGGUCAGACUGCAUAACAACAUACGUUGUUCCCUUUGUCAUCAGUAUGUUACUUGCCCGAGAUUCGAUCGUCGGUAUAUCAAUACCUAGUUCAAUCUCGUUACCGGCAAGUCUCUUUACUCGUUCCGUAAUACAUCAUCCUGCAACUAACUCAUUAGUUGCAAUGCUUGCAAGGCUUAUAGUGAUGUGCAUUACCGAGUGGGCCCAGAGAUACCUCUCCAACAAUCAGAGUGACAAAUCCUAAUCUCGAAAUACGCCAACCCAACAAGUACCUUUGGAGACACCUGUAGAGCACCCUUAUAAUCACCCAGUUAUGUUGUGACGUUUGGUGGAACACAAAGUGUUCCUCUGGUAAACAGGAGUUGCAUAAUCUCAUAGUCAUAGGAACAUGUAUAAGUCAUGAAGAAAGCAAUAGAAACAAACUUAAACGAUCAAGUGCUAAGCUAACGGAAUGGGUCAAGUCAAUCACAUCAUUCUCCUAAUGAUGUGAUCCAGUUAAUCAAAUGACAACUCAUGUCUAUGGUUAGGAAAAUUAACCAUCUUUGAUCAACGAGCUAUUCAAGUAGAGGCAUACUAGUGACACUCUGUUUGUCUAUGUAUUCACACAUGUAUUAUGUUUCCGGUUAAUACAAUUCUAGCAUGAAUAAUAAACAUUUUUCAUGAAAUAAGGAAAUAAAUAAUAACUUUAUUAUUGCCUCUAGGGCAUAUUUCCUUCAGUCUCCCACUUGCACUAGAGUGAAUAAUCUAGAUCACAUCGCCAUGUGACUUAACAUCAAUAGUUCACAUCACCAUGUGAUUAACACCCAUAGUUCACAUCGUCAUGUGACCAACACCCAAAGGGUUUACUAGAGUCAAUAAUCUAGUUCACAUCGCUAUGUGAUUAACACCCAAAGAGUACUAAGGUGUGAUCAUGUUUUGCUUGUGAAAGAAGUUUAGUCGACGGGUCUGCAACAUUUAAAUCCGUAUGUAUAUUGCAAAUUUCUAUGUCAACAAUGCUCUGCACCAUAUCUAAUAAAGUACGGUUACGACGUUCGGACACACCAUUACACUUUGGUGUUCUAGGUGGCGUGAGUAGUGAAACUAUUUCACAUUAUUUUAACUGAAGGCCAAACUCGUAACUCAAAUAUUUUAAUUCUGCAAACAUAUCAUAGAAACUUUUAUUUUUGUUACGAUGAUUCUCCACUUCACUCUGAAAUUCUUUGAACUUUUCAAAUGUUUUAGAUUUGUGUUUCAUCAAGUAGAUAUACUCAUAUCUGCUCAAACCAUCUGUGAAGAUCAGAAAAUAAUGAUACCUGCCGCGAGUGUCAAUAUUCAUCGGACCACAUACAUCAGUAUGUAUGAUUUCCAACAAAUCUGUUGCUCGCUCCAUUGUUCUGGAGAACAGAGUCUUAGUCAUAUUGCCCAUGAGGCAUGGUUCGCAAGCAUCAACUGAUUCAUAAUCAAGUGAUUACAAAAGCCCAUCAACAUGGAUUUACUUCAUGCGCUUUACACCAAUAUGACCUAAACGGCAGUGACACAAAUGAGUUGCACUAUCAUUAUUAACUUUGCAUAUUUUGGCUUCAAUAUUAUGAAAAUGUGUAUCACCACGAUCGAGACCCAACAAACCAUUUUCAUUGGGUGUAUGACCAUAGAAGGUUUUAUUCAUGUAAACAGAACAACAAUUAUUCUCUAACUUACAUGAAUAACCGUAUUGCAAUUAACAUGAUCCAAUCAUAUUCAUGCUCAACGCAAACACUAAAUAACAUUUAUUUUAGGUUUAACACUAAUCCCGAAAGUAUAGGGAGUGUGCGAUGAUGAUCAUAUCAAUCUUGGAACCAUUUCCAAUACACAUCGUCACUUCACCCUUAACUAAUCUCUGUUCAUUCUGCAACUCCCAUUUCGAGUUACUAUUCUUAGCAACUGAACCAGUAUCAAAUACUGAGGGGUUGCUAUAAACACUAUUAAAGUACACAUCAAUAACAUGUAUAUCGAAUAUAGCUUUGUUCACUUUGCCAUCCUUCUUAUCCACCAAAUACUUGGGGUAGUUCCGCUUCCAGUGAUCAAUCCCUUUGCAGUAGAAGCACUUAGUUUCAGGCUUAGGUCCAGACUUGGGCUUCUUCUUGAGUAGCAACUUGCUUGCUGUUCUUCUUGAAGUUCCCCUUUCUUCCCUUUGUCCCUUUACUUGAAACUAGUGGUCUUGUUAAACAUCAACACGUGGUGCUCUUUCUUAAUUUCUACCUUCGUCAAUUUCAGCAUCGCGAAGAGCUCAGGAAUCACUUUCGUCAUCCCUUGCAUAUAAUAGUUCAUCACGAAGUUCUAGUAACUUGGUGAUAGUGACUAGAGAAUUCUGUCAAUUGCUAUCUUAUCUGGAAGAUUAACUCCCACUUGAUUCAAGCAAUUAUAGUACCCAGACAAUCUGAACACAUGCUCACUAGUUGAGCUAUUCUCCUCCAUCUUGUAGGCAAAGUACUGUCAGAGGUCUCAUACCUCUCGACACGGGCAUGAGUAUGAAAUACCAAUUUCUACUCUUGGAACAUCUUAUAUGCUCUGUGGCGUUCAAAACAUUUUUGAAGUCCCGGUUCUAAGCCGUAAAGCAUAGUGCACUUAACUAUCAAGUAGUCAUCAUACCGAGCUUUUGUCAAAACGUUCAUAACAUCUGCAUCUGCUCCUGCAAUAGGUCUGUCACCUAGCGGUGCAUCAAGAACAUAAUUCUUAUGUGCAGCAAUGAGGAUAAACCUCAGAUCACGGAUCUAAUCCGCAUUAUUGCUACUAACAUCUUUCAACUUAGUUUUCUCUAGGAACAUAUAAAUAAUAAACGGGGAGCAACAUCGCGAGCUAUUGAUCUACAACAUAGAUAUGCUAAUACUACCAGGACUAAGUUCACGAUAAAUUAAAGUUCAGUUAAUCAAAUUAUUAAAGAACUCCCACUUAGAUAGACAUCCAUCUAAUCCUCUAAGUGAUCACGUGAUCCAUAUCAACUAAACCAUGUCCGAUCAUCAUGUGAGAUGGAGUAGUUUCAAUGGUGAACAUCACUAUGUUGAUCAUAUCUACUAUAUGAUUCAUGCUCGACCUUUUGGUCUCCGUGUUCCGAGGCCAUAUCUGUUAUAUGCUAGGCUCGUCAAGUUUAACCUGAGUAUUCCGAACUGUUUUGCACCCGUUGUAUUUGAACGUAGAGCCUAUCACACCCGAUCAUCACGUGGUGUCUCAGCACGAAGAACUUUUGCAACGAUGCAUACUCAGGGAGAACACUUAUACCUUGAUAAUUUAGUGAGAGAUCAUCUUAUAAUGCUACCGUCAAUCAAAGCAAGAUAAGAUGCAUAAAAAGAUAAACAUCACAUGCAAUCAAUAUAAGUGAUAUGGUAUGGCCAUCAUCAUCUUGUGCUUGUGAUCUCCAUCUUCGAAGCACCGUCAUGAUCACCAUCAUCACUGGCGCGACACCUUGAUCUCCAUCGUAGCAUCGUUGUCGUAUCGCCAAUUUAUGCUUCUACGACUAUCCCUACCGCUUAGUGAUAAAGUAAAGCAUUACAGGGUGUUUGCAUUGCAUACAAUAAAGCGACAACCAUAUGGCUCCUGCCAGUUGCCGAUAACUCGGUUACAAGACAUGAUCAUCUCAUACAAUAAAAUUUAGCAUCAUGCCUUGACCAUAUCACAUCACAACAUGCCCUGCAAAAACAAGUUAGACGUCCUAUACUUUGUCGUUGCAAGUUUUACGUGGCUACUACGGGCUGAGCAACAACCGUUCUUACCUACGCAUCAAAACCACAAUGAUAGUUCGUCAAGUUCGUGCUGUUUUAACCUUCUAAAGGACUAGGCAUAGCCACACUCGGUUCAGCUAAAGUUGGAGAAACUGACACCCGCCAGCCACCUAUGUGCAAAGCAUGUCGGUAGAACCAGUCUCAUGUAAGCGUACGCGUAAUGUCGGUCCGAGCCGCUUCAUCCAACAAUACCGCCGAACCAAAGUAUGACAUGUUGGUAAGCAGUAUGACUUAUAUCGCCCACAACUCACUUGUGUUCUACUCGUGCAUAUAACAUCUACGCAUAAAACUAGGCUCGGAUGCCACUGUUGGGGAAUGUAGUAAUUUCAAAAAAAUUCCUACGCACACGCAGAAUCAUGGUGAUGCAUAGCAACGAGAGGGGAGAGUGUUGUCUACGUACCCUCGUAGACCGUUCGCGGAAGCGUUAUAUAAACGCGGUUGAUGUAGUCGUACGUCUUCACAAUCCGACCGAUCCAAGUACCGAAAGCACGGCACCUCCGAGUUCUGCACAUGUUCGGCUCGGUGACGUCCUCGCCUUCCCGAUCUAGCAAGAGGGACGAAGUAGUAGAUGAGUUCCGGCAGCACGACAGCGUGGUGACAGUAUUGGUCAAGAACACUCUCCACAGGGCUUCACCUAAGCACUACAAAAACUAUGACGGAGGAUAAACUAGAGGGGACGGGGUUGCCGACACACAGCUUGGUGUUUCUUGAUGUGUCUUGGGUGCUAGCCCUACCCCUCUAUUUAUAUGUUGAGCGUUGCGGUCGAAACUUGGAGUAAAAGCCUCCACAAAGUCGGUUUCACCCGAAAGCCAGGAGUUCCUUCUCGGACUCGAGGGCCAGACGCCAGGGUUCCCGGCGUCUGGACCCAGACGCCAGGGACCCUGGCGUCUAGCCCCUGGACUCCGCAAAACUUCCUUUUGCGCUUUCCAAAAACCUCGUGGGCUUUCCCCUUUGGCCCAAAUAAAGUGUUCUCGCGCCCAAUCAUUUUGGGAAACAUCCGGAACCCCUUCCGGUGAAUUUCGGAUCCCUUCCGGAGAUCAAACACUACUAUCCACAUAUCAAUCUUUACUUUCGGACCAUUCCGGAGUUCCUCGUCAUAUGCGUGAUCUCAUCCAAAACUCCGAACAACAUUCGGUCACCAACAUACAUAACUCAUAGUACUAUAUCGUCAACGAACGUUAAGCGUGCGGACCCUACGGGUUCGAGAACUAUGUAGACAUGACCGAGACACCUCUCUGGUCAAUAACCAAUAGCGGGACCUGGAUGCCCAUAUUGGCUCCUACAUAUUCUAUGAAGAUCUUUAUCGGUCAGACCGCAUAACAACAUACGUUGUUCCCUUUGUCAUCGGUAUGUUACUUGCCCGAGAUUCGAUCGUCGGUAUCUCAAUACCUAGUUCAAUCUCGUUACUGCAAGUCUCUUUACUCGUUCCGUAAUACAUCAUCCCGCAACUAACGCAUUAGUUGCAAUUCUUGCAAGGCUUAUAGUGAUGUGCAUUACCGAGUGGGCCCACAAAUACCUCUCCGACAAUCGGAGUGACAAAUCCUAAUCUCGAAAUACGCCAACCCAACAAGUACCUUCGUAGACACCUGUAGAGCAUCUUUAUAAUCACCCAGUUACGUUGUGAAGUUUGGUGGCACACAAAGUGUUCCUCCGGUAAACGGGAGUUGCAUAAUCUCAUAGUCAUAGGAACAUGUAUAAGUCAUGAAGAAAGCAAUAGCAACAAACUAAAUGAUCAAGUAGGUCGGUGGAGCCAUGAGGGGCCCACGGGGGUGGGGGCGCGCCUCCCUACCUCGUGGCCUCCUCGAUGAUUUCUUGACGUCCACUCCAAGUCCUCUAGAUCACGUUUGUUCCAAAAAUAACUCUCCCGAAGGUUUCAUUCCGUUUGGAUUCCGUUUGAUAUUCCUUUUCUGCGAAACACUAAAAUAGGCAAAAAAAAGAGCAAUUUGCACUGGGCCUUGGGUUAGUAGGUUAGUCCCAAAAAUAAUAUAAAAGUGUAUAAAUAAGCCCAUUAACAUCCAAAACAGAUAAUAUAAUAGCAUGGAACAAUCAAAAAUUAUAGAUACGUUGGAGACGUAUCAAGCAUCCCCAAGCUUAAUUCCUGCUCGUCCUCGAGUAGGUAAAUGAUAAAAACAGAAUUUUUUAUGUGGAAUUCUCCCUAGCAUAAUUCUCAAUGUAAUUUUCUUUAUUGUGGCAUGAAUGUUCAGAUCCAAAAGAUUCAAGAAAAAAAGUUUAAUAUUGACAUAAAAAUAAUGAUACUUCAAGCAUACUAACUAAUCAAUCAUGUCUUCUCAAAAUAACAUGGCCAAAGAAAGUUAUCCCUACAAAAUCAUAUAGUCUGGCUAUGCUCUAUCUUCACCACACAAAAUAUUUAAAUCAUGCACAACCCCGAUGACAAGCCAAGAAAUUGUUGCAUACUUUUGAUGUUCUCAAACUUUUUCAGUCUUCAUGCAAUACAUGAGCGUGAGCCAUCGACAUAGCACUAUAGGUGGAAUAGAAUGGUGGUUGUGGAGAAGACAAAAAGGAGAAGAUAGUCUCACGUCAACUAGGCAUAUCAACGGGCUAUGGAGAUGCCCAUCAAUAGAUAUCAAUGUGAGUGAGUAGGGAUUGCCAUGCAACGGAUGCACUAGAGCUAUAAAUGUAUGAAAGCUCAAAAAUAAACUAAGUGGGUGUGCAUCCAACUCGCUUGCUCAUGAAGACCUAGGGCAUUUUGAGGAAGCCCAUCAUUGGAAUAUACAAGCCAAGUUCUAUAAUGUAAAAUUCCCACUAGUAUAUGAAAAUGAUAUCAUAGGAGACUCUCUAUCAUGUAGAUCAUGGUGCUACUUUGAAGCACAAGUGUGGUAAAAGGAUAGUAACAUUGCCCCUUCUCUCUUUUUCUCUCAUUUUUCAUUUUUUUAUUUGGGCCUUUUCUCUUUUUUUAUGGCCUCUUUUUUAUUUAUUUUUUAUUUUUCAUCCGGAGUCUCAUCCUGACUUGUGGGGGAGUCAUAGUCUCCAUCAUCCUUUCCUCACAUGGGACAAUGCUCUAAUAAUGAUGAUCAUCACACUUUAUUUACUUACAACUCGAGAAUUACAACUCAAUUCUUAGAAGAAAAUAUGACUCUAUGUGAAUGCCUCCGGCGGUGUACCGGGAUGUGCAAUGACUCAUGAGUGACAUGUAUGAAAGAAUUAUGAACGGUGGCUUUGCCACAAAUACGAUGUCAACUACAUGAUCAUGCAAAGCAAUGUGACAAUGAUGAAGUGUGUCAUAAUAAAUGGAACGGUGGAAAGUUGCAUGGAAAUAUAUCUUGGAAUGGCUAUGGAAAUGCCAUAAUAGGUAGGUAUGGUGGCUGUUUUGAGGAAGGUAUAUGGUGGGUUUAUGGUACCGACGAAAGUUGCGCGGUACUAGAGAGGCUAGCAAUGGUGGAAGGGUGAGAGUGCGUAUAAUCCAUGGACUCAACAUUAGUCAUAAAGAACUCACAUACUUAUUGCAAAAAAAUAUUAGUUAUUGAAACAAAGUACUGCGUGCAUGCUCCUAGGGGGAUAGAUUGGUAGGAAAAGACAAUCAAUAAAUAAAUCAUGCUCCGACUUCAUCAGAUUAACGGUUCACCAUACGUGCAUGCUAUGGGAAUCACAAACUUCAGAACAAGUAUUUCUCGAAUUCACAACUACUCAACUAUUAUGACUCUAAUAUCACCAUCUUCAUAUCUCAAAACAAUCGUCAAGUAUUAAACUUCUCAUAGUAUUCAAUGCACUUUUUAUGAUAGUUUUUAUUAUACCCAUCUUGGAUGCCUAUCAUAUUAGGACUAAUUUUGUAACCAAGGAAAAUUACCAUGCUGUUCUAAAAGACUCAAAAUAAUAUAAGUGAAUCAUGAGAGAUCAAUAAUUUCUAUAAAAUAAAACCACCACUGUGCUCUAAAAGAUAUAAGUGAAGCACUAGAGCAAAAUUAUCUAGCUCAAAAGAUGUAAGUGAAGGACAUAGAGUAUUCUAAUAAAUUCCAAUUCAUGUGUGUGUCUCCCAAAAGGUCUGUACAGCAAGGAUGAUUGUGGUAAAGUAAAAAUCAAAGACUCAAAUCAUACAAGACGCUCCAAGCAAAACACAUAUCAUGUCGUGAAUAAAAAUAUAGCCUCAAGUAAAUUUACCGAUAGAAGAAGACGAAAGAGGGGAUGCCUUCCGGGGCAUCCCCAAGCUUAGGAUUUUGGUUGUCCUUGAAUUUUACCUUGGGGUUUCUUGGUCAUCCCCAAGCUUAGGCUCUUGCCACUCCUUAUUCCAUAAUCCAUCAAAUCUUUACCCAAAACUUGAAAACUUCACAACACAAAACUUAAACAGAAAAUCUCAUGAGCUCCGUUAGUAUAAGAAAACAAACCACCACUUAAGGUACUGUAAUGAACUCAUUCUUUAUUUAUAUUGGUGUUAAACCUACUGUAUUCUAACUUAUAUAUGGUUCAUAACCUCCGAUACUAGCCAUAAAUUCAUCAAAAUAAGCAAACAACACGCGAAAAACAGAAUCUGUCAAAAAUAGAACAGUCUGCAGUAAUUGUAGGUUUCGAAUACUUCUGUAACACCAAAAAUUCUAAAAUGAAUUGCUGGACGUGAGGAAUUUAUAUAUUAAUCAUCUGCAAAAAUAAUCAACCUAAUCGCACUCUCCAGUAAAAAAUGGCAGCAAAUCUCGUGAGCGCUAAAGUUUCUGUUUUUAUAGCAAGAUCGCAAAGACUUUCCCCAAGUCUUCCCAAAGGUUCUAUUUGGCACAAACACUAAUUAAAAACAUAAAACCACAUCUAAACAGAGGCUAUAUGAAUUAUUUAUUACUAAACAGGAACAAAAAGCAAGAAACAAAAAUAAAAUUGGGUUGCCUCCGAACAAGCGCUAUCAUUUAACGCCCCUAGCUAGGCAUAAAAAGAAGAAUAAAUCUAGGUAUUGUCGUCUUUGGUAUGCAAUCCAUAAGUGGCUCUCAUAAUAGAUUCAUAAGGUAAUUUAAUUUUUUUCUAGGAAAGUGUUCCAUGCCCUUCCUUAACGGAAAUUGAAAUCUAAUAUCCCCUUCUUUCAUAUCAAUUAUUGCAUCAAUCAUUCUAAGGAAAGGUCUACCAAGAAUAAUAGGACAUCUAGGAUUGCAAUCAAUAUACAGAACAAUGAAAUCUACGGGCACAUAAUUCCUAUUUGAAACAAUAAGAACAUCAUUAAUCCUCCCCAUAGGUUUCUUAAUAGUGGAAUCCGCAAGAUGCAAAUUUAAAGAACAAUCAUCAAGGUCACGGAAACCUAACACAUCACACAAAGUUUUUGGAAUCAGGGAAACGCUAGCACCCAAAUCACAUAAAGCAUAUCAUUCAUGAUCUUUAAUUUUAAUUUUAAUAGUAGGUUCCCACUCAUCAUGAAGUUUUCUAGGGAUAGAAACUUCUAAUUCAAGCUUUUCUUCACAAGAUUGCGUUAAAGCAUCAACGAUAUGAUUGGUAAAAGCUUUAUUUUGAUUACAAGCAUGCGGAGAAUUUAGCAUGGAUUGAAACAAGGAAAUACAAUCUACCAAAGAGCAAUUAUCAUAAUUAAAUUCAUUGAAAUCCAAAAUAGUGGGUUCAUUGCUAUGUAAAGUUUUGACCUCAUCAAUUCCACUUUUACCAAUUUUUGCAUCAAGAUCUAAAAACUCCGAAUCAUUGGAACACCUUUUAACUAAAGUUGACUCAUCUCCAGUCCCAUCAUUAUCAACAUUAAUAUUGCAAAACAAAGAUUUAAUAGGAGACACAUCAAUCACUUUUAUAUCUUCAUCCUUAUUAUCAUCAAAACUAGAAGAGCACGCUUUUAUGAAGCUAUCUUUUUUAGCACGCAUCCUAGCGGUUCUUUCUUUGCACUCAUCAAUGGAAAUUCUCAUGGCGUUGAGAGACUCAUUGAUAUCAUGCUUAGGUGGAAUAUACCUAAGUUUCAAAGAAUCAACAUCAAGAGAAAUUCUAUCCACGUUCCUAGCCAACUCAUCAAUCUUAGACAAUUUUUCUUCAAUCAAAGCAUUGAAACUCUUUUGUGAACUAAUAAAUUCUUUAAUACUAGAUUCAAAAUCAUAGGGUAUCUUAUUAUAAUUUCCAUAAGAAUUGUUUUAGGAAUUACCAUAAUUAUUAGAGGAAUUACUAGGAUACAGCCUAGGAUUAAAGUUUCAUCUAUACGCGUUGUUACCAAAAUUGUUCCUACCAACAAAAUUCACACCCAUAGAUUCAUUAUUAUUCUCAAUCAAAGUAGACAAAGGCAUAUCAUUAGGAUCCGAAGAAACACUCUUAUUAGCAAACAAUUUCAUAAGUCCAUCCAUCUUUCCACUCAAAACAUUGAUUUCUUCUAUAGCAUGAACCUUUUUACUAGUAGAUCUUUCGGUGUGCCAUUGAGAAUAAUUAACCAUAAUAUUAUCUAGGAGUUUGGUAGCUUCUCCUAGAGUGAUUUCCAUAAAAGUGCCUCCCGUGGCUGAAUCUAAAAGAUUUCUAGAAGCAAAAUUCAAUCCAACAUAAAAAAUUUGUAUGACCAUCCACAAAUUCAAACCAUGUGUGGGGCAAUUACGAAUCAUUAAUUUCAUCCUCUCCCAUGCUUGUGCAACAUGCUCAUGAUCUAGUUGCUUAAAGUUCAUAAUAUCGUUUCUAAGAGAGAUGAUCUUAGCGGGAGGAAAAUACUUACGGAUAAAAGCAUCUUUGCACUUGUUCCAAGAAUCAAUACUAUUUUUAGGCAAAGAUGAAAACCAAGUUUUAGCACGAUCUCUAAGCGAAAACGGAAAUAGCUUCAAUUUAACAAUAUCAUUAUCCACAUGUUUCUUCUUUUGCAUAUCACACAAAUCAACAAAGCUAUUUAGAUGGGUAGCGGCAUCUUCACUACGAAGGCCAGAGAACAGAUCUUUCAUGACAAGCUUCAGCAAAGCAGUAUUAAUUUCACAAGAUUCAGCGUCGGUAAGAGGAGCAAUCGGAGUGCUAAUAAAAUCAUUAUUGUUGGUAUUGGAAAAAUCACACAAUUUAGUAUUAUCUUGAGCCAUCAUGACAAACAAUCUAACACACAAGCAAACAAGAGGCAGACAAAGAGAGGCGAACGAAAAGGAGGGCUAAUAAAACGGCAAGGGUGAUUUGGGGAGAGGAAAACGAGAGGCAAAUGGCAAAUAAUGUAAUGCGAGGGAUAAGAGUUUCUGAUAGGUACUUGGUAUGUCUUGACUUGUGCGUAGAUCUCCCCGGCAACGGCACCAGAAAUGGCUUGUUGAUGGGAGAUCAAAUCUUGACUUGACUUGGUGCAACCUCCCCGGCAACGGCGCCAAAAAUCCUUCUUGCUACCUCUUGAGCACUACGUUGGUUUUCCAUUGAAGAGGAAAGGGUGAUGCAGCAAAGUAGCGUAAGUAUUUCCCUCAGUUUUUGAGAACCAAGGUAUCAAUCCAGUAGGAGACUACACGCAAGUCCCUCGUACCUGCACAAACAAAUAAGAACCUCGCAACCAACGCGGUAAAGGGGUUGUCAAUACCUUCACGGUCACUUACGAGAGUGAGAUCUGAUAGAGAUAAUAAUAAUAAGAUAAAUAUUUUUGGUAUUUUUAUGAUAUAGAUUGAAAGUAAAGAUUGCAAAAUAAAAUAGAUUGGAAACUUGUAUGAUAAAAGAUAGACCCAGGGGCCAUAGGUUUCACUAGUGGCUUCCCUAACGAUAGCAUAAGUAUUGCGGUGGGUGAACAAAUUACUGUCGAGCAAUUGAUAGAAAAGUGCAUAAUUAUGAGAAUAUCUGGGCAUGAUCAUGUAUAUAGGCAUCACAUCCGCGACAAGUAGACCGAAAAGAUUCUGCAUCUACUACUAUUACUCCAUACAUCGACCGCUAUCCAGCAUGUAUCUAGAGUAUUAAGUUCAUAAGAACAAAGUAACGCAUUAGGCAAGAUGACAUGAUGUAGAGGGAUAAACUCAAGCAAUAUGAUAUAAACCCAAUCUUUUUAUCCUCGAUGGCAACAAUACAAUACGUGCCUUGCUGCCCCUGUUGUCACUGGGAAAGGACACCGCAAGAUUGAACCCAAAGCUAAGCACUUCUCCCAUUGCAAGAAAGAUCAAUCUAGUAGGCCAAACCAAACUGAUAAUUCGAGGAGACUUGCAAAGAUAACCAAUCAUACAUAAAAUAUUUCAGAGAAGAAUCAAAUAUUGUUCAUAGAUAAACUUGAUCAUAAACCCACAAUUCAUCGGAUAUCGACAAACACACCACAAAAAGAGUUACACCGAAUAGAUCUCCAAGAAGAUCAAGGAGAACAUUGUGUUGAGAUCCAAAGAAAGAGAAGAAGCCAUCUAGCUAAUAACUAUGGACCUGAAGGUCUGUGGUAAACUACUCACACAUCAUCGGAGAGGCUAUGGUGUUGAUGUAGAAGCCCUCCGUGAUCGAUUCCCCCUCCGGCGGAGCUUCGAAAAGGCCCCAAGAUAGGAUCUCUUGGGUACAGAAGGUUGCGGCGGUGGAAAUAGGGUUUCGUGGUGCUCCUGGAUGUUUUCGGGGUAUAUGGACAUAUAUAGGAGGAAGAAGUAGGUCGGUGGAGCCACGAGGGGCCCACGAGGGUGGGGGCGUGCCCAGGGGGUAGGCGCGCCUCCCUGCCUCGUGGCCUCCUCGUUGAUUUCUUGACGUUCACUCCAAGUCCUCUGGAUCACGUUUGUUCCAAAAAUAACUCUCCCGAAGGUUUCAUUCCGUUUGGAUUCCGUUUGAUAUGCCUUUUCUGCGAAACACUGAUAUAGGCAAAAAAACAACAACUUGCACUGGGCCUUGGGUUAGUAGGUUAGUCCCAAAAAUAAUAUAAAAGUGUAUAAAUAAGCCCAUUAACAUCCAAAACAGAUAAUAUAAUAGCAUGGAACAAUAAAAAAUUAUAGAUACGUUGGAGACGUAUCACUCAUCUCCUUGCAAUUUACAUUAUUUGUCAUUUUCCUUUUGUCCCCCCCCCCACUUCACAAAAAAUUGUCGUUUUAUUCACCCUCCUUUUUGCUCGCCGUUUUCUCGUCAGAUCUAUCUUUUUGCUUGCAAUCAUGAGUGACUUUGGUAUGGCAGAAACAGAUGAUGGCCUAACUCCUAAAAUUGGACGAUCUAGCAAUUUAGAUGCUAAAACUUUUAUUUAGGGGCAAGGGGAUGUUAUAGGAAAAGAACAUAUCCAAGAAUUUUUCAAUUGUGUUGGGAAUUUAAGUCUUGACUAGCAAAUAUGCCCGUGCUUUGCAACAGGAGAAACAAAAGCUGGCAUGCCCCUGGUGACUCCCCCGUGUUGCCACGUCCACUCUUCGCCAACGGCUUCAAUGGUUGUUGUCCACCUAUUUUCACAAUGAACAUGAUCAAUACCAAGGCCACGAGCUUAGUAACCACACUCUAGCAUCACUUCCAUAAGAUCCUUCUGCACCGACAUGCAGUUAUGUGGAUUUGUAAUGAUGGAGUAAGCCACCCAUGUCUCAUUACACUUCGUACCCUCUCAUACAGUACCAGGUUCAAAGCAAGUUCCAAAAACCAACGGGUAGGUUAGGGAGCACCAUGUGUUCCAAACUAUUUUGGGAAUUAAAUACUUUGGGUAGAGGAUAUUUAAAUAGGCUACAACCUGUGUAGCCAUGUCAGAGAGGUGAAAUACAACAUAGAUAAAAAUAAUCAUAUGCACUUGCUUAUUGUCGCGAUUACAUGAGGGAGGUGUAUUUGGGUUGGUUGCAUCCAUAAAGUGGCCGUGGAGAAGUUGAGUCCAAGAGGUGGAGAGCCUAAUGUUGCUUUGGAAGUGGACAUCCAUAAAGGUGUCAAGGAUAAAACCACAUUUUUGACCUUGAUACAUAUGUACCUUAUAUUGAUAGAAUUGGUUCGUCCCAUCUCCCAAGUAUAAUGCAAUUCUUGGCAUUUAAUACACACAUAAAGAAACAACUAGGAUAAUAUGGCAUCACAUGUAUAAUAUAAAUAUAAAUGCAAAAACAGAUAAACUAUAUUGGAUCCUUUCAUUAUUAAAAAAAGAGCCAAGUAUGUUUUCACAAAAACCAACAAACAUGCUGGUAAGUAGUAAUCUCAAGGAUAUUUUAUAAUCUUACGUUGAGAAAACUUCACAAAAUAAAUAUUAUUAGUGGAAGUCGUAGCUUUAUCUUAGCUGGUUGAUAUGAUUGCCUUAAUGACACUUAUCUUGGUCCAUUUUUUGUUUUGAGAGGUGCCUUGGUUAGUUCUACUAUUGGAAUAAAACCUACCAGGUGUUUAGGAUCCAUAAGCAAUGUAAAAUAAAAUUGCAAGAUAGCAACAAUAUUUAGUCGUGAAUGUAAUUAAUACUCAUGCCAUAAAAAAAGGAUGGAAUCACCUGCCAAGGAGCCAUGCACCAUAAAAAUCAGUAAAUUUAAGAGAAUCACUACCCAUAAGGCCAUAACGAAAGCACAUGCAGAUUAAUAAUCAAACUCUUAGGAUGGUUUAUUUAGCACGUACAUGGACCAAACAUCGAUGAUGCAUUGACACAGGGGUUGUUACUGUUGGGGACAGUGUAGGUGGAAGGGUCAAGGAGCGAUGACUCGUCAAUAAACUAAUCAACGUAAGUAGUGCUUCAGCAGACCUAUAGGGUGUAGUGCUACUCCAGCGACAACUGAACUCGAAAUAUUCCUGUGAGUUUCUCCACACGGCAACCUACCCGACGGCUGAACUUGAAAUAUUCUUGUGAGUUUCUCCACCCGGCAACCUGCCCGACAAGGGGAACAGUCCUGAUCUGCUUCAAACGGAUGGCACCAGGUGUCACCUCCUUCGUUGAAUCCACAAACGUGAGAAAGAUUGGUUACCUUGUUCACUUUCGGAUGAUGACAACUAAAUCUUGUAGAUCAAACGGAUACCAAACUUUUCCAUCUAGCAUGUGAGAUCCGGAGGAGAGAGCAUCGAGGCUUGAAUACAAAGACACAUCGAGGGGAUAAUAAGGGCAGCAACGUAUGAUCUAUCACUAGAGACGAUCCAGCUCUUGUUGUUACUGGAGUUGAUCGAGUCGAGGAGGACGUGAGCAUGGCAGCGGACAUACCCAUCGGGAGAGAUCGACGCAACCGGCUUCGAGUAACAGUGUGGUUGAUCGAGAGGAAGACCAAGGACGUGUUUUCUCGCCUCGGCGCAAUUCUUCCUCCAUGCGAGAUCUCACAUAGGUAGGAGAGCAUGUGACAGUGUGGGCUUUAUCUUUGUGGGCCUCGGCGAGGCUCUUCCUGCAUGGAAGCCAUGGCAGCCGUCAUCGUGCUUUUUCGACGCUCUCGCGAGGCCGCACUAAUCUGAAUCACCCGGGUUCGGCUCUCGUGCUGGGAGCCCUGCACGCAUUAUGCUGCAGGGUCAAUAGGGAUCCAACACCUGUCUUGGUAGGUCCACCACUGGAAAUAAUAAGACAUAUCUUUAUUUUUCUUAUUAAUUAACUUCCUUUCCCAAAUUGUCGGCAGCAAGACGGGGCCGUUGCGGCCUGCCUCCGGUGUGCUCAAGCUCAGGCCAAGGCCGGUCGGCCCGCAUCUACCGUCACAUAUAUCGCCGUUGUCCAUCUCGGCUAACCCGCUCCUUGGGAGAAGGUGGAACCGCAGGUGUGCGGAUGGUCAGCUAGAUGCCUGGUACAGUAGGGCGUGGGAACGGUCAUCGCCGACGAUGCCACAUGAGAUUGUGCGAGUGCAGUUCAAAAUGGGAGAUCGAUGUUCAUUACUAGGCAUGUUGGGUCAGUCUCCCGCUAAAUGAUUGGUCGUUCAGUACUGCUUCAUCUAACCUCUAAAGGAACUCGAUAGGUUCAAAUUAGUCUAGCUUGGGCAUGGCUUGGGCCUGCCGGAGGCAUGCGGCUCUAGCGGUGACAACUCCGCCGGCCACGAAAACCACCUGGGUCAGCGACCUCACCUCUUGGAGCUCAACUUAGCGAAGCCAUGGCUGCCAAGGAGUUCGUCGGGGAUAAGGUAAGGGAAACGAUUUUCAAUUAAUUUAGAGAAUAGAUAUAUAAUUAUUUUUCAGUGGUGGACCUACCAGGACAGGUGUUGGAUCCCUAUUGGCCCUGCAGCAUAAUGCGUGCAGGGCUCCCAGCACGAGAGCCGAGCCCGAAUCACCCGCGAGAUCGGCCUUGGUUUUUGCCUGCUCGUCCGACGACUCAUCUGCUGCCUGGUCGCCUUCCCUCCCGGGCGUAUUAUUUAUGAGAGGUUUUAGGAAGGUUUGACUCUGUGUCCUGAUCAUGAGGGAGAUGUACGGAAGGAUUGAUCUCUUUUUUGUGUGGAAAAUGAUGGAGAACCGAUUCCUUUCCUUUUUAGUGGAAGAAACGAUUGGUUCCCACAAUUUUAAAACUACGAUUGAUUUCCUUUUUUUAUAACUAUGACUACAAUUGGUUUCCUAGUAUACGACUUGACACAUACAUGUACGUUCCGUGAGCGUGAAGAGGCUGGCCAGGUGCCUACGUGAAGGUUUUCUUUCCUUGCGUGUGUCCGGGUUUUUUUCCUUCUUUUUUAGAACUGCUUUUAAAUCUCAGCCCUCAAAUCUCUAUGGUUAACAUAAAAUUAACAGAUACAAAAGGAUGACUUAUGAAGAACUAUGAAAGCAUCCGUCCUUUAAUAUUAGGUAAAGAUGAUGCUCCUAUUCUUAAGAGGACAAAAUCUUAUGCAGAAGCUAUUUCAGCACUAGUUCUAAAACUUGAAAGUAAAUUUAUCUAUACCCGUCCUACUUUGCAGAGGUUAUUUUUUGAGCUACCUGUUAUAAAGAAUCCUAAAGCUAAAAAGUUAGCCACCCUUGUUCUUAUGAAUGAAUUUGAUUACAUAAUACGGGCAGCUAGAGAUUUUUUUUGAUUUCUAUGGUAUGAAUCGCGAAAAACUGGUCAUAGAUGAAAUUCUUUAUAAUAGUGAUUAUGCUCUAAUACAUUUGCUUGGGGACAAUCAAAUAUUUGAUGAGAAUCUUAAAAAAGUAAGUCCCUAUUUUAGAUAUAAUCCAACAAGUUUUCAAUGAUGUUAACCAACACUAUUCUUGGAUAUUUGCCGGAAAUAAAAAAUGAUGUGAUGAUAAGCAACUUGACAGUGCUAAAGUUUGUAUGGAUAAGAUGUUCUAUGUUGUCUUUACAAAACCCCUUCACAAGGACACCUCUAAGUAAAAUAGAAACAAAGAUGACAACACUUGAUCCUUUGCAUUUUGCCUAGCUAGGGGCAUAAAACAAUAACGCUUGUUGGGAGGCAACCAAUUGAAUAAAAUUUAUUUUUCUUUUUUUCUUUCUGUUCUUGAGUGUUUGCACAAUUAUGCUACUAUUAUGAUUGUGUUUUUUGUGUUUUAGUUAGUGUUUAUGCCAAGUAAAGCCUUUAGGAUCUUGUUGGGUGAUAGUUGAUUUGAUCUUCCUGAAAAACAGAAAUUUUUAUGCCCAGAAAAAUAAUUUUCAUUUUUAACAGAAGCGCGAUAAAAUACUGAUUAUUUUUAUAGAAGAUUAAUAUACAAAUUUCUCACGUUGUCCUAAUUUUUUAGAAUUUUUUGAGUUACAUAAGUAUUCGAAAUCUCCAGAUUGCCACAAACUGUUCUGUUUUUGACAGAUUUUAUUUUCUUUGCGUUGUGUGCUUGUUUUGAUGAUUCUAUGGUUUUCUUUGAAGAGUUUUUGCCAUAGAAAAGUUGGAAUACAGUAGAUAUAAUGCAAAAAUAAAAUAUGUAUGGGUUUGCAACAGUACUUAUAGUAGUGAUUUGCUUUCUUAUGCUAACGAAUCUCAAGAAGGUUUUGUUGAGUUUUGUGUGAUUGAAGUUUUCAAGUUUCGAAUGACUUUACGAUGGAUGAAUGAAUAAGGAUUAGCAAAAGGCUAAGCUUGGGGAUUCCCAUGGCACCCCAAGAUAAUAUUGUAUCAAGCAACUAAGCUUGGGGAUGCCCAGAGUGGCAUCCCCUCUUUCUUCUAACAACCAUCGGUAUUGUACUUGAAACUAUAUUUUUAUUUGUCACAUAUUUAUGAGUUUUGCUUGGAGCGUCUUGUAUGAUAUGAGUCUUUGCUUGUUUUACUUUGUGUUCUUAGUCAUGAAUCCUUGCCGGACACACCUCUUUGAGAGAGCCAAAUUUAUGCUAUGACUUGUUAGAGUUGCUCUCUAUGCUCCACUUAAAUUUUUAUGAGCUAUGGAAUUGCUCUAGUGCUUCACUUAUAUCUUUUUGAGCAUAGUGUGCUUUAGUAUUUUUGAAUAAAUUCUCUCAUGAUUCACUUAGAUUUGCUUGAGAGUUAGUAAAUGUUUUAAGAAAUUCUCUCUUGCUUCACUUAAAUUAUUUUGAGAGAAGAAAAAAAAUUAUGCUCAUGUUCUUCACUUAGAUUUGUUUGAGCUAUCAAAAGCAACAUAUGAAAUUAGUCCGGAAGUGAUAGAUAUCCAAGGAGGAUAUAAUAAAAACUUUCAUGAAGAUCAUUGGACAAAACAAACUUGAUUCCUUGUAAUAGUUUUGAGAUAUGUUGAUAUAAUAUGUGAGUCAUGUUGAUGAGUAAUUAUGCUUUAGUAAGAAUAUUGGUGUUAAGGUUUGUGAUUCCCUAUGCAAGCAUGAAAGUCAAUAGUUAUGCAAUGAAAUUACAUCAUACUUGUGGUGCAAUAUUCGGUGUUAGUUAUGCUUAAUGCUUGCUUAUGAGAUUUUUCGUUUUUUGGAUGGUCGCUUCUCAAUCUUUUGCUAGCCUUCAUUUGCACUAAGUAUGAUCACUACUUGUGCAUCCAAAAUCCUUUAAAUCAGUUUUGCCAUAUGAGUCCACUAUACCUACCUAUACGCGGUAUUAUUUUGCCGUUCUAAGCAUUGUGUGUGCCAUCUCUAAUUUUCAAAAUAAAUUUCUCAUUUGUGUGCUCGUACCACUCAUGAAACGGUAGGGGGUGGCUGAUAUAUUUCCAUGUUAGAUGUGUUAUUCUCAAGAUGAGUGUUUAUUCACUUGUCAUUGCAUGAGAGUACGAUAAAGGUAUCAGGGAUGCCCAGUCCCGAAAUGAAAAAUGAAUUUACUUUAUGUUGUCAAAUAAUAAAUUCCUUGGAAAGUGUUGGUAUGGAAGGCACCCUAGGAUACAGUUAGCCAUGGAAAGUGAAAGUAUGGUGGAAAAAGGAAUAAACUUUUUUUUAUGUUUGGGAACCGCCUAUGAUAUAUCUAGCAUGGAAAGUAUUGGGAACUACUCGAUCAUUUUCGUUGACAGGAAAAGCAUGCCUCCCAAAAUGUUUUAUCUCUAUCUUUUUCGCUUUGAGCUCUGACACCUCUACAAAUCCCUACUUCCCUCUGCGAAGGGCCUUUCUAUUUACUUUAUGCAAUUUUUAUUUUUAUUUGAGUCUCCAUCUUCUCUUCUAAAGCACCAACUAAGGGGCACUAUGAUCGUACUUGAGCAUUGGGUGUAGCUAAUAUGCGGGUGUGUUUCAUGAAUGGAUCAAUGAUUGAGCAUAAUGGGCUAUGGAUAACUUGCUUUAGCGUUGAUAUUUUGAAAGACAUGCUUGCUUGUUGAUAUGCUUGAGUAUUAAAGUCCUCAUGUCAAAACUAGACUAUUGCUUUGAACCAUAUAAAAGUCCAAUUGUCCAUGCUAUAAAAGAAAGAAUAUGUGAUGAACAUAGGCACCAUUCCACAUCAAAAAUUAUGUUUUUAUCAUUUACCUACUCGAGGACGAGCAGGAAUUAAGUUUGGGGAUGUUGAUAUGUCUUCAACGUAUCUAUAAUUUUUGAUUAUUCCAUGCUGUUUAUAUUAUCAUUCUUGGAUGUUUUACAAUCAUUUUAUAAUCAUUUUAUAUCAUUUUUUGGUACUAACCUAUUGACAUAGCGCUAAGUGCCAGUUGUUGUUUUUUGCUUGUUUUUUACAUCGUAGAAAAUUAAUAUCAAGCGGAGUCCAAACACAGCGAAAGUUUUUGUGAAUUAUUAUGGACCAGAAGACACCCAAUGGGUCGGAGAAGCAUCUGGGGGUGUCCCGAGGGGGGCACAACCCACCAGGGCGCGCCCGGGCCCCAGAGAGCCCAGGUGGGUUGUGCCCACCUCGGUGGCCUCCCGCACCGCCUCUUUGCUCUAUAAAUACCCCAAUAUUUCAGAAACCCUAGGGGACUCGACGAAAAAUCAAUUCCAGCCGCCGCAAGUUCCAGAAACACCAGAUCCAAUCUAGACACCAUCACGGAGGGGUUCAUCAUCCUCAUUGGUGCCUCUCCGAUGAUGCAUGAGUAAUCUUUUGUAGACCUUCGGGUCUGUAGUUAGUAGCUAGAUGGCUUCCUCUCUCUCUCUUUUGAUUCUCAAUACAAUGGUCUCUUCGAGAUCCAUAUGAUGUAACUCUUUUUUAGGUGUGUUUGUUGGGAUCCGAUGAACUUUGAGUUUAUGAUCAGAUCUAUGUUUUUAUCCACGAAAGUUAUUUGAGUCUUUUGAUCUCUUAUAUGCAUGAUUAGUUAUAGCCUCAUAUUUCUUCUCCGAUAUUUGGGUUUUGUUUGGCCAAGUUGAUCUAUUUAUCUUGCAACAUGAAGAUGUGCUUUGCGAUGUGUUCGAUCUUACUGUGCUUGAUCCCAGUGACAAAAGAGGAACGGACACGUAUGUAUCGUUACUAUUAAGGAUAACAAGAUGGGGUCUAUUUCUACAUAAAUAGAUCUUGUCUACAUCAUGUCAUCGUUCUUAUUGCAUUACUCUAUUUCUUCAUGAACUUAAUACAUUAGAUGCAUGCUCGAUAGCGGUCGAUGUGUGGAGUAAUACUAGUAGAUGCAGGCAGGAGUCGGUCUACUAAUCUUGGACGUGGUGCCUAUAUAAUGAUCAUUGCCUAGAUAUCGUUGUAACAUCCCAAAUUUGCAAUUUGGAAUGUUAUACAUUAGAGCAUCAUUGCAUAUCAUAUUUUAUUAUAUUUUUGCUUGAUCUUAGAAAUUUUACGCAACUCAAGGACCUACGGAGAGAGUUGGGAAUUUCAUUAUUUUCAUAUUUGAGUUUUCUCGAAUUUUGAAAAGAGGAUCGUUUGAUUUUAAUUAUUUUCUCUUCGACUAUUUAUUUUAUAAAAAUAAAAGAGAGAGAGGAUAAAAUGACUUCCUCAAAUUAGAGAACUAUCGAAGAUUUAAUAUUAAAACCAAAUAAGAUUUUUAUUCAGAGUUUUAUCGCUAUUUUAUUUGAACUAGCAAAAGAGCCCGUGCGUUGCAACGGGAGAGAAAACAUAACACACGCUCUUAACUCAACAACCAUCACUCAAGACCACAAUUGGUCCAUCUCCUUUAUUUUUGCGAGGCAUCAUAUUUGUGUUGCCGCUUAUCCUCCUUCUCACCCUCGCCAGCGAUGGCCUCGGUGUUCACACAAAACAACAAAAAAUGUGUGUUGAAUAUGGUUAAUCCUAAGGUGUCUCUCUCUCCCUCUCUCCUCCCUCUCCCUCUCUCUCUCUCUUCCUCUCUCUCUCUCACUCACUCUCGCGAUGGGAAAUCUGUUGUUUUCCCCUGCAAAAUUUUUCAGAGAUAUGCAUGUGUAGUUAUCGAUGUUUUCUUUUCCAUAUAUGGUCAUAGCGGGGUGUUUAUUUUCAAUCCGGAUUGCCGCCGGUAUGAAAAAAAAUCUUGCGCUAUAAAUUAUAAGUUUGCUUCCAUAAAAAUAUUUUAAAAAUAUUUAAUAGGUACAAUUAACAUCAUAUUUAGGUUCCACACAUUUUUCUAAUAAAAUUUCAUAUAUAGUAUGUUAAAAAUCAAAGUUACGGUUUAAAAGAUACAGAUAAUUUAGAAAAUCAUUUGGUUUGACUCAAAUAUAUUAAAAAAAAUAAUAUUUAAAAAUACUUAACAGGUAAAAUAAUCUCAUAUUCAUAUUCUACAUAUUUUUCUAAUUAAAUUUCAUAUAUAACAUGUUUAAAUCGGAGUUACGGUUUAAAAGAUAUAGAUGAUUUUAAAAAGCAUUUGUUUGACUUAAAUAUAAUCUGCGGAUGAAUUACCUAAAACAUCAGGGGGAUUUUCAAAAAUGUAAAAUAAAGGUUCGGGUAUGACUUAAAUCCGGACGGCGGGUUGAUUUGAAGAAAAGAAAGGGACUUUUGUGUAAAAUACGAAAAUAACGAUUCAUUUUAACUUAAAACAGGACUGCGAGUUGAAUUCUCUGAAAUAAAGGGACUUUUCUGAAAAAUACCAUGACAGACGAAAGAAAUUCAAUUUGCUUUAUUAUUAGGUAAAGAUUAGGAAAAAUAUGGGUUUUUCAAAGUUGCAUUUUAGGCCCAAAUAAAUGUUCACGAGUUUUAUCAUUGUUUUAUUUGAAUUAGGGAAAAUAUGUGUUUUUCAAAGUUGCAUUUUAGGUCCAAAUAAAUGUUCACCUUGUCCGGCUUAUUUUUAGAGGACGGGAAAAUUUUAUUUUGGGAUUUUUGGAGUCCGUUUAGUAUUUCUUUUCUUUCUUUUUCUGCACGUCGAAAUUAUUCGUUAAAAAAUGAACUGACUCCGGGCCGUACCCGAGCGGGACUCCUCCCGGGGGGCCUUUAUAAGCCGCCGCCCCCGAGCGUCGAAAGCCCGCAGCCGCUGCCGAAGCCCACCCGCGCCCUAACCCUAACCCUAGCCGCCGCCCCCGAGCGCCGAAAGCCCGCAGCCGCCGUCGAAGCCCACCCGCGCCCCAACCCUAACCCUAGCCGCCGCCGCUCGCACCGCCACCGCCACGCGCUGCCGCCGCAGACAGUGAACGUCCGUUCGUUAGCCUGUUCGUCAGUUUUUCUUUUUCUCGGAUUUUCCGCGAUUAUUUUUCUAUCGCGAUUUCUGAUCCGAUUUUCGUUUUAGUAUAACUUUUCGCUCGUUUAUCAGAAUCAGGCGAUUCAAGCGUCUAGAGUUUCAUUUCGAAACCCUCUUUCCGUUUAACCAACUUGAACAAGAUUUUGAUACAGUAAAAUUUGACCUUAGUCCAGAUUAGUAAUCGGAUAUUGUUUCUUUCGCAGUUUGAGUUUUGUUGCUCCGUUUGAUUUGAUUCUUUUUGCAAACCGGAGUUCUUAAGUUGAACUUUCUGGUUAGAUCUCUUACUUGAGUUUUACCUGUACGUCUUGUUUUAUUGCUUAUUGUAUGCUUGUUUGAUUAUGAUAGAGUACCCGGAGUGCGAAGCGUGCUACAUCGAGUCUCUAGGUUUUGCGGAUCAUCAGCAAGGCAAGUAACACUUUGAUCAUAUCCCUUCAUCACCCAGCUUUUAUGCAUUAGUUUCACCCUCAAACAUUGCAUGGUUAGGAUUUGAUAACAUGUGGGUUUUGGGAAGUAGAUGAGGUGGUACCUAUUCACCUGUUUAUUAUCAAACCCUUGGGAGUUACUUCUACGUAUUGCUUAUAUUGCCAUGCUAUGCUCGUAGACGUGGUUUGGAUGAGUGAAACCAUGACAGAUGUGAGAUUGUUAAUUAAUGGUUCAACUUAAGGUGGCAACUUUAAAUACACAUCUGGGUGGAUUGCUUGUCGGGCACCUGGAGAAUCCAGUGUUGUCCUAGGAUAUCCCGGAGUACCCGUGUGAUAAUCCUAAGGUCCGCCACCCAGGCUCAAAGGAAACUUAGAUAUUUCAUGCUAGAAACUUCCAUGUGCAGCCACAAGCUAUUAUAGGCUCUAGCAUAGUUGAGUAAGUUGCGUGAAGCUCUUGAAGAGGUAGACUAGCAGAUGUAGUGGGUUGUAGGUGGUAUAGUCUAUCCGAAGUAGAGAGUUAAUGCUUCUAAAAGACAGUGUCUCGGUCAUCCGUUUCUCAAACAUCAUGCAGUGCGAGAAAUCCAAUGAAGGAGAUCGAGUCUUGUGGGGAAAAGUGUGCAAACCUCUGCAGAGUGUACAAACUAAUCAUGGUUAAUUGUGUCCCCGAUUAUGGACAUCUUAAGUAUCUAGUACUUGGAUUAUCAUAUGUAUCUCAUCACUCUACACUAAUAUUGUUGGGUUGGUAAUUACUUUUAAUUGGGAUUGAGUUGGAGGAACCUUCUCAAUGAUGUUUCAACUACCAUGGUAGUUAAAUAAAAUCUAUUCCUUUGUUGUAGGGAAAAAUUGGCUUUUCGCAAAACUAUAACCGUAGAGCUUUCCACCAGCCAAAUAUGCAUAUAGUGAUAGCAUUAUUUUUGUUCUUUCUCUACUGUGUUACAUUGCCAGCAUAUUCCAUGUGCUGACCCGUUUUUGGGCUGCAACGUAUUAUGUGUUGGGGAACGUUGCAGAAAACAAAAAAUUUCCUACGGUUUCACCAAGAUCCAUCUAGGAGUUCAUCUAGCAACGAGUGAUCGGAUUGCAUCUACAUACCUUUGUAGAUCACGCGCGGAAGCGUUCAAAGAACGGGGAUGAGGAAGGCGUACUCGACGUGAUCCAAAUCACCGAAGAUCCUAGCGCCGAACGAACGGCACCUCCGCGUUCAACACACGUACGGUCAGCGUAACGUCUCCUCCUUCUUGAUCCAGCAAGGGGGAAGAAGAGGGUGAGGAAGAUGGCUCCAGCAGCAGCACGACGGCGUGGUGGUGGUGGAGCUGCAGUACUCCGGCAGGGCUUCGCCAAGCUCUAUGGAGGAGGAGAAUGUGUUGGAGAGGGAGAGGGAGGCACCAAAGGCGUGGUUUGAGAGGCCCUCCUUCCCCCACUAUAUAUAGGGAGCCUAGGGGGGCGCCGGCCCUAGGAGAUGCAAUCUCCUAGGGGGGCGGCGGCCAAGGGAGGAAUCCCUCCUCCCCAAGGCACCUAGGAGGUGCCUUCCCCCUUUAGGACUCUUCCUUUCCUUAUCUCUUGGCGCAUGGGACUCUUGGGGCUGGUGCCCUUGGCCCAUAUAGGCCAAGGCGCACACCCCUACAGCCCAUGUGGCCCCCCCGGGGCAGGUGGCCCCACCCGGUGGACCCCCGGGACCCUUCCGGUGGUCCCAAUACAAUACGGUGACCCCGAAACUUGUCCCGACGGCCGAAAUAGCACUUCCUAUAUAUAAUUAUUUACCUCCGGACCAUUCCGGAACUCCUCGUGACGUCCGGGAUCUCAUCCGGGACUCCGAACAACAUUCGGGUUACUGCAUAUACAUAUCCCUACAACCCUAGCGUCACCGAACCUUAAGUGUGUAGACCCUACGGGUUCGGGAGACAUGUAGACAUGACCGAGAUCGCUCUCCGGUCAAUAACCAACAGCGGGAUUUGGAUACCCAUGUUGGCUCCCACAUGCUCCUCGAUGAUCUCAUCGGAUGAACCACGAUGUCGAGGAUUCAAGCAAUCCCGUAUACAAUUCCCUUUGUCAAUCGGUAUGUUACUUGCCCGAGAUUCGAUCGUUGGUAUCCCAAUACCUCGUUCAAUCUCUUUACCGGCAAGUCACUUUACUCGUACCGUAAUGCAUGAUCCCGUGACCAGACACUUGCUCACUUUGAGCUCAUAAUGAUGAUGUAUUACUGAGUGGGCCCAGUGAUACCUCUCCGUCAUACGGAGUGACAAAUCCCAGUCUUGAUCCGUGUCAACCCAACAGACACUUUCGGAGAUACCCGUAGUAUACCUUUAUAGUCACCCAGUUACGUUGCGAUGUUUGGUACACCCAAAGCACUCCCACGGUAUCCGGGAGUUACACGAUCUCAUGGUCUAAGGAAAAGAUACUUGACAUUGGAAAAACUCUAGCAAACGAACUAUACGAUCUUAUGCUAUGUUUAGGAUUGGGUCUUGUCCAUCACAUCAUUAUCCUAAUGAUGUGAUCUCGUUAUCAAUGACAUCCAAUGUCCAUAGUCAGGAAACCAUGACUAUCUAUUGAUCAACGAGCCAGUCAACUAGAGGCUUACUAGGGACAUGUUGGUGUCUAUUAUUCACACAUGUAUUACGAUUUCCGGAUAACACAAUUAUAGCAUGAAUAAAGACAAUUAUCAUGAACAAGGAAAUAUAAUAAUAAUGCUUUUAUUAUUGCCUCUAGGGCAUAUUUCCAACAGUCUCCCACUUGCACUAGAGUCAAUAAUCUAGUUACAUUGUGAUGUAUCGAACACCCAUGGAAUUCUGGUGUUGAUCAUGUUUUGCUCUAGGGAGAGGUUUAGUCAACGGAUCUGCUACAUUCAGGUCCGUAUGUACUUUACAAAUAUCUAUGUCUCCAUCUUGAACAUUUUCACGAAUGGAGUUGAAGCGACGCUUGAUGUGCCUGGUCUUCUUGUGAAACCUGGGCUCCUUGGCAAGUGCAAUAGCUCCAGUGUUGUCACAGAAGAGUUUGAUUGGCCUCGACGCAUUGGGUAUGACUCCUAGGUCGGUGAUGAACUCCUUCACCCAAAUUGCUUCAUGCACUGCCUCUGAGGCUGCCAUGUACUCCGCUUCACAUGUAGAUCCCGCCACGACGCUCUGCUUGCAACUGCACCAGCUUACUGCCCCACCAUUCAAAAUAUACACGUAUCCGGUUUGUGACUUAGAGUCAUCUAGAUCUGUGUCGAAGCUAGCGUCGACGUAACCUUUUACGACGAUCUCUUCGUCACCUCCAUAAAUGAGAAACAUUUCCUUAGUCCUUUUCAGGUACUUCAGGAUAUUCUUGACCGCUGUCCAGUGUUCCUUGCCGGGAUUACUUUGGUACCUACCUACCAAACUUACGACAAGGUUUACAUCAGGUCUGGUACACAGCAUGGCAUACAUAAUAGAACCUAUGGCUGAGGCAUAGGGGAUGACACUCAUCUCUUCUAUAUCUUCUGUCGUGGUCGGACAUUGAGCCGAGCUCAAUUUCACACCUUGUAACACAAGCAAGAACCCCUUCUUAGACUGAUCCAUAUUAAAUUUCUUCAAUAUCUUAUCAAGGUAUGUGCUUUGUGAAAGACCUAUGAGGCGUCUUGAUCUAUCUCUAUAGAUCUUGAUGCCUAAUAUAUAUGCAGCUUCUCCAAGGUCCUUCAUUGAAAAACUCUUAUUCAAGUAGGCCUUAAUGUUGUCCAAGAGUUCUAUAUCAUUUCCCAUCAAAAGUAUGUCAUCUACAUAUAAUAUGAGAAAUGCUACAGAGCUCCCACUCACUUUCUUGUAAACACAGGCUUCUCCAUAAGUCUGCGUAAACCCAAACGCUUUGAUCAUCUCAUCAAAGCGAAUGUUCCAACUCCGAGAUGCUUGCACCAGCCCAUAAAUCGAGCGUUGGAGCUUGCACACCUUGUCAGCAUUCUUAGGAUCGACAAAACCUUCCGGCUGCAUCAUAUACAAUUCUUCCUUAAGGAAACCAUUAAGGAAUGCCGUUUUGACAUCUAUUUGCCAUAUCUCAUAAUCAUAGAAUGCGGCAAUUGCUAACAUGAUUCGGACGGACUUUAGCUUCGCUACCGGUGAGAAAGUCUCAUCGUAGUCAACCCCUUGAACUUGUCGAUAACCCUUAGAGACAAGCCGAGCUUUAUAGAUGGUCACAUUACCAUCCGCAUCCGUCUUCUUCUUAAAGAUCCAUUUAUUUUCUAUGGCUCGCCGCUCAACGGGCAAGUCAGUCAAAGUCCAUACUUCAUUUUCAUACAUGGAUCCUAUCUCGGAUUUCAUGGCUUCUAGCCAUUUGUCGGAAUUCGGGCCCGCCAUCGCUUCUUCAUAGUUCGAAGGUUCACCGUUGUCUAACAACAUGAUUUCCAAGACAGGGUUGCUGUACCACUCUGGUGCGGAACGUGUCCUUGUGGACCUUCGAAUUUCAGUAGGAGCUUGAUCAGAAGUAUCUUGAUCAUCAUCAUUAACUUCCUCUCUAGUCGGUGCAGGCACCUCAGGAACAUUUUCUUGAGUUGCGCCAUUUUCCGGUUCAAGAGGUAAUACUUCAUCAAGUUCUACUUUCCUCCCACUUACUUCUUUCAAGAGAAACUCUUUCUCCAGAAAGGAUCCAUUCUUGGCAACAAAGAUCUUGCCUUCGGAUCUGAGGUAGAAGGUAUACCCAAUAGUUUCUUUAGGAUAUCCUAUGAAGACGCAUUUUUCCGACUUGGGUUCGAGCUUUUCAGGUUGAAGUUUCUUGACAUAAGCAUCGCAUCCCCAAACUUUUAGAAACGACAGCUUAGGUUUCUUUACAAACCAUAAUUCAUACGGUGUCGUCUCAACGGAUUUCGACGGAGCCCUAUUUAAAGUGAAUGCGGAAGUCUCUAAAGCAUAGCCCCAAAAAGAUAGCGGUAAAUUGGUAAGAGACAUCAUAGAUCGCACCAUAUCUAACAGAGUGCGAUUACGACGUUCGGACACACCAUUACACUGAGGUGUUCCAGGUGGCGUGAGUUGUGAAACUAUUCUACAUUUUCUUAAGUGUGUGCCAAACUCGUGACUCAAGUAUUCUCCUCCACGAUCUGAUCGCAGGAACUUGAUUUUCCUGUCACGUUGAUUCUCAACCUCACUCUGAAAUUCUUUGAACUUUUCAAAGGUCUUAGAAUUGUGUUUCAUUAAGUAGACAUACCCAUAUCUACUCAAGUCAUCCGUGAGUGUGAGAACAUAACGAUAGCCACCGCGAGCCUCAACACUCAUUGGACCGCACACAUCAGUAUGUAUGAUUUCCAAUAAGUUGGUUGCUCGCUCCAUUGUUCCUGAGAACGGAGUCUUGGUCAUUUUACCCAUGAGGCAUGGUUCACAUGUGUCAAAUGAUUCGUAAUCAAGAGACUCUAAAAGUCCAUCAGCAUGGAGCUUCUUCAUGCGUUUGACACCUAUGUGACCAAGGCGGCAGUGCCACAAGUAUGUGGGACUAUCAUUAUCAAUCUUACGUCUUUUGGUACUCACACUAUGAAUAUGUGUAGCAUUACGCUCGAGAUUCAUUAAGAAUAAACCAUUCACCAUCGGAGCAUGACCAUAAAACAUAUCUCUCAUAUAAAUAGAACAACCAUUAUUCUUGGAUUUAAAUGAGUAGCCAUCUCGAAUUAAACGAGAUCCUGAUACAAUGUUCAUGCUCAAAGCUAGCACUAAAUAACAAUUAUUAAGGUUUAAAACUAAUCCCGAAGGUAAAUGUAGAGGUAGCGUGCCGACGACGAUCACAUUGACCUUGGAACCAUUCCUGACGCGCAUCGUCACCUCGUCCUUCGCCAGUCUCCGCUUAUUCCGCAGCUCCUGUUUUGAGUUACAAAUGUGAGCAACUGCACCGGUAUCAUAUACCCAGGAGCUACUACGAGUACUGGUAAGGUACACAUCAAUUACAUGUAUAUCACAUAUACCUUUUGUUUUGCCGGCCUUCUUGUCUGCUAAGUAUUUGGGGCAGUUCCGCUUCCAGUGCCCACUUCCCUUGCAAUAAAAGCACUCAAUCUCGGGCUUGGGUCCAUUCUUUGGCUUCUUCCCGGUAGCUUGCUUACCGGGCGCGGCAACUCCCUUGCCGUCCUUCUUGAAGUUCUUCUUACCCUUGCCUUUCUUGAACUUAGUGGUUUUAUUCACCAUCAACACUUGAUGUUCCUUUUUGACUUCUACCUCUGCUGAUUUCAGCAUUGCAAAUACCUCAGGAAUGGUCUUUUCCAUCCCCUGCAUAUUGAAGUUCAUCACAAAGCUCUUGUAGCUUGGUGGAAGCGACUGGAGGAUUCUGUCAAUGACCGCGUCAUCCGGGAGAUUAACUCCCAGCUGAGUCAAUCGGUUAUGUAACCCAGACAUUGUGAGUAUGUGCUCACUGACAGAACUAUUUUCCUCCAUCUUACAGCUGAAGAACUUGUCGGAGACUUCAUAUCUCUCGACCCGGGCAUGAGCUUGGAAAACCAUUUUCAGCUCUUCAAACAUCUCAUAUGCUCCAUGUCUCUCAAAACGUUUUUGGAGCCCCGGUUCUAAGCUGUAAAGCAUGCCGCACUGAACGAGGGAGUAAUCAUCAGCACGUGUCUGCCAGAGCGUUCAUAACGUCUUGGUUCUGUGGGACGGGUGGGUCACCUAGUGGUGCUUGUAGGACGUAAUCUUUCUUGGCAGCUAUGAGGAUGAUCCUCAGGUUCCAGACCCAGUCCGUGUAGUUGCUGCCAUCGUCUUUCAGCUUGGUUUUCUCUAGGAACGCGUUGAAGUUGAGGACUACAUUGGCCAUUUGAUCUACAAGACAUAUUGUAAAUAUUUUAGACUAAGUUCAUGAUAAUUAAGUUCAUCUAAUCAAAUUAUUUAAUGAACUCCCACUUAGAUAGACAUCCCUCCAGUAAUCUAAGUAUAACAUGAUCCGAGUUAACUAGGCCGUGUCUGAUCAUCACGUGAGACGGACUAGUCAACAUCGGUGAACAUCUUCAUGUUGAUCGUAUCUUCUAUACGACUCAUGCUCAAUCUUUCGGUCUUCUGUGUUCCGAGGCCAUGUAUGUACAUGCUAGGCUCGUCAAGUCAACCUAAGUGUUUGCAUGUGUAAAUCUGUCUUACACCCGUUGUAUGUGAACGUUGGAAUCUAACACCCGAUCAUCACGUGGUGCUUCGAAACAACGAACUGUCGCAACGGUGCACAGUUAGGGGGAACACUUUCUUGAAAUUAUUAUGAGGGAUCAUCUUAUUUACUACCGUCGUUCUAAGCAAACAAGAUGCAAAAAUAUGAUAAACAUCGCAUGCAAUCAAAUAAUAAUAGUGACAUGAUAUGGCCAAUAUCACAUAGCUCCUUUGAUCUCCAUCUUGGGGCUCCAUGAUCAUCUUGUCACCGGCAUGACACCAUGAUCUCCAUCAUCAUGAUCUCCAUCAUCGUGUCUCCAUGAAGUUGCUCGCCAACUAUUACUUCUAAUACUACGGCUAACGCGUUUAGCAAUAAAGUAAAGUAAUUUACAUGGCGUUUCUCAAUGACACGCAGGUCAUACAAAAAAUAAAGACAACUCCUAUGGCUCCUGCCGGUUGUCAUACUCAUCGACAUGCAAGUCGUGAUUCCUAUUACAAUGGCAUGAACAUCUCAUACAUCACAUAAAUAUCAUUCAUCAUUCAUCACAACUUUGGCCAUAUCAUAUCACAAAGCACUUGCUGCAAAAACAAGUUAGACAUCCUCUAAUUGUUGUUGCAAGUUUUACGUGGCUGCAAUAGGGUUCUAGCAAGAACGUUUUCUUAUCUACGUGAAAACCACAACGUGAUUUGUCAACUUCUAUUUACCCUUCAUAAGGACCCUUUUCAUCGAAUCCUCUCCAACUGAAAUGGGAGAGACAGACACCCGCCAGCCACCUUAUGCAACUUGUGCAUGUUAGUCGGUGGAACCGGUCUCACGUAAGCGUACGUGUAAGGUUGGUCCGGGCCGCUUCAUCCCACAAUACCGCUGAAGCAAGAUAAGACUAGUAGCGGCAAGAAAGUUGACAACAUCUACGCCCACAACAAAUUGUGUUCUACUCGUGCAAAAAGAACUACGCAUAGACCUAGCUCAUGAUGCCACUGUUGGGGAACGUUGCAGAAAACAAAAAUUUUCCUACGGUUUCACCAAGAUCCAUCUAGGAGUUCAUCUAGCAACGAGUGAUCGGAUUGCAUCUACAUACCUUUGUAGAUCACGCGCGGAAGCGUUCAAAGAACGGGGAUGAGGAAGGCGUACUCGACGUGAUCCAAAUCACCAGAGAUCCUAGCGCCGAACGGACGGCACCUCUGCGUUCAACACACGUACGGUCAGCGUAACGUCUCCUCCUUCUUGAUCCAGCAAGGGGGAAGGAGAGGUUGAGGAAGAUGGAUCCAGCAACAGCACGACGGCGUGGUGGUGGUGGAGCUGCAGUACUCCGGCAGGGCUUCGCCAAGCUCUAUGGAGGAGGAGGAUGUGUUGGAGAGGGAGAGGGAGGAACCAAAGGCGUGGUUUGAGAGGCCCUCCUUCCCCCACUAUAUAUAGGGAGCCUAGGGGGGGGGGCGGCGGCCAAGGGAGGAAUCCCUCCUCCCCAAGGCACCUAGGAGGUGCCUUCCCCCUUUAGGACUCUUCCUUUCCUUAUCUCUUGGCGCAUGGGCCUCUUGGGGCUGGUGCCCUUGGCCCAUAUAGGCUAAGGCGCACACCCCUACAGCCCGUGUGGCCCCCCGGGGCAGGUGGCCCCACCCGAUGGACCCCCGGGACCCUUCCGGUGGUCCUAGUACAAUACCGGUGACCCCGAAACUUGUCCCGACAGCCGAAAUAGCACUUCCUAUAUAUAAUUCUUUACCUCCGGACCAUUACGGAACUCCUCGUGACGUCUGGGAUCUCAUCCGGGACUCCGAACAACAUUCGGGUUACUGCAUAUACAUAUCCCUACAACCCUAGCGUCAUCGAACCUUAAGUGUGUAGACCCUACGGGUUCGGGAGACAUGUAGACAUGACCGAGAUCACUCUCUGGUCAAUAACCAAUAGCGGGAUCUGGAUACCCAUGUUGGCUCCCACAUGCUCCUCGAUGAUCUCAUCGGAUGAACCACGAUGUCGAGGAUUCAAGCAAUCCCAUAUACAAUUCCCUUUGUCAAUCGGUAUGUUACUUGCCCGAGAUUCGAUCGUCGGUAUCCCAAUACCUCGUUCAAUCUCGUUACCGGCAAGUCACUUUACUCGUACCGUAAUGCAUGAUCCCGUGACCAGACACUUGGUCACUUUGAGCUCAUAAUGAUGAUGUAUUAUCGAGUGGGCCCAGUGAUACCUCUCCGUCAUACGGAGUGACAAAUCCCAGUCUUGAUCCGUGUCAACCCAACAGACACUUUCGGAGAUACCCGUAGUAUACCUUUAUAGUCACCCAGUUACGUUGCGACGUUUGGUACACCCAAAGCACUCCCACGGUAUCCGGGAGUUACACGAUCUCAUGGUCUAAGGAAAAGAUACUUGACAUUGGAAAAACUCUAGCAAACGAACUAUACGAUCUUAUGCUAUGUUUAGGAUUGGGUCUUGUCCAUCACAUCAUUAUCCUAAUGAUGUGAUCUCGUUAUCAAUGACAUCCAAUGUCCAUAGUCAGGAAACCAUGACUAUCUGUUGAUCAACGAGCCAGUCAACUAGAGGCUUACUAGGGACAUGUUGGUGUCUAUUAUUCACACAUGUAUUACAAUUUCCGGAUAACACAAUUAUAGCAUGAAUAAAGACAAUUAUCAUGAACAAGGAAAUAUAAUAAUAAUGCUUUUAUUAUUGCCUCUAGGGCAUAUUUCCAACAUUAUGUUGCAGACUUUUCAGACGAGGAGUAAGGUUCGUUAGGUCGUUGCCGUAUAGCUCAGCUAUGCCGUUGGAGUUGAUGGACUCACUUUAUCUUCCAGGCCUUCCGAUGUUAUCGUAUUAGAUGGUCUUAAGUCAUAUUUAUUGUAAUAAGUUCUCUCUUGAGACAUUCGAUGUAAUAAGGGUAUGAUUGCUACUCUGUUAUAAAUCCUUCGAGUACUGUGUGUGUCAGCAUUACCGAUCCAGGGAUGACACUGAAGCACAGAGACUUGACCGUUUGAGGCCGGGUCGCUACAAUCGUCAUGAUUAUUUGAAGUUUUAUCAAUUUCCCAACAUUAAUUUGUUUACCCACCAUUUGCUAUUUUUCUCGAGAGAAGCAACUAGUGAAACCUACGCCCCCCGGGUCUCUUCAUUAUUAUAUUUGCCUUGCGAUCUAUUUUUAUUUGCUUUUAUUUUCAGAUCUAUUAAUACAAAAACCCAAAAAUAUCUUGCUGCAUUUAUUUAUUUCUUUUAUCUCGCGUUCCCGCGAGAUCCAUUUAUCCAAUCUACUACACUUUUACCUAUCUUUUUACCCGUGAGGGAUUGAUAACCCCGCUCUUAUGUCGGUUGUAAGUGUUUGUUCUUUGUGUGCAGGAGCUGUUUACAUGGUGUUGUGUGGUUCUUCUACUGGUUCGAUAACCUUGGUCUCAUCACUAAGGGAAAUACCUACCGUUGUUGUGCUGCAUCAUCCCUUCCUCUUUGGGAAAAUACCGACUUAGUUCAGGAAAACAUCAUGCACCAAGUCCUCAAAAGCCCAUGUGGCUAGAGAAGGCAAAAAAGGAAGGAGUCCUAGUAGGAAUAGGAUUGGACUUGGAGUCCAAGUCCUCUCCCCCUUAGCUGCGCCCUAGGGCUUGGAGGGGUUGUUUCCCACGCCCCUCCACCUAUAUAUAGAGGGGAAGGGGCGCCCCAAGAGAACCCACCAAGCCCUUGGCGCCCCUCUCUCUCCCGUUACUCCGUAGUUCCACCGCCUCGUCCCGACGAUGCUUAGCGAAGCGCUGUUGGUGCUCCACCACCACCAUCACCACCACCCCGUUGUGUUGGGUGUGAUCCCAUCUACUUCUCCUAUCCCACUUGCUGGAUCAAGAAGGAGGAGACGUCAUGGAGCUACACGUGUGCUAAACUCGGAGGUGCCGUCCAUUCGACACUAGAUCGAUUGGAUCGUGAUCGGAUCGCGAAGAGUACGACUACAUCAACCACGUUGAUAAAAGCUCCCGCUUAGCGAUCUACAAGGGUAUGUAGAUGCUCCCCCCUCUCAUAGCUAUGCAUCUCCAUGGAUAGAUCUUGCGUGUGCGUAGAAAUUUUUUGUUUUCAAUGCAAUGUUCCCCAACACUGGCAACUCUCUGGAAUUCCAUGUAGACAUGGAGUUGCAUGUUUAAGAUAGGAAAGAAUUAAACCAGAGGAUGUUGUCAACAAGUGCUACAACAUUGAUGCUUUCGAAGCUCCUUAUGGCAAGAUCAUAGUGCCAUGUAGUGAUCUUAGAGUGUGGCCAAAAACUAAUGGGCCUCAAAUGCUGCCACCAAAGUAUGAGAAGAAAGUUUGUAGGCCUGCAAAGAAGAGAAAGAAGAACCCACUAGAGGAGGCAAAUGAAACUAGGAUGAGCAGACAUGGCAUUAUUGGACACUGCAGUGUGUGCAAUCAACCAGGACACAACAAAAGAAAGUGCCCUGAACUAGGUAGAGGACAACCAACAACAACACAAGAUCCUAGAGCAGUAGAAGGGGUAGCAGCAGAACAUGAGCCAAUAGCAGAAGAGGCAACAACUAAACAUGAGCCAGCAGCAGAAGAGGCAGCAACAGAACAUGAGCCAGCAACAGAAGAGGCAGCAACAGAAGAUGAGACAUCAGCAGAAGAGGCAACAAUAGAACACGUGCCAGCAACAGAAGAUGAGCAUUAGUACAAGAGCUACAACUAAUUCAGGUUGUGCUUCCAAAAGCACAACAAAGAACUAAACUACCAGUCAAGAGGAGGCCAAGUUGCAAGGUGCAUUUCCCUUAAAUGUUGAGAUUUCUCUUAAAUGUUGACAUAUUUCUCAAAUUGCAAUGCUCAACAACAUUUCUGUUUUUUUGCAGAAAAAGGCAUGCCCACAAGUGGGCAGAAGUACAUCCAGUAUGAUUUCUUUUUCUAUGACUUAUGAUCUUGCUUCAUCUACUUUGAUUGAGAUUUUACAAGACCAAGUGAGUUCUUUUUAUUCAAAUGCAAUGUUAAUAAAUGCAAUGACAUCUGUUCUUUCAUAAAUUCACCCACAAUACUAACUACAUGUUUGGUUUGUAGGCUAUAGCUACUCAAUAAUCUCAAACAACAGUGCCAACUCCUCUACCAGAAAGCCAAUUCAUUGCAAACUGCAGAGAUGCCCUGCCCCCCCCAAGAAGCCAUACUACUGCUACACUAGGUUUGAAGAGAAGGAAGAAAGUGAAAAAAACCAAGGAGAACAAAGCCCCAAGAACUCAGAAGUGAAGAGCUACAAAUGUGGCACAUUUUGGACAUAUUUUGGAUAGAACCAAACUUGGACAUAUAUUCUAGAAAGUAGUAGUGUAGGAUGUUUUGUUUUGUUUUUGGUUAGUAAACAAGAUGGUUUGUAAUGAAACCUGAUGUUGGGAUGUGGCUUUGGGUUUCACACAAACGAUGGAAAUGUAAUGUUAUUUCCUACUUUUGUUGCACAACUUCAAGACCUUGUAAUGUUAAACCCAUCUAUCUAUCUUUUAGACUGCUUUUAAGUUCAAUUACUAGUAAAAUAAAGACCUUGUAUAUUACUAUUUAUUUGUGCCAUCAAUGCUAGUAAAAAAUGCUACCAAAGUACAGAAAAACAAACAAAAUGAAAAUUUUAGUUCAAUUUCAUUACCACAGUACAUGAUCAAGAUCUGGAUACAUCAACAAGCAUUGAACACUGGAUACAUCAUACUACCACAUCACUUCUUAAAGCCUACAUACACCACUACUACAAUCAGUACAACAAGUGCACUAAGAAUACUCUUACAAAGAAAAAUGAGCUCAUUCAUCUUCUUCAGUACAUCUACAUACACCACAGUCUCAACAAUGCUCUACAUUGCUCCUGCACAUUCCUCUUGCACCUCUGUUUCUUCACUUGCAAUGACACCAGCCGAAUCAAAACUACUCAAUCCACGACUGAUAUACCCACCUCUCACCAAAAAAUCAAAAUAGUUGUGUGGUCCAUCUUCCUAGUAAUAAUGUUGGAAAGAAUUUGGUGGAAUCUGACAGAAAUUGAGUAACAGAAUUCAACAAAAAAGAAACACAUAAACAUCAAACCGAUUGGGGCACUUGUAGAAAAUUUUACAUGGUGAUUGGCGCACUUGUAGAAAAUCCUGCCAGGAUUUGCCUCCGAUUUUGACACAAGAUGAAUUGUAGAUCGAAUGUGGCAGUUAGGGUAUGGUACCAACGACAGCAGACCCGCUAGUGCCGAUGAUGAGAUGGGCGGGGAGAAAAGGGCUAAUGCCGGAGGUGGAAGGGGCACUUGUACAACCGUCUUCUCGCGACGCUUCACGGCAGACGAGCUAGCGGCGACGGACAUGGCGGCGACGCCAGAGAGAGGGAGAAAGCGAGCAGAAGACCUAGGGACUGGGGAAUGAGGAAAGCAUAAACUCUAGGGGCCACAUUGUUUAAAUUCCCAACCGUGAGCCGCAGGAAUCUCCCGCGUGGGUCCUCGAGUCGACGUGGCGGCGGUCAAAGCGCCACGCGAGCUAGUCAACGGCGGUCAGACGAAAAAAGGACCUCACGUGAACAACUUAGAAAGAUUUAGGACCUAGAUAUGCAUUUUAAAAUAAUUAGGACCCAAACGACACUUUUGGGAAAGAAUUAGGUAGAACUCUUUGCCUGCUGGUUUUGUUUUGCAAGAGAAGAUAUUGGGCCUCUCGUGGGCCAGUUUUUUGGGCGAGCUAAAGCCUAAAACAAAAGGCCCUAAAAGAAAAUCCUAAAACAAAACACUGCCCCGCCUCUCUGUCAUCCAUCGGCCAAUGGGAGCACCUAUACGGCGCUGCACGCGCCCGUUCGCGCUCCUGGCGCCUGCAGCGCCCCGCGCUGGGCCGGCCCACUAACCGUGGUGACAAGUGAACGCAAAAACCUUGCCAAAAAAAAUGGAAAUUAAUAAUGCUCUCUACAUGAUUUGAACUUAUCACAUCGUGUUAACAUAUACUCCAGACGAGCUACUAGCCAGACGAGCUACCUGCCGUUGUUGGUUAGUACAAGAGGCGAAAGCAUAAUAACAGGAUUGCAGCGCUAUUUUAUUCAUCUAUUGUACCACUUCAUUUUUUUGAAUUAAUUGGAAAAAAGAUCAUGUAUUGAAAAAAGUUUACAUCAAUUUUGCAAAAAGGUUCAUCAAUUUCAAAAAAAAGUUCAUCAAAUUUGAAACAAAAGUUCAUCGAUUUUGAAAAAAGUUGACUGGAUUUAAAAAAAAUUGACCGGAUUUAGAAAAAGUUCACCGGAUUUGAAUUUUUUUACCAGAUUUGAAAAAAAGUUCACUGAGUUCGAAAAAAGUUCACUGGAUUUGAACAAAACUUCAUCAAAUUCAAAAAAUGUUCACGGAAUUCGAAAAAGAGUUCACCAACUGCGAAAAAAAUAGAAUUGGAAAAAAAGCUCCGGCGAAUUUGAAAUUUUCUUUUAAAAAAUCUCGCGCAUUUAAGAAAAAGAAAAAAAGAAAAAAAGAAAAGAAAAAGGGAAAGCUUCGCGAACAGAAAGGAAUAAAAAGGGUGGAAAGAAGAAUCUCGGUCGUAGUGGUUACUUCGAUUUGCUUUCUACUAUGGAGUGGUCUUGAGUUUUGAAUCUCGGUCGCGCUGUUUCAUUCGGUCCUUUCCAGAAAAGGAAAACAUAGAACGGGCCGGCCCAGCUCGGACUGCUGCAGGCGCCCGUUUGCAGAUUGCACUGUAACGGGCGCCUGCAGCGCCAAAUAGGAAUUGCGUCGGCCAAUCCCCACCCAAAUCCCCUCGUCACCACUCUCCCACACGGUCAAAGGCCACAAGCCCACAAGCUAACCCUAGCCGCCGCACCCCCGCCUCCCAUCUCCGCCCCUCCUCUACCCCUGCACCAACGCCGCCGCCCCCCUUCAUCAACGCCUGCCCGGGUCCCGGCACCAAGAUCUGUUCCCCCGUGUCGCCCCAAAUCCCCGAGCCGCCUCCACCAAUCCACAAAAGGUCAGCCCACAACCUGAGUCCGCCUCCAGCAGAUCCACCGCAUACCGAGGGGAAGCAGAAUCAGAUCUUUGGCGAUGGGUCGAGGCAAAAAGGAUCCCUGGGCGGCGCGCGGAUCCGUCGAUCCAGUGGAGGAGGAGGAGGCGGCAGCGGUGAUGGAGGUUGAAGAGGAGGAGGAAGUCAAGGGAGACGAAGAGGAGUGGAAUCACGAGGAGGAUGAGGCGGAGGAGGAGGAAGAGGAGUGGGAACAGGAGGAGGAGGAGGAGGCUGAUGAGGCCUCGGCGGAGGAGCAGCCGGAGGAGCAGCGGUCGCCGCCCAAGCUGGCGGAGGGAUACUACGAGAUCGAGACCAUCCGCCGCCGCCGCCGCCGCCAGAACCAGGUACAGUACCUCGUCAAAUGGCGUGGGUGGCCGGAGAGCGCGAACACAUGGGAGCCUGAAGAAAACCUCAAGGCCUGCUCUGAUUUUGUUGAAGCCUUUGAGAAGCGGCAGCAACCAAGGUCCUAUGGCAAGCGCAAGCGCAAGCGCAAGAUCUCCACUGCUCCGGUGGUAAGUCCCAACCCUUCUUCUCAGGGUAGAAGGGGCCGCCCACGGCGUUCAGAUCCUCGGUCUCUGUCCCAACGUCCUCUCCCGGAGCGCAAGAUAUUGCCUCCCAGAGCAAGCAGCAGGAGAGGUACUGAUAACAGCAACAGGAACUUGGUUGCGGGCUCUGAUGCAUCAGUGAACGUGGCUCCUCAGCAAAUGCUUGGACAAGGUGCCACACAGGAGGGCAGCUCAAAUGUGCUCUCGGUUGGCCUGCCGUCUGUUGUGGUUCAUCAACAGGAUGAACAUCAGCCUGCGAGUGGUGUGUCAAAGGUUGAUAGUUCAGUACAGGGACCCCCACCUCAGGUUGGCCAGGUGACAGGUGCCAAGAAGCGCAAGCUUGGGUCUGUCAGGAGGUUCAAGCAGGAUGAGGCGCAGCAGGAGCAAGGGCAAGUCGUCAAUGGCACAAGUGAGAGGCCUGGCAAUGAGAAAACUGAUUCCGCACAAGGAGAAACGGGUGAUAGGACCAAGGGAGAGGGCGGUGCUAACCGUUGCAUCACUAAGAUCAUCAAGCCAGUGCGGUAUCAUGCCACCAUGGCAGAUGACGUGCAGCAGGUUUCCAUAACAUUCAGAGCACUCAGGUCUGAUGGGCAGGAGGUUCUUGUGGAUGACAAGGAAUUGAAGUCUACAAACCCGUUGGUGCUGAUAAACUACUACGAGCAGCACCUGCGUUACAGUCCCACCGCGUGAAGGAUGCAUGGAAGGUAUUGGGUUGCCGUAGCAUUCUUUAACCUUGUGGAAUUUGCAGUGAUAUAGGUUAGCCUGGUUAAUGUACUAGUUGUGAUGAAUGUAGUAGAAUGUGUGCCCUUCUAGUUGCGACAUAUUUUGUUCAAUAUUUGUAUAAUCAGGGAUUUAUCCUAGGAUGGCGUUUUGGCGCCCAAGUGCAUCUGCACCUGACAGCGAACAUCAAAUUCGAAAGAAAAAGAAAAAAAGUCGUCUAAAAAUAUUCAGUACCGAAGAUGUUCG
Molecule: long non-coding RNA, 90868 nt
Filed under: Triticum aestivum (bread wheat)
Lineage: Eukaryota; Viridiplantae; Streptophyta; Magnoliopsida; Poales; Poaceae
Description: long non-coding RNA (TAES_LNC014931)
Source: RNAcentral